Molecule: long non-coding RNA, 92154 nt
Filed under: Sorghum bicolor (sorghum)
Lineage: Eukaryota; Viridiplantae; Streptophyta; Magnoliopsida; Poales; Poaceae
Description: long non-coding RNA (SBIC_LNC018062)
Source: RNAcentral
UGGCGUUUUUCUGCAGGAGCGACCUCCUGGCGGACUGCGUGGGAUGCGCGGUGAAGACGAGGUCGACGCUCUGGUUCUUGAGCGCCUCGAACACCUCCGCGGGGGUCUUGCCGAGCGACACGAGGCGCUUGAGCGUCUCCUCGAUGUCGGACUCGGUGGUGGCGGAGCCCUCGUCGGAGAAGUCCCCGUGCUUGAGCUUGCUGUUCCGGCGGCGGUGCGCCAGCUCCACUUCCUCCGCCAGGUUGGCGAGGUUGAGCAUGUGCAGGAUGGAGCUCGCCACCAGGAUGGCGUCGGCGGGGGCCAGCCCCGUCAGCUUGGCUCCCAGCUCCCCCAGCUUGGACGUGUCUUUCUUGCCCUCGUAGUCGGCCGACACCUCGUAGCACUCCUGGACCUGCAUGCAUCGCAUUUGGGUAUAUAUAUAUAUAUAGUAAGCACCGGAUUCGAGACGUAUAGACUAUAGAGAGGUGAGCUGAUGAUGCUCUCAGCUCGAUCUGCUACGUACAAAUUCGCGAAGGCUGGGGCCAUGGAGGUCCUGGAGGAUGUCGAGGAAGCGGUCGACGAGCAGGGCGUCAUACUGGAUGAGCUCCUCGGAGACCUUGCCGGGUGCGAGGGCACGGAGCUGCGCGUCGAUGGAGUGGUGCCGCUCGGACGCCAUGGCGGCGGCGGCCGGGGAGUGGGCCGGGAAGCGCGAACGAAGCUGGAGAUGGUUGGAGCGCGGCGCGGCGUGUUGCUCGUGCUGCUCCUCUGCUGCGAGUUGAUUGAUCAAUGCAGGGCGCCGGCCGGUGGCUUCAAAUAGGGAUGGGGAGUUGGCGAGUGUGUGGUCGGCGUGUGCACGCGGGAUUGGAAAGGCAUGCAUGUGAUCGGCGGUAAGGGUAGCCGAGAGCUGCGCGCGGCUGUGGCUACGCUGCUUUUGGCUGGGAUCGCUGCUGUGGACGUACUUUGUCACUGCGCACUUGCCUGCUUGUGUUAUUCCGCUGGCUAAUUGCCUGUUUGCAGGACGUGGAGAGGGGUGUCUGCUAGUGCUAGCUAGUGGUAAGGAUGGGGACGACGCUUCAAAUAACUCCUCGUGGUUCUUCUCUAGUCUAACUAAACGAACUAAAUUAAAAAAAUAAGAAAGAAAUUGUUUAUUUAGUUUAUUAAGUUAGACUAGAGAAAAACCGCGCAAGUAUCCAUUUAGAGUACCAUCUUCAUUCUUAGCUAGUGGUAACCGCAAAGGGGACCGGGAGAGCUGCGGCCGCACCUUGCUCCUGGAUCGUUUUUGGCUUGGCUUUGCUGCUGUUGACGUGCUUUGUCACUGCUCACCUGCCUUCUUGUGUUAUUCGGUUGGCUGAUGGGUUUGCAGGAUGGGGAGAGGGGUGUCUGUUUGCAGUCAAGGCCGGAUUCUGGGGAUCGGUAGAAUUUGGAGGUUUGCUUGCACGCGAUGUGGAGAGAGGUGUCUGUUAGCAACGGAGGAUGCAUGGCGCUGGAGGAAGGCUUUGCAGGGUGUGGAGGAGAGGGUGCCUGUUAUCCAGUAAUGUUAAUGUUAGGAACAUAGAUGUCCUAUAUCCAUGUAAAUUGUGGAAACAGAACUUAAUUUCCUUAGGAGACCGGGAAACAAAAAAUGAACUUGUGGUUAAGGAUAUGGACUAUAAUUUUGUGGUUCAAAGAAAGGUAUUGGUAUACAUGGCUGCCGUAGGGAUAAGGGUCAUACAUGGCUGCCGUAGGGAUAAGGGUGUUGUUACUCUACCAAGGGCACCAUACAGGUGGCUGCACAGCAUUCAGGCGCUGCCAAAUCUAGCGCGCACAUCACUGGGUCAAGCCGACACAGAUUUGGACAAUACGAUGUGUAGCAGCUGGUGGUGGUGAAGAUAUGCGGAUUUAAGAGAGAGGUGGAUUUGGGUUGGGAGGAGCAACUUGCAUCGUCGUGGAUCUCCACACAAAAAAGAAGAAUUGGAAAUGUAUAAUACUAUACAUAUGCUUAAAUGAAAGUAUUUACUGAAUUGUGGAUCGAUGCAUUAAUUGUCAUCACAAGUGAAAAUUAGGUAAUAAUGAGUACUAGUUAAUAGUUGAGCACGGAAAAAGCAUCGAAUUUUGACCUUGCAUUUAGUACCACACCACAUCUCCUAACUCCUUAUUACAUGUCCCGAUCCUCAGCUUGCUGUCAACAUGUAUUAGUCGAGUAGGUCGAGAUCUGGAUCAACCAUGGCAAUAUAGAAUUCCCAAUUUCCCAUAUAUGCAAAAAGUAGCACUGCAAAUGUCCACUUUCAAUAGCAGUAGUUGUCACGUAUGAGUGUAAGUGCAUCAAUGCUAUCAGUGAGUUUUGUUGAAAAGAUGAUGACGCAUAUAAAGAGGUAAUGAUGUUUCAUGAGAUUUUCAGUUAUACAUCGAUGUGAAAAAGUGCAAAAAGAAACAUGGGACCCCUCAAUUCUUACUUUAAAGAAAAAUGCGGCAUUGCGUUUUCAAAGAAACAUGGAAAAAGCAUCGAAUUUUGACCUUGCAUAUACUACCACACCACAUCUCCUAACGCCUUAUAUCUCUACAUCCCUAUCAACACGCAUGUGUGCAUUAGAUCGAGCAGGUGUCGAGAUCUGGAUCAGCCAUGGCAAGACAUAAUUCCCAAAUUAAUUAAUUCCCAUAUGCAAAUAUUAGCACUGCAAAAUGUUCUAUUCUAACAGUAGUUCGUUGUCACGUAUGAGCAAAGCAGCAAACUAAUCUGUCACUCCAUCAAUUAGACAUCUCAAAAACAAAAGGAUGAGAUUAAAGGAAAAGACUAUAUAUAUAUAUAUAUAUAUAUAUAUAUAUAUAUAUAUAUAUAUAUAUAUAUAUAUAUAUAUAUAUAUAUAAUUCCUUAUAUAAUAUUUUUUUAAACUCAUGAGAACAUGCAUGUUUGACUCGAGAACUUAAUUAGUAGUAGUAAUAGCAUGCGGAGCACAUAAUAUGGUCCUACGUUGCGAUCCCUUGAAGCUUGUUUCUUCGCCAACAUAAGCUAAACAAAAAUACCGGCAUGACAUUUGAAAUAAAGUUCACAUUUACUAAAAGAUGAUCUUUUGGAGCACGAAACAGUUGAAUUUUCGUGUGCAGGGGAACUGGAAAUUUAGAGCCACGCAUUUUCGACAUGGAGACAAUUUAUUAGUAGUGAAAAAUUAGAAUCUAUGAUAGUUAUAGUUAUUAUUAGGUGCUACUAUUUUAAUGAGUUCGUGAUGAUUCAAUUGAAUCUAUGGUAACACCUGUGAUGCUUUUCAACGUGGAUUACACGAUUAGUGAUUUGAUCAAUACAAUUUUAUGGUUUAGAAGAUUUUGGCCAUGAAGACUUGUGCAACAUAUAUUACAGAAAAUGAUUGUGGUUGAAACAGAAGAAAAAUUGUUGGCCAAGAAAUUUAUGAUAAUGAAGUAACUGAAUAGGAAGAAUUAUUUUGAUGGAUGAAAUAAAUUUUGGCACCAAGAAAUUGAAAAUAGACGUCAAAAACAACAUCCGUUCUUGGACAAAUGCACAGCUAUGAUUAGGGACAAAUAGAGAUCUCUAUCGGUCGAAGUAUUCGCGCGCUCCCAACUCUUGCGUCCCUUCUACGCAACCUCACGUCUCCUGCACCAUGUAUCAGUGAAAAACACACAACGACCACUUAUCGCUCCCAGCUCUUAUGUCCCUUCUACACAGCCUCACAUCUCAUACACCAUGUAUCAGAGAAAAACACACAAUGACCACUUAUCAGAGAGUAAAAAUAUGAGCGUCUAGAAGCUUCUACACUUGAGAGCUUAGACACGAACAAAACGAAGAAGCCUCUACACUUGUACUACAAGGAGUGCAAAAAUGGCCGACAAUUGUUAUACUGUUGGGCAUUUACUUGCACCGUCGGGAAGUGUAAUGCCCGAGCGUGUACCGUCGGGAACCUCACGUCGAGCAUCCAUGGUCGGGCAUUCCCCCUUUUACGGACGGGUAGUCGGUCAUUGUGUGGCCGACCGUAUGUUUCCGACGGUUAACGCUCAACAAUUAGUUUGUAAACACGCCAAAAAGACUUUGGUCGGACAUGAAUUGCCGAGGGUACCCUAGUCGGGGACUUGUUACUUGACAAUUUUUUAAAAUCCAUUGGCAAAUAUAUACAGUCUGAGUUUUGUUGAACGACGGCUUUUUAAAACCCAUCAGAAAAUAUAUCCGGUCAGGAAUGCAUUGCAUGACGGGUUUUUAAAACCCGUCGGGAAAUAUAUUCGGUCAGAGAUUUGUUGCAUGACAGUUUUUAAAACCCAUCGAAAAAUAUAAUCUGUUGGGGAUUUGUUGUACGACGGUUUUUUAACCCAUCGAGGAACAUAUUAGCAACGGUGUUUAUUAACCAUUAGGAAAUAUAAUCGGUUGGGGAUUUGUUGCAUGACGGUUAUUGAACCCCAUCGAGAAACAUAUUAGCAAUGGUGCUUGGGAUAUUUUAUAGCCAUAAAUAAUUAAUAUUUAACAAUGAAGAUCAAUUCUAGAUGUACAUUCACACUAUAACUCACGACAUUUCAUAACCAGCUCUACAAUAUUGCAUAGUACAAUGAAAGUUUGAAGCCCAAUGACAACUAAACAAAGGUACGAACAAGAGAUUCUUAAAGUUUCUAAGAACAUUCUUCAACAUAACAUAAGUUAAUGUUUAGACUAAAAUACUUGACUAAGAUGCUGCUAUUCACAAGGCAUAACAAAUACUACUUAAAAGUGCCACACACUUCAUAUGUUGUAUAGAAUCUUUUCUCAUCAAUAGGUGCCAUCAUCAUCAUAACCAUGGUUCACAUAAUAUUUGCCAUCAUCUUGGGAACGAUAGACUUCAUCUUCAUAAUCAUAGGUAUCAUCCUCACUGUCAUCACCACUAUAGUUUUCUCCACCAAUGUUAUCCUACAGAAGUUGUAAAAUUAUUUCUAUAAACAUAUGAACUAACUUGAAUACAUAUAAGAUAGAUUUUAUAAUACUUAACUUGAAUACAUAUAAGAUAGAUCUUAUAAUACUUUGGCAUGAAUAUGCAACACAAAUAAUACUUACAUGUUCAGAUGCAUUAGGAACAGUUUUCUUAUGCUCUAUAGAGAAUGCAACCUCGGAUUCAGAAGUAGGUUGCAUGUCAUUGUUGACGGUCCUUAAUGCUCACAUUUAACCGUCAACUAAUCAUGGAAAAGGACCUAUAUGCAACCAACAUCCAAAAUUAGGGUUUCAUCUGACAGAAUUUCACGAGUUUUGGUGUUUGUCUAUUUCUGCAGGGGGUUAUGAGGAAAUAUGGAGGAAAGGUCCACACAUCGGGUUUACAUAGAGAUAUUAACGUGCACCGUAAUUAUCCAACAUCUAGAAGAGUCGAGAAGCCACGGGAACGAGCGGAUGGCCGAGCGGGCCCGGGGGCUGGGCGCCCGACCUCCCUCAUAGGGCGCCGCCCUGCUACAGGAGCCAAUCAGGCUCCGCCUCGCGGAUUAUGCUCCACCGACCGAACGAAUUAAGGAAAACCGUGCGAUUAAGGUCGGUUUGAUCCGACGGGCCAUGUUCAUUUGGAAGGGCUAUAUAAGCAGGCCCCCUGGCCCCUGGAGAGGAUAUUUCUUCUACACAAUCAAAGCUAGGGUUUCAAUUAUUCAUCCAAGUAGAGAGGAUCCCUCUAGUUCAUCUAGUUCUAGUUCUAGUUCAUCUAGUUCUAGUUCUAGUUAGUUCUAGUUGUAAUCUAGAAAAUAGGGAGAGAGAAGAGGAGAGCGGAGGAGGAGCCGGAUCUGUCGGAUCUUCCUCAACAUUAUACUUUUGCAGCAAUUGGUUUGUUCUUCAUCGUUGUCCAAGUUCUUCAAUUCAUAAUUCCUGAGUUCUUUAAUUACUUUUAUUUACAUUCAAGUUAUUUAUUGGAUUUCUGCUAACAUCAAGUGCUCUAGUCUUUGCAAUGCUAGAGUAGUAAUUAAUAGAUUAGACGUGGUGUUUAGUCUUGCAAUUACCUAGAAUUACACCCAAUCCUGUGGAUUAUUGUGGUAGCUCUAGGGUAGUGACAGACCUAACGGUCGACGUAUUCCACCUCGUUCGGAUCGGUGUUUGUAGGACCAUAGUCAGAGCUUCCUAGCCCCCUUCUCAUCUCUUUCUGUGGUUAGUGUUCUGAUGUCCCGAAAUAAAUAAUCUUUGAAGUAAUUCUUUAUUCUUAGAUCAACUAGAGAACUCUCAGGAAACUUCCUCUCUUCCCACCAAAAAUAAUUAUAUAGUUAUCCUUGGGCGAUCUUGAAUCUUAAUUAGUACACUCAUGUUCCCUGUAGAAAAUCGAUACUCUAGAAUACUCCUGGAUGAAAGCUACAUCGGUAUCCGUGCGCUUGCGGAUUUUUUCUGUUUGCGUUUAAAAUACCCAACAAGCUUUCUGGCGCCAUUGCCGGGGAACGGUAGUUGUGCUAGUUUCGAACCAAGUCGUACGUGUAUCCUUUUUCUUUUCCUUUUUUUUACCACACUCACCUUACCAUUUUCACCAUACCACAUGGAUUUCACUCCUAUCUAUAAAUUAUUUGCUCCAAAGGGCGAGUUAUUAGAGCCACCACCAUCAUCACAUCCAAUUCUUACAGAUGGCUACGACCUCGGCCCUGAUCUAAUAGCCAUGAUUCAGGAGCAACCCUUCUCUGGGCAAGUAGAUGAAGAUCCAUACACCCACCUUAGAGAAUUCGAGCAGUUGUGCUCUUGCCGAUCUAUUUCCGGCAUGACACAAGAAACCCUUAAAUGGAAAUUAUUUCCAUUCUCCCUUUUGGGAAGAGCAAAAAAGUGGUAUGCUCAUUCUGUAGGAGGCGUUAAUGGAAAUUGGGAUGAACUUCAGGACAACUGUUGUCUCGCUUUCUUCCCACUUUUUCGAAUCGCUGACCUUAGAAUCAAAAUUCUUACAUUCAAACAAAGAGAGAAGGAAACUUUAGGAGCAGCUUGAGCUAGGUUCACAAGCCUUACCAAUUUCAGUCCAAACCUUUUCAUGCCUGACCAUGUACUAUACUACCACUUUUAUCGUGGUCUAAACAAGGAAGCUGCUCUUCACCUCGACAUUGCUUCAUGAGGCUCAUUCGCACACAAACUCAUAGAUGAGGGGAGAGCUAUCCUAGAGAGAAUCCUUGAAAAUAUCCCUUACACAGCCAUUUAUGAUGAGUUUCCUAAAGAAGAAAAAGAAGUCGAGCCUGAUCCUAAACCAAAAGAUGAGGAACUUGCAACCGAGUUAGAAAUUCCACCUGACCCAUCUAUUAAUUUGGUUGUAGAGAAACCUCCUGAUAAGGGAAUGCAAAACCAACUAAGGGAUAAUGAACCACCACCUUUAGAGCAUUCCUUUGAAUUCGAGGAAGAUCUUUUUGAAGAUUAUGGAAACGCCUCGAAUUUUCUUAUCCAAACACGACCUCUAGCAGGGACCACUCAAUCCGUUCUAAGAGUAGAAUCUGUUGACAUAGAACACAUCAAAUGCCUUUCGGCUAUUCUGAGUUAUGAAUGGCUAACAGAAGCAGAGCUGUCUCCUGAGGUAGCUCAGAUCAUCACUCCUUCAACCAUUCUUCUGUGCAAAAUUAGAGGGUCCGCUAGGAAGGUCCACUACAAUCCACAUGUUGGGAUAAAUGUUAUUUCCAAGGAGUUAGCUCACACUCUUUAUCCCAAUGAGUCCAUAACCCCAUCUCAAAAACUUUUACAAAGUCCAUCUGGAUUAAUUCUAGAAAGCCAUGGGGGUAUUAAGGGCAGUUCCUGUUAGAAUCAAGGACUCUGGAAUAUGUCUAGAUUUUCACAUUUUUGACAUACCGGAGAUUCCUCUCUUGAUUGGCAGACCAAUCAUGAAACUUCUACAAGAACAACCACAACGAGGUCAUUUAGACUUCAAUGUUGGGAAUUCCACUAUUGUUGUUCCUCUUGCUAGAUCAAUUAACACGAUAGUGGAACCCAAACUUAAACUAGAUCCUAUUGAGGAGAUCUUAAUGCUGACUCAAGAGGAGAUGGCCCAACCAUUCUUUAAUCAUGAACACUUUGUUCAAGAAGAAGAAGAGUUGGUAUAACCUGUUGAGCUAGACAAAAAUGAACAACCUUCACCUCCUUCGAUAGAGUUAAAACCUCUUCCUUCUGGCCUUAGAUAUGUCUUUUUGCACAACAACCCAAAAACUCCAGUAAUUAUCAGUGACAAGCUUUUCGAUUAUGAAACACAACAACUUGUCACUGUUCUUGAAAGGCAUAGAUCAGCAUUUGGCUACUCUCUUGAAGAUCUCACGGGCAUUAGUCCCAUUCUCUGCACUCAUCGUAUCCCUAUUGAUCCCAAUUUUACACCUUCAAGGGAACCACAACGGAGACUUAACAAUGCUAUGCGAGAGGUUGUUAAGAAAGAGGUCCUCAAACUCUAUCAUGCUGGGAUUAUUUAUCCUGUGCCACAUAGUGAGUGGGUUAGCCUUGUCCAAGUAGUGCCAAAGAAAGGAGGAAUGAGAGUCGUUAGGAAUGAGAAGAAUGAACUCAUCCCUCAACAAAUUGUCACUGGGUGGCGUAUGUGUAUUGACUAUCGAAAACUCAACAAGGCUACAAAGAAAGAUCACUUUCCGUUACCCUUCAUUGAUGAAAUAUUGGAACGGCUUGCAAACCACUCUUUAUUUUGUUUCCUUGAUGGUUAUUCUGGAUAUCACCAAAUCCCAAUCCACCCAGAUGACCAAGAAAAGACUACCUUUACAUGCCCGUAUGGAACUUAUGCAUACCGACGAAUGUCGUUCAGAUUGUGCAAUGCUCCAGCUUCUUUCCAACGGUGCAUGAUGUCUAUUUUCUCGGACAUGAUUGAGAAGAUCAUGGAGGUUUUCAUGGAUGAUUUUAUCGUAUAUGGCAAAACCUUCGAUCAUUGUUUGGAGAAUUUAGAUAAAGUCUUGCAGCGAUGUGAAGAAAAGCACUUAAUCCUGAACUGGGAGAAAUGCCAUUUUAUGGUUCAGGAAGGAAUAGUGCUAGGACAUAAAGUGUCCGAACGUGGUAUAGAGGUGGACAAAGCAAAGAUUGAAGUUAUUGAAAAACUUCCACCUCCCACGAAUGUGAAAGGAAUCCGUAGCUUUUUGGGACAUGCAGGGUUCUAUAGACACUUUAUCAAGAACUUCUCUCAAAUUGCUAGACCCCUAACUAGUCUCCUAGCUAAGGAUGCACCUUUCAUCUUUAGUGAUGAGUGUCAUGAAUCUUUUCAAACUCAUAAGAAAGCACUCAUCUCAGCCCCGAUUAUCCAACCACCUGAUUGGAAUCUUCCUUUUGAGAUCAUGUGUGAUGCUAGCGAUUUUGAGGUUGGUGCCGUUUUAGGACAAACCAAGGAUAAAAAGCAUUAUGCCAUAUCCUACGCUAGCAAAAUCUUGUCUGGACCACAGCUCAAUUACACUACAACUGAAAAAGAGAUUUUGGCUAUUGUCUUUGCUAUUGACAAGUUUAGAUCUUACUUAGUGGGGCAAAGAUAAUCAUCUAUUCAGACCAUGCUGCUCUCAAGUACCUCCUCACUAAGAAAGAUGCUAAGCCUCGUCUAAUUCAAUGGAUUCUUCUACUCCAAGACUUUGACAUAGAAAUCCAAGAUAGGAAGGGAGUAGAGAAUUCCGUAGCCGACCACUUGUCUAGGCUUCAAUAUAAGGAAACACAUGAUGAGCUUCCCAUAAAUGACUACCUAAGGGAUGACACCCUGCUUAAGAUAACACAUGUAAAUCCAUGGUACGCAGACAUCGUAAACUUUAUAGUAAAAGGCUAUGUCCCACCUGGUACAAACAAAAGGAAGUUGCUUCACGAUUGUCGUUUCCACCAUUGGGAUGAGCCAUAUUUUUUCCGAGUCUGCACUGAUGGACUCUUGAGAAGGUGUGUUCCUAUGGCUGAGGCUACCCAAAUUAUGGAAAGAUGCCACGCCUCGCCAUAUGGAGGACACUAUGGAGCAUUCCGGACACAUGCUAAAAUUUGGCAAAGUGGCUUUUUCUGGCCAACGAUGUAUGAAGAUACAAAGGACUUUGUCAGGAGAUGCCACCGAUGUCAAAAACAUGGGAAUAUCAACUCACGAAAUGAAAUGCCUCUCACAAAUAAUCUUCAAGUAGAACUUUCCGAUGUAUGGGGCAUUGAUUUCAUGGGGCCAUUCCCUAUGUCCGGGAAUUGCGAGUAUAUCUUAGUAGCUGUGGACUACGUGUCCAAAUGGGUAGAAGCCUGUUGACACUUGCUAACACCACUUGAAUACUAGGUUGUCAUCCCCAGCAUAGCACUAGAGUGUACUAUGGUAUUUAUACGCACACAGAUAAUCCGCAAGCGCACGGAUACCGUUGAAGCUUUUACCCGGUUAAAGGUUUUAUCGUAUCCACAGGGAAACGGGAGAACCAACUACGCUCUAACUUAACCAAAAUAGGAAAGAUGGUAGAAUCGAAUAAGAACAAUAUUAAAGGUAAGAUAACAGUGAGUGAUAAUAUGGGAAUAGAGAAUAGAGCAAUUCUAGUAUAUGGGCGAUGGUAGCAGAAUAGAGAGAAUAACUAUGGUUUCUCUACUUCAAAGGGGUAUGUCUAUGUCUGGGACGAACCACGUGAUAAGAUUACACCAGAAAGGAUGCUUAUCCAUAGGCCGAUAAACACUACCCAUCCUGCUAACGAGAGGUGGACUACAGAGGACCAACGUAACUGUCACCUACGCGGCCUACCACAUGAUCCACCUAGACAGGGGAUAUCCACAAGUAAUCUAGGUCUAAGCACCACGCUUACACCUAUACUACAACUCUAACCUAUAGCGUCCUAUAUAGAUUAGAAGUACUCAAAAGAGUUGUGAACCAGAACAUACAUGAUUAGUAAUUGCAUAAUGAAUUAGAAGUAGAUUACUAGAGUCAUCCCUUGAGCAAGCUUGAUUAGAGCUUGAUCAUGACGAAGUACAACCGGAGGAAGAACCGACAGGCCGGCCUCUCCUCUAAUCCUCCUUCGCUCUCCAUCUUGCUACUAUCUAGAUCUACUCUAGUUUAGAGAAGAGAGGAGAGCUCUCAUCUCUAAACCCUAGCUUUUGCUCUGUCUAUGAAUAAUGAAUAAUGUUCAAGGGGUGCCUCCUCCAGGGGCCAGGGGGUCUGGUUAUAUAGUCUUUUCAGAUGAAUCUGGGCCGUCGGAUCAAACCGACAUUGAUCGUGUGGUUUUCCUUGAAGUAUUAGGUCGGUGGAGAUCUCCCGAGAGAAAGAGUCCCGAUUGGGCUCCAGAGGUGGGCGGGCGCCCAGGGUAGGAGGGCGGGCGCCCUGCCUCUGGCCCCGUUCGGUCUCUGCUUGCUUCCCGUGGCUUCUGGAGUCUUCUAGAUGGAAGAUAAUUGCGCGGCACGUUAAUAUCUCUAUGUAAUUCCGACGUGUGGGCCUUUCUUCCGUAUUUCCUGAUAACCCCCUGCAGAAAUAGACAAACACCAAAACUCGUAGAAUUCUGUCAGAUAAAACCCUAAGUCUAGAUGUUGAUUUCAUUUGGAUCCUUUUUUUUGUUUAUGUGAUAAUUAAAUUUGAUACUUAAGGACCAUCAAUAAACUCCCCCAAGCUUACCUCUUGCUUGUCCCUGAGCAAGGAUAGACUCAGCAAUGGAUCAGAAGUUGUUGCAAUAUCUUAAAAAUUUGACGGUACACAUGCUUUUAAAUAAGAUCUCAUCUCUGAGUUAGAGUAAACUGUCAAGAACUAAAACUUACUUACUUUACCUUUCACCAUGGGACUUGUAACCGUCACUUCUGUCUUGAGUAGUUAAAAGAUAGAACAGUCUAGCCAAGUGCCAUGUCUCUUAUUCUUGAUCAGCUAUAGCUCUGGAGUUUUUACAGAUUUUCAAAUAAAACUCAGAGAUUCCUUGUAUGACUCUCUCAAUCUCUCUUUGGUGGUAUUUCUGGAUCCUUACCAAGGCAGUGAUGGUAUAUGCCUUCUCUCAAGAUAUGUGGUAUUUGUGGUAUAAGGCAUAGUGACAUUGCCUUCUCUCUCACCCUACUCUAAUAAGGCUUUAAUAUCUGGAGCUCAUAGGUGGGAGAUAAAGUAUACAUACUUACAAGACAUUUAUUGUAUAGUCAAACCAUGGAUCCAAAGAAACAAAUCAAUAAGCCAAAUCAAGAUGUGCAUGUGUGGCGAAUGAAUGGUGUAUGGUGAUGAUGGUGAUAACAAUGGUGGAAGUCUAAUUCUACUUUUGCUCUUUUGAGGGGAUACAUACCUUCCUUGCUUUUUGAAACUUUAUGAGGAGAAUGAGAUGCUCUUCUUUUUCUUUUCUCUCAGGUGGGUAUCCUGUACCCCUAAUUCUACUGUCGGACACUUGUCUAUUUUUACCUCUCGUCUCACUCUUUUUUUUUCUUUCGAGGUUCCGGGCACUUGCCCCUUUUUAUUUCCUCGUUUAUUAUUUUUUUCUCUUUUUUUUAGAGCACUCAUCUGUUGAGAUAAUAUAGCAAGUGGUAGUAGCAAGAUAACUUGAGCAUUUAUUUCACAAGGGAAAACAGAAAUAUUUUUGGCUAUUCUUUCCCGGAUUAGGAGUAGAAUAUUUUUGGGUGGUUCUGGAGAUGGACAUGGAUGGAUAUAUGUGGAUGGUACUUCCGGAGUAGAAGUAGCAUAUAUGAGUAAACGUGCAAGUGAAUCUUGAUUUAACCACAUGACAAGCUCCUAAGGGUCUGCACAGCUUGACCACACUCAAUGCUCAUAAGCAGUAAAUAAUAAAUAUGUGGCUCAAAGUCUAGCAAGCAUGUAUAUAUGGCUGUGGUAGGAAUUUAAACUCUCAUCAUACAGGAACUCAUCAUGCAACAUUUUAAAGAUUUUCAAAGAUAAAAUUCUCCAGAUUUCUAGCAUCUCUAGGAACAGAUAAAUAGCAACUCAACCUUCCCAUAUCAUAUCCGUUAACAACUUAGAUUUCAGAUCAAGUUUUCAUCCCACAAGUUUAGAUCUAGAGCAAGCUUUAAAUUAUAACAGUUAUGUCUAAACUUGAGAGAGAGCUUCAAAUUUGCAAAUUAGGCAGAGUAACUAUUCAUCAUAUCCAUGCUAGAGUUUUAUUAUUAAGAUUCAGAUUAGCAUAGCCACUUUAUUUAUUUAUUAAACACACUAAGCAAAAGAUAUAUAUAUAUAAGCACAAAAUCUUUAUUUGGUUUUUCAUAGUUUAUGUAUUUUAAUAUUCUAACAUAAUAUAAGUAUAAAGAUAGGUAGAAAUACUUAGCGAGAUAAAUGGGGGUGCUCUCCCCCAAGCUGAAUUUUGACGUAAUUUCUCUUGCUGUAGCUAGCAGGUGGCAAAGGUGUAUUUGAAAGUUAGCAACAUUCUGACAACGAUUAGAAUGUCCUCCGUCUGCUAGUCUUCUUGAUUCUUAAAUUCUGUGGAGCUCAAAUAGACAACAAAGCUCGUGGAACUAAGUGUUAGCAUAAAUAUCUAGCCUUCAUCAUGUUGAGCUUCCUCAAUAAAUAUUACUCCCUAUUUUUAUAUUUUUAUUUUAUAAAGCAGAAAAGAAAUAUUUAUUUUAUUUUUAUGCCACCAUAGUGAAGGUACUUAUGGGUUUUAUGCCACUCGUAUACUCACAUGGGGCUUAGUAUUUUUUAACAUUUUUAUUUUCUUUUCAAGAUAGCAUGAUUAACUAAUAAUCUAUUUAAAGAAAGUAAAUAAUUAAAGGGAAAAGGGAAUGCAGAAAGGAUAAAUAUGGAUAACUACCGAUCUUACCUUUCGGCGAGGGUUCAAUGUUUUAAGUCUUUUUAACAAGACUUCUCACCGUGUUCAUUCUUUAGGUGCGUCAUUUGAUUCAGGUGCGGACCUUGACAUCUGCACCUCUUGAUACGGUGUCACCCAUGUUCUUCGUUUGCCCAGCAGUUCGAAGUGCGGCGUUGGCAGUAUCCUGCUCAGUGUGUUUGUGCUCGUAGAUCCAGGUCCUUCACUUGGUAGAGUCUGAGAGUUAUAAAACUCCUCCGUGUUUUGCUCAAAGUGUACCUGCUCAUAGAGACAAGGCAGAGAUCAAGUGCAUGGGUCCUGUUGGUGGAAAACACCAACAGAACCUAAAGUGUAUUUGUUGUUCUCUAACCCUAAGCAUAGUGAGCAAGACAAAGUUGAUGGAUGAAAAGUUCAUGAGUGUAGCACUUAUAACAUUUGUCAGAUCAGAUCGCUCAACCUUAUGGAAAGAUAAUUUAUCUAUGUAUAUGUCUUUUUCUUUAUAUCUCUCAAUGAUUGAAUGUGUAACAUUUUAGCUCAUAUGAUUAGGAGUGUGGGAUCAUGGAGGUAGUACUAAGAAUAAGGAUUAAAGGACUAAACAUGUUGAAUCAGUUGGGUUGGUUAAUCUAGACUUGUAAAUCAUACAUGUUUGUCUCUUUUAUUUAUAUGAACGCCAAAACCAAGGAGAAGCUUAUAAAAGUGAUAGUCAAGUACCUUAAGAUGUUACCUUGCUUGAAGAGUGAUGGUACAGUAUCACCUUGUGGAAGCUUUCCUUUCUUAGUGGUUGUGCAUCGUGUUUGUGGCACCCUCCAUGGAUCAUCUCUCUAUGAUGAAUGAGCUAUGUCCUUCUUGUGCAAAUUGUUAAACUUCAUGUGUCACUCUCUUCAUCUCUGAUGUGAGUUUAUCUCAAGACUUCCCAAAUCGAUAUUGAAAGUUUUUCUGCAGGGGUUAGUCCGACAAAAAUAUACCAAUGUCUACACAAGUAGUUUUUAGUUCAAUAACCGAAUUAGACUCCAUGUCUAAUCAGAUUAAGGAAGGCUGUUUAACCUAAGCACCAUGCUUAAUUUAAAAGCCAAUAGAAGUAUGUGCUGUACUUCCAAACUAACACUUACUAGUAAAUAGACAAAGGUAGCAUGACAGCAUUUAUAGAGAUCUACUCAAGUGGAGAUGAAGUAGUGUGAUUAGUAUUUAACAAAUUGAGCAUGUCUUAAAGGUAGGGACAACCAACAUAGCAACAUGACAAAGGAUGUUUUUAUGUAAAGUACUCCCCCAAGCUUGAAUUUUGCAGAAUUCAAGUUUGGAUGAAUUUAAUUCAAUGUUGUAUGAUGAUUGGUUGGACAUACCUUGUGCUUGUCAUUCAUCCGAUCUUCUUGUUCCAAUCCUGGAAAGGUUAGUGACAAGAAUACCCGAAGGAAUAUUUUUACAAUUAUCCUUAUAUGCUCAAUACACAAGGUAAUGUUGCAAAUAAUUAAAAACUCAUGUUACGAUCUGAUCAGCGCUUAUUUUAAGGCACUAAGCUUGUCCUUGGGAAACCAUCAAUUUAUGUCGGCGAAGUGGUUUCCCUUCCAACGCUGACCUAAAUCAAGAUUAACUCAAUGAGAUCUGCAAUAUUUAUUAUAGACAUAUGCAUCGACAACCGCCCUUUUAAAGUUUUUAUAAAUAGAAAGGAAGAGGGGCUUGGAGAUCUCAAAUGUGGUGAUGUUGGAGAGACCAAUAGAUUGGGAAGAUGUUGCAUAUGAGCAUGGAGUAAACGAAGUGGCUAUGAAAUAAAUUCCAUGCUCAUUAAUGUUAUCUUCGCCUCCAAUCUGAAUGUUCGGAGUUUCACCUUGAUUGGUCUCACCUAUGUCCUCUUCUGUAGUUGGAUGAAUCUUAUCUUCAAAGGGAGUCAAGAACUCACCAUUUGAAAUUGAGCCAAAGUCAGAAUCCAUUAAGGCUUCUUCCUUAUCCAUCCAUUCUACACAUUCUAGCCAUUUAGAACUUGUGAUCAGGAAAGGGGAGGUGUUAGAAUUUUCAAUAUGGCUUAGCUCUCCUUCACUUGAUAUGUCAUCCUCGACUUCUUCAUAACAGGAACCAGGACAUUCUCUAAGAGAACCAUUAUUGCGAGGAUUUGAAUUAUCCCUGCUUGAAGGUCUCUUAUGGAACCAUAAGUCUAAACCAUCAGCAUCUGAAAGAUUUAAGGUUGGAAUUCCUUCCUCCCUUGGAGAAUUUUGGGGUAUUGAUGGUUUAGGAUCGAUAGCUAAAGUUUGGAAUUGAAGUGGUUGUGAUCUGGCUAUCGAAACUUCUUCUUCUUGUCUAGAAACUGGUUCUGUCUCUUUCUCAGGGAUAUAAAAGCUAGGAGACUUUCCGCUCAUUAAAUCAAUCAAAUUCCAAGCUUCACUAGCGGAUAGGUGGUGGAAAGAUCCUCCAGAGGCCGCAUGAAGGGUUUGCUUAUCUUUCCUACUAAGGCCCUCAAAAAAGUGAAUUAGAAGAACUUCUUCUGGAAUAGAAAGCUUUGGGCCAGUGAGAGUAAGGUUAAUAAAGCGGUCCCAUGAUUUGCCAAGAGAUUCUUCUUCCAGUUGUCUAAAAGAAAUAAUCUCACGUCAAAGUUCCGCCACUUUAGAGAUUGGAAAAUAUUUUAAAAGAAAACUAUUAUGUAACUCCUUCCAAUCUCCAUGAACACUCCCUAUUUUGAGUUUGUAUCAAUGUCUAGCUUUUCCCGUUAAAGAGAACGGAAAGAGCUUCCAUUUAAGGGUCUCAUCGGACAUUCCUUCUAUGCGAAGGAGGUCACAGACUCGAUAAAACUCUCUUAGGUGUGUGUAUGGGUUUUCCUCACCUUCUCCUGAGAAAGGUUGUUUUUGAACAAAUUCUAUGUAUUCGGGGUCUAUCUCAAAACUAGAUGCUAUGAUAGGUUUUGAAGAUUUUGGUGGUUCGAGAUGUGUACCCGUAGGUCUAUGAAAUUCAUAGAUAGACAUGUUUGAAUUCAUGAUAGACCAGAGAUCAAGGAUUAGAUAAGAAGAAAGAUUAGCAGAGAUGAGGCAAAGGAUAAAAGGAAAAUAUAUUUUUUAUUAUUAUUAUUUUUUUAGAAAAUGAUUAAGCUAGUUCGUAGUCAACUCAGCAACUGUUUCCCCGGCAACGGUGCCAAAAAUACUUGUUGACACUUGCUAACACCACUUGAAUACUAGGUUGUCAUCCCCAGCAUAGAACUAGAGUGUACUAUGGUAUUUAUACGCACACAGAUAAUCCGCAAGCGCACGGAUACCGUUGAAGCUUUUACCUGGUUAAAGGUUUUAUCGUAUCCACAGGGAAACGAGAGAACCAACUACGCUCUAACUUAACCAAAAUAGGAAAGAUGGUAGAAUCGAAUAAGAACAAUAUUAAAGGUAAGAUAAUAGUGAGUGAUAAUAUGGGAAUAGAGAAUAGAGCAAUUCUAGUAUAUGGGCGAUGGUAGCAGAAUAGAGAGAAUAACUAUGGUUUCUCUACUUCAAAGGGGUAUGUCUAUGUCUGGGACGAACCAUGUGAUAAGAUUACACCACAAAGGAUGCUUAUCCAUAGGCCGAUAAACCCUACCCAUCCUGCUAACAAGAGGUGGACUACAGAGGACCAACGUAACUGUCACCUACGCGGCCUACCACACGAUCCAGCUAGACAGGGGAUAUCCACAAGUAGUCUAGGUCUAAGCACCAUGCUUACACCUAUACUACAACUCUAACCUAUAGCGUCCUAUAGAUUAGAAGUACUCAAAAGUGUUGUGAACUAGAACAUACAUGAUUAGUAAUUGCAUAAUGAAUUAGAAGUAGAUUACCAGAGUCAUCCCUUGAGCAAGCUUGAUUAGAGCUUGAUCAUGACGAAGUACAACCGGAGGAAGAACCGACAGGCCGGCCUCUCCUCUAAUCCUCCUUCGCUCUCCAUCUUUCUACUAUCUAGAUCUACUCUAGUUUAGAGAAGAGAGGAGAGCUCUCAUCUCUAAACCCUAGCUUUUGCUCUGUCUAUGAAUAAUGAAUAAUGAUCAAGGAUUGCCUCCUCCAGGGGCCAGGGGGUCUGGUUAUAUAGUCUUUUCAGAUGAAUCUGGGCUGUCGGAUCAAACCGACAUUGAUCGUGUGGUUUUCCUUGAAGUAUUAGGUCGGUGGAGAUCUCCCGAGAGAAAGAGUCCCGAUUGGGCUUCAGAGGUGGGCGGGCGCCCAGGGCAGGAGGGUGGGCGCCCUGCCUCUGGCCCCGUUCGGUCUCCGCUUACUUCCCGUGGCUUCUGGAGUCUUCUAGAUGUAAGAUAAUUGCACGACACAUUAAUAUCUCUAUGUAAUUCCGAUGUGUGGGCCUUUCUUCCGUAUUUCCUGAUAACCCCCUGCAGAAAUAGACAAACACCAAAACUCGUGGAAUUCUGUCAGAUAAAACCCUAUGUCUAGAUGUUGAUUUCAUUUGGAUCAUUUUCUUUGUUUAUUUGAUAAUUCAAUUUGAUACUUAAGGACUGUCAACAAAGCCCUACCUUGUCGAUCAGCUGAUUCAAAACAUGCCAAGAGAAUGUUCCAUGAAGUAAUCUUUCCUCGCUUUGGUAUACCCCGAAUAGUUAUAAGCGAUGGAGGUUCCCACUUCAUCGACAAAAUCUUCCGGAAGUACCUAGCUGAUCAUGGAGUUGGACACAACGUCGCAACACCAUACCAUCCUCAGACUAGCUGUUAAGCCGAAACAUCUAACAAACAAAUCAAAAAUAUUUUACAAAAGACCAUAGAUGAGAUGGGUAAGGGGUGGAAGGACAAACUUCCUGAUGCAAUUUGGGCAUAUAGAACUACAUUCAAAACACCCAUAGGCAUGUCACCUUAUCAACUUGUAUAUGGAAAAACUUGUCAUUUGCCUGUGGAAGUAGAGUUUAAGGCUCAUUGGGCACUCAAGAAAUGGAACAUGGAUCUCCACCUCGCUAGCGAGAAUCGUCUGAUGCAACUAUCUCAGCUAUAAAAAUGGAGAGAGAAAGCCUACCAUAAUUCAAGGAUCUAUAAAGAGAGAACAAAAUGAUGGCAUGAUAAGAGAAUCAAGCACAAGGAGUUUAAGCCUGGAGAUAAGGUUCUACUAUUCAAUUUAAGAGUUAAGCUCUUUAGGCAUGGUAAGCUACGAAGUAAGUGGGAUGGACCAUACAAGGUUAUUGACACUUCAACUCAUGGAGCCAUUAUCAUCCAAGACGACAUAGGUAACACUUUUAAGGUAAAUGGUCAACGCUUGAAAAUCUAUCUCGAGCCACAAAACAACCUGGUAGAGGAACUUGAUGUGAUUGAGUUCAUAGAAUUCUCACAUUAAGCUCUCAUAAGCUCUAGACAAUUACCUAACCCUUAACAUGCUCCACGAGUUUUGUUGUCUAUUUGGGUUGUGUAGGAUUUUGAGGCUUAAGAAGAGUGAGACCGAACAUGCAAGCCACAAGAGUGAACGACUAUGUCAACAUCCAGCUUGGGGGAGGCACCCCCACGUGUAUCUAGAUAAGUAUUACUUUUCUUUCUUGGUUUUAUUUACUAGUAUUUGGAAAUAAAUAAAAAAAUGCAUAACUAUGAAACCAAACAAAGUUUUUCUUUUGAGUAAUAUACAAUAGUUUUGUGUAAUCCUAAGUUUUAAAUAAAAUAAAAAAAGUUUGAUCCAUGUCUAGGUAAUUGACAAACAUGAUAUCAGAAGGUCUGAGCUACUAUUUAACUUGUUCCAAGUUUCGCUAGAGUUCUAGAGAUUUUAUCUUUUGAAAAUCUAAAAAUUCAAAAAAAAGAGAUCCUGUUUGACAUAAUACCUAGAGUCUUAUAAGAUAUAAAUAUUAAAACUGUGGACACUUGCUUUGUUCAAGCCAUUGUUAAUUCUUGUGGUUUUGGUUGAGAGAAUUAUCAUGCUCCAAAGAUCAAGAUCUUUUUGUUUUAAAAAUAUAAAAGAUUCACUCUUCCGAAGUAUUAUUGCGUUAGAGGCAUGGGACUAUGCAAAAUUUUGAUUCGAAAAAAAAGAGUGAGACGAGAGAUAAAAAUGGACAAGUGUCCGAAGUAGAAUUAGAGGUACAAAGAUACGUGUCCGAUAGUAGAAUUAGGGGUACUUGGUGCCCACUUGAAAAAAAAGAGAGAAGAACAAAAAGAAAAAAAAGAGAGAGAGACUGAAAAAAAGAGAGAAAAAAAUGAUAGCCCAUGGUCCCUCUAAUAAGCAAUAUGCCAGUAAGAGAUGAUAAACUUUUCAAAAAGGUCAAAGGUCUUGAUCUAGGAGUAUGACAUUCCUCUCCCUUGCUCCGAGCAUUGAUAUAGCAAAAUGCAAAGUAAGUAUGCUAAAACUUUUAAAGCUCUACUUAUAUAUCUUUCGAGAAGAAGGCAAAUGCCUCAGUUUUAUUUUGGAAACUUACAAAAAACUCCAGAACAAAGGUAAGACAGAAGAACUUGAGACGUAGUGCUUGACUUGAUCGUUCUGUUUUUCAAUCACUUAAGAACUUAGUGAUAACUUAAAAAACCCUGUAGUAAGAGACAUAAAAGUAACCCCUGUUUUCUUGCUGAUUUUAGCUUUGCUCAGGGAUGAGCAAAGGUUAAGCUUGGGGAGCUUGUUGACGGUCCUUAAUGCUCACAUUUAACCGUCAACUAAUCAUGGAAAAGGACCUAUAUGCAACCAACAUCCAAAAUUAGGGUUUCAUCUGAUAGAAUUCCACGAGUUUUGGUGUUUGUCUAUUUCUGCAAAGGGUUAUCAGGAAAUAUGGAGGAAAGGUCCACACGUCAGGUUUAUAUAGAGAUAUUAACAUGCACCGCAAUUAUCCAACAUCUAGAAGAGUCGAGAAGCCACGGGAACGAGCGGGAGGCCGAGCGGGCCUGGGGGCUGGGCGCCCGCCUGCUAUAGGAGCCAAUCAGGCUCCGUCUCGUAGAUUAUGCUCCACCGACCUAAAGGAUUAAGGAAAACCGUGCGAUUAAGAUCGGUUUGAUCCGACGGCCCAUGUUCAUUUGGAAGGGCUAUAUAAGCAGGCCCCCUGGCCCCUGGAGAGGAUAUCUCUUCUACAGAAUCAAAGCUAUGGUUUCAAUUAUUCAUCCAAGUAGAGAGAAUCCCUCUAGUUCAUCUAGUUCUAGUUCUAGUUCAUCUAGUUCUAGUUGUAAUCUAGAAAAUAGGGAGAGAGAAGAGGAGAGCAGAGGAGGAGCUGGAUCUGUCAGAUCUUCCUCGACAUUGUACUUUUGCAGCAACUAGUUCGUUCUUCAUCGUUCUCCAAGUUCUUCAAUUCAUAAUUCCUGAGUUCUUUAAUUACUUUUAUUUAUAUUCAAGUUAUUUAUUGGAUUCCCGCUUGCAUCAAGUGCUCUAGUCUUUGCAACGCUAGAGUAGUAAUUAAUAGAUUAGACGUGGUGUUUAGUCUUGCAAUUACCUGGAAUUGCACCCAAUCCUGCGGAUUGUUGUGGUAACCCUAGGGUAGUGACAGCCCUAACGGUCAACAUAUUCCACCUCGUUCAGAUCGGUGUUUGUAGGACCAUAAUCAGAGCUUUCUAGCCCCCUUCUCAUCUCUUUCUGUGGUUAGUGUUCUGAUGUCCCGAAAUAAAUAAUCUUUAAAGUAAUUUUUGAUUCUCAGAUCAACUAGAGAACUCUCAGGAAACUUCCUCUCUUCCCACCAAAAUAAUUAUAUAGUUAUCUUUGGGCGAUCUUGAAUCUUAAUUAGUACACUCACGUUCCCUGUGGAAAAUCGUUACUCUGGAAUACUCCCGGGUGAAAGCUACAUCAGUAUCCGUGCGCUUGUGGAUUUUUUUGUUUGCAUUUAAAAUACCCAACAGUCAUGCAUAUAUUAGUUUACACUUUGAAGAUCAGUUUACUUUAAUAAUUUGUGCUAUGUGAGCUAGAAGUUAAACUUACCAAGUUACUUCCAGUUUCCUGAGCUAACAUAUCAAAGUCCAUUCCUUGUUUAGCAACAAGUGUCUGUAAAAACAUCAUGGGUUCGAAAUAGGUAUUUAUUUGUACGCAUGUUUUUAUUCUAAUGAUAGUUACCCGCACAACAUGUUCAAGGUUGCUAUAUUUAUUUUGUAGCUGCAAAUUUUCCCUUUCAAGUCGAUUCUCUUUAGCAGAAACAAGUGGUUGGGCACUUCCUUUUCUUGUCUUCGUUGCUUCUUUCUCAUCAACACUAAUUGCUCCAUCACUAAUUCCUAGCUUACCAUGCGGCAUUCUACCUGCAAACUCAUAAAUGACACUUGCAUCUAAUUGUGGAUGCUCAAUUUUCCAAUUCGUGCCAUACUUUUUUUCCAUUCCUUGUUCAUAUUGUGCCUUUUUCCAAAAAAACAUAGAAAAGCUAAGGUUCAGUUACAAGACAAAUACAAGAGCUAUCUGUUAGAUAAUCCAACCCUUACCCAUUUAUCAGCAAUAUUCUGGUUGCACAACCUGCCAUCAUUUGUCCCACGAUUCAAUUUAUGAUUAUGCAGCCAAGCACCAGCAAUUCUAGGGUCAACUCCAUUUUUUAGUACCUACAAUUCAAGUAUGCUUUGACAUAUAUGGUACAUUGUACAUAAGUACUCUAUGAAGUCAUAACUUUUUGGUUUGGAUUCUUACCAGCCAUUGGCGUGUUGCCGGUAAGCUUCUUGAGCCACUGCGAUGUUAUACAAUAUUAUCUCUAGCUAGGCGAUUUUGCUUUGCCGUUACUGAUGAUUUUCUAAAUUUUGAUGAACUCCAGUGCUCACAUAGCAAAGCCCAGCCUUCAUUGGUUGUAAAGUCUAUUGGUUUAGCAGAUAUAAGUGCUUCUUUUGUUGGCCAAUGAUUUCCAUACUCGUUCACAUCUUCUGGGGGCACAUUACCAUCCUUAUAUAGCUUCCUUGUGACAGCCCGCUUCUCUUUACUUAAUAUCUUAGGCACCAUGUUCUUAAAUUUUAACUCCAAGACAGCAUCCGCCUUGGCUCUAUCUUCUGGAAGACACUUGAAACACCACUGGACAAUUAUAUUAUUUAUAGUUAGUUGCAGUUGAGAUACAUUAUACAUAAUAGCAAUGUUAGUUAGUAAGCUAUAGUGUAACACCCUAAAAAUUGUUACCUUAGAAAAUAGAGCUAAAAUGAUUUAUUUAUGAAUUUUUGUGCUCAUGAAACAUAGGAAAAAAUAAUAUUUUUUCAUUAAAAUAAAAAUUUAUCAUAGGAUUAGUAAUAUGGUUGUGCAUUCAUGCUGGAAAAUUCAUUUUUAUUGUGAUGAGUGAUUUGACCAAAGAUCAAAAAUAUUUCAAACAUAUUUUAAAUUGUUUUGACAAGGUUUUGAAAUAAAAAAAAACAAAACCCCAGUCAGCCCCAUUUCCCCAGCGCUCAGGCCCAGAGGCCUCGCCUUCUUUUUUUUUCCCGCGCAGGCCGCUCCUUGGCCUAGCAGGCCAGCCCAGCGCGCGCCCACUACUCCCCCUCUCUUCUCUCUGGUGACCGGGCCCCGACCCUUCUCCCACCGACAUCACGGCCCCACCCGUCAGCCGACUCCUUCCCCCCUUCCUUUCUUCUCCACGUAACCGAACGGGAGACUCCACCGAACGGCAGAGAAAUCCCGGUUUCCUCGGGAUCCUUUGCCAAUCCGCGUGUCAUGCCCCUAUAAAGCUCUCAAAUCAACCCUGUAGACCCCAUUUCGCACUUAAGUCGUUCAACCCGAGCUCUAGCUUCGUUUUCCGCGAGAACUAGAUCUCGCCGAGAGUCCUCUCCGCCGCGGCGAGUGCCCGGCUAUUUCUGCUCCUCGAGCCGAAUCGACCCCCUAGGUGAGAUCGCCGCACUCUCCUCUACUCGCCCAUGUGCUCGGUUUGAAUUUUGGUGCAACGAAUCGUGAAAUCCGUUGACGCCGGCGAGCUCGGCCUCCCUGGCCAUGGCGCCGCCGCAUCGGGACGUCGCUCCGGCGGCCGGCCGCCGCCCGUCACACUCCCAGCGCGCCUGAGCCGUCCAAUCGAGGAUCAACGCUCCAGAUUAAAACAUACCUCUUCGUUGAAAAACUUCAUUAAGAGUCCCUGCAACUUUUCUAUAUUUACUCCGCAGUCCUUGGCGUUUUGGGCGGUUUGCUCUUCUCAGUUUUGAAAGCGUAAUCUAGAUGGCUGGUUUCAAAAUACGCUUUCCAAUAUUCACAGAUUUGCCACUGAAACUAUUUUGCUCAUAAUAUAUUCGUUUUAACUCCGUUUUUGUCCAUCCAAAUUUCAUUAGAUUCAUUUUAACGAGCUCUAUAUGUUAGAAGUACUAUUUCUCUGUUUUGAAACUUUUUAUUUCUGCAGUAGCAUUUAAUUAAUUAUUUCUCAAUAGGAAAUCUUGGAAAAUUCAUAACUUCUACGUUUUAAUUUCGAUUUUCGUGAACUUUACGUUUGUGUGAUCGUAGCGCUGCGUAGAAUAUUUUGAUAAACUUCUAUAUUUGUUUUACCACUGUUUGGUGUAUUGUUCUAAUUAUAGCUUGUUUGCUUCAUGUAUGAUUGUCUACAUUGGAUUGUGUGUGUGAUCGAUGAUCGAGUUUAGACGGAGAGCAGUUUUUGGUGAUCAAGAUCAAAGCUUUGGCAACAAGCAAGACCAGCAGAACCAAAAGGAUCAGCAAGAGCAAUUGGAUUAAGGCAAGUAUAGCAUUUGGGUUUUAAUUUUGUGACCAUGAUCGUGUGACUAGAUUAAUGUUAAGUAAUAAAUGAUAAAAAUGACUUUUUAGCCACUUGAUGAUUUAUCUGUAAGUGAGAACCGGGACAACGAUGCAACCAUGAGGGCUAUAAUGGCUCUGGCUUUAGCUCAGUAUGAAGCCCUUUUCUAGCUUGUUAGAGGUUACCCGAAAGGGCGGAGGGGCUGAACCGUUUUGGGUAUAGUGUGGCCUCUGUCUGUAUGUGUAUAGGCUGCACAUCAUUGUGCCAUCGGAAGGGGGUUCUAUAUCUGCGUGCAAAGGAAACCUUGCGGCCCUAACAGGUUAGACGAACUUCUGAAAGGCUUCAUAGUGAUCCCUGCCGACCUUCCUUGGAAGUGGGUUAAGAGGCUGAUCACCUCGGGGGAAGGUAAAUCAUGACUCAUGGGUAAAAAUGUACAACAUCUGUAGAGUGUUAAAAACUGGUAUACUAGCUGUGCUCACGGUCAAGAGCGGCCUUGCGGAUUCUUGCAUCGACGAUGAUGAUUCUUGUGUGUUAAAUAUGCCCAUUAUUUAUUAUUUAAUGCUCUAUAUUAUUUAUGUCACAUUGAUCAUGAGACUGUGGAAUCUAUACAAUCUAGUUGUUAUACUUGUGGAGUUCGACAUGGACUCACUCUUGCUAUUACCCCCACACUUCAGGAGAUGGUUUAGGCUUGUGAUCAACCAGUCAGUUGGAUCCUAUAGAGAGAAGUUAAUACCCGAAGUUGGAGUUGUCUAUCCGUUGUUUGCUAUCAAAGGUUAUCCCUUUUAUACUAAGUACGUUAUAUUUAUGCAUUGUUUUUUUGAUAUUACCCCUUAUUUGUAGCUAUAUGUGAGAUUUGACUUCUAAAACUGACAUAUGGUGCAUAUCUGGUUUUGAUCUUAAAAUCGGGUAUUAAAAAGUGGUAUCAAAGCAAUGCUGUCUGUAGGACGCAAGCCUAGUUAGAAAUUGGUCGUCUUAAGGUUUUGGAAUUGUCAUGAAAUCCUUGCUCUAUAAACCAUGGUAUUUUCAUCCAUACUAUAUCCCUAUCCUUGCUAUUUGUCUCUACCUUGUUGCUUAUUUUAAAAGUACUUGUUCUCACCUUCACUCCUUGAUUUGGCAUUCUAUUAGAACCUUUUCUUACCAUCUUCUUGCGUCUUUGAAAUAUAAGUUUUAGGAUCUUUACCCUUACUAUGAAGAGAACGAUAGUAUCGCAAGUUGAGUGAAGUGUGAACUUCAAUGCUUAGUUGGUUUGUCAUUAUGCUUAUGCUUGAUUUGGAUCUUUGUAAUGAGUGCAAUGAUCUUGUGGGUUUUCUCCAUAAUUUCAUUUAGUUUAGAGAUCUAAGGUUUAAGGAGUAAUGAAAUAAAUAGUUGGGUUUUGGUUCUCUCUUGUUAUCUUAUCCUGUCUUUUCAGAGUAUCUCCUCUUUAUCAGUUUAUAUCUCUGUUCUUGCAUAACCAAAAAUCAUGAGAAAAUUUUGGAUGAUAGUAGACUUCAAGAUCUUUCUCUGACCGCAAGAAUCACCCUCAUAGCUAUCACGGUUUGGAAGUUACAAAAAUUCACAAGACGAUACAAAUGUGCUGUCAGGAAUCUGGACCAGUUUUGGUUGCCUACUGUUAGAGACAAAUAUAGCUAUAGAAUUUGGAAAAGUGUUCUAUAGAAAAGUUGUAGACAAUUUUCUAAGCUUUUCAAAAGUAUAACCUGGAACUCAUUUGGAUAAGUAUAACCUGAGAUAUGACAUUUACACUUGGAUGUUUCUGUUCUGUUUUAAGAUCUGGACAGAUGUGGUAUUUCCUAUUUUCGGCCAGGUUAAAGUCAGAAUCUGGGAAAGCGUUCUAUACAAAAGUUGUAGAGGAUUUCCUAAGCUUUUCAAAAAUGUAAGGAUCAUCUCCAUAUGAGUUAAGUAGCUUGAGAUAUAAUUUCUGGAAUUUACUGCACCUUUGCUGAGACAUUAUCAGGAAGGAUAUUAUGUUUGGUUGUUUUACCUAAGCUUAAAGACAGAAUCUAAGGAGGUAUUCUACAGGAAAGUUGUGGUGAAUUUCAUAAGCUUUCUAACGGUAUAAGCUAUAACUCUAUUGGAUUCAUAGAGUAAGAGUUAUGUCCAUUUUACUACGCUGGUGUUUUUCAUAUCACGAAAAAAUUUCAGGAUACCUGUUUGUUCUCUUGCACAUAAGUUCUUUGGGAUGUCAGAAGUUCUCAAUGUUAACUUGCCUGGAAAAUAUGCAAGCUACCUUUCUUGGUCCCCUAGUUGACUUUUCUUAAGGGGGUAGCCUAAUUAAAGAAGUUACAAGAGAAGAAGUGGUUAAUGACUAGAACAACUACAAGGACAUCAAGUGCUUGGUAUGUUGGUUUGUUUCAAGAUAUCAUUCUAUUUGAAGUGUGCUAAUACCAAUGGAGGUUUAUGUCAUUGCUGAUACUUAUGGAUUGAGAGUUGUGUAUGAGGAUCAGAUGACACCAAAGGCUACAAUGUUACAUAUGCAAUAUGAGAGUGAAACAACUUAAUUGUGAUAAAGGUACCGAUAAUUGGGACUUAGUGAUGAAACUAACCUUGGAUCAAGAGACUCGGUACAACGAAUACAAAAGACUAUGAUGUGUAGCGUACAAAAAGGAUAGGAGAGCUAGUCUCUAGUGUCCUCCAAUCAAUCUCGUCUUAAGGGGGUAGUACUAGGCCUGGGCAAAUUACCCGAUACACAUUACCCGUACCCGAAUUACCCGGACCGGGACCCGAAUUACCCGAACCCGAGGUACCCGAUCCUAAAUUCAGAUAGUGAUUUUGAUUACCCGAAAUUUGUUUGGGUAAUUCAGGUAAUAUCUUUCGGUACCCGAACUACCCGGAUUACCUGAAUAUUUGUCUAUAUCUUUGUAUUUAUCAUGUGUUGUUAGUUAAAUAUUAGAAUUUAUCAAUUUAUUAGAACAUAAUUCUUUUUGUUUGAACAAGUGAUAGUAAUAUAUUAUUCUCUACAAAAUGCUAUUGAAAUUCUAUACAAAUUGCUGGUGAAAUUAUAUAUAAAUUGCUAUUGAAAUUUUGUAUAGUGUGUUGUUUUUUGAAAAUUCGGGUAAAUCGGGAAUACCCGAACCCGAACCCGAAUUAUCGGGUACCCGAAAUUGCGGGUAGUGUUUUUUCGGGACUAAUAUCGGGUAACAAUUUUCAUUACCCGAAUUUUGAAUUACCCGACCUGAAAAAAUCGGGUAACCCGAAUGCCCAGGCCUAGGUAGUAUGUGGAUACCACGGGAUGAUGCAUAUUUAAUUUAUCUUGAAGUGAUAAUUGUGUUCUAAGAUAUCCUAUGGUUAUUAUCAUCUUUCCUUUGAAGAAAAGUGUUACGAGUAUGACAAAGCUGAGUGUUAUCAAAAUAAUAAUACAGAAGAGCAAGUUGACAUUGAACCAAAUCAGAAUCCACAACGACGGAAGCAUAAAUGGAAAGCUCGUAAAAAGCCUGCUCUCGGAAGUAAAGUGCAGCAAAAUUAUAUCAAUGGAAGACUGAGCAAUGUGGAUAAGAAUAACAUUCAAGGAGCCACCAAAGUGGUGGGAGGCUAUAUUCAAGUGGGCUCAGUGCUAGUUUUUGUUCUGUUUGACCGAAGUGCUUCGCAUUCUUUCAUUUCCGCCGACUUGGUAAAGACGAUCGAACGGGUGAAGUGUCCAACGAGGAAGCCUUUGUUUGUUCAAACCACAAUGGGAGAAAUACAUGCAGAUCAAGUUUGAUCGAAUAUUAAUCUGGUCAUAAGCAAGGAAAACUUCACAGUAAACCUCAUUGUGCUAGAGUCACUCGACAUUCCUUUGGUUCUUGGCAAUGGAUGGUUAUGUGCACACAAAGGAGUGAUCUAUGAUACCCAGUGGAAAAUUUUCUUAACCGCGCCAUCAGGAAAAAGAAUUGAGUAUCAAGGUGGUCCACUCCUACUUGAGGAGGCAUAUCCAUGCUAAGUUAUCAUAUCUUUGAGUUGUAUAAGUCAAAAAAAGUUAGUAGUCAAGAUAGACUUUGAUCAAUUAUGAAUAAUAUACAUUCCAUGGAAUAUUUGAGUUUGCCUUGGUAUACAAGUUGUGAAGUUGAAAGAGUUAUCAAGAUCUUUUUCCCGUUUCUCUUUUGGAAUCCGUGCCUCUUCCGAAUCUCGAGGACGAGAUUCAUUUUAAGGGGGGGUAGAUUUGUAACACCCUAAAAAUUGUUACCUUAGAAAAUAGAGCUAAAAUGAAUUAUUUAUGAAUUUUUGUGCUCAUGAAACAUAGGAAAAAAAUAAUAUUUUUUCAUUAAAAUAAAAAUUUAUCAUAGGAUUAGUAAUAUGGUUGUGCAUUCAUGCUGGAAAAUUCAUUUUUAUUGUGAUGAGUGAUUUGACCAAAGAUCAAAAAUAUUUCAAACAUAUUUUAAAUUGUUUUGAAAAGCCUUUGAAAUAAAAAGAAAAAAACAAAACCCCAGCCAGCCCCAUUUCCCCAGCGCUCAGGCCCAUAGGCCUGGCCUUCUUUUUUUCCCCACGCAGGCCGCUCCUUGGCCUAGCAGGCCAGCCCAGCGCGCGCCCUCUACUCCCCCUCUCUUCUCUCUGGUGACCGGGCCCCGACCCUUCUCUCACCGACCUCAUGGCCCCACCCAUCAGCCGACUUCUUUCCCCCUUCCUUUCUUCUCCACGUAACCGAACGGGAGACUCCACCGAAUGGCAGAGAAAUCCCAGUUUCCUCGGGAUCCCUUGCCAAUGCGCGUGUCAUGCCCCUAUAAAGCUCUCAAAUCAACCCCGUCGACCCCCUUUCACACUUAAGUCGUUCAACCCGAGCUCUAGCUUCGUUUUCCACGAGAACUAGAUCUCAACGAGAGUCCUCUACGCCGCGGCGAGUGCCCGGCUGUUUCUGCUCCUUCUCGAGUCGAAUCGACCCCCUAGGUGAGAUCGCCGCACUCUCCUCUACUCGCCCAUGUGCUCGGUUUGAAUUUUGGUGCAAGGAAUCGUGAAAUCCGUUGACGGCGGCGAGCUCGGCCUCCCUGGCCAUGGUGCCGCCGCGUCGGGACUGUUGACGGUUCUUAAGUAUCAAUUUUAAUUAUCAAAUAAACAAGGGAAAGGACCAAUAUGCAACCAACACCUAGAAUUAGGGUUUGAUCUGACAGAAUUCCAUGAGUUUUGUUGUUUAUCUAUUUCUGCAGGGGGUUAUCAGGAAAUAAGGAAGAAAGGCCCACAUGUCGGGAUUACAUAGAGAUAUCAACGCACCGCACGAUUUUCUACCAUCUAGAAGACUACAGAAGCCACGAGAAGAAAACAGAGGCUGAAAGGGGCCAGGCCCAGGGCGCCCGCCCUGGUGACCUGGGCGCCCGCCCCCCUCUGGAAGCCUUUCGGGACUCUCUUCGCACGGGAUAUUCCACCGACCUAUUGGAUCAAGAAAAACAUAGUACCACCUCGCCUACCGACCCAAAAACGCAUAGAGGAGGAGGACUAUAUAAGGAGACCCCCCUAGCCCCUCGAGAAGAUAUUAAGAAAUUAUCAUAGAGAUUGAGGGGUGCCCUCGAAGGAAAACCUCUUCUCUAAUUAAUAUUUCUUUUUAGGCUUAGCAACCAAUGUAAAGUAGAAAUAGAUCUUCUAGUUUCUACUAGAUUGAGAGAUAUAGAGUGGAGGUGUAGAUCGGAGGAAGGCCGGCCUGUCGGUGUCUACUCCAAGCUUGUACCUGCGGGAUCAAGUUCUCCUAACCCGAAGCUUGCUCCUAGGAUUCUUCAGUAUUUCGACUUCUAAAUUCUAAUAAGUUCUUGUUUUAUUGUUCUUCUGGUUUAUGAGUUUACUUUAAUCUCUUCGCUUAGAGUUUAGAGUAAUCAUUGCUGGCGUAAAUGUGGUGUUUAGGCUGGGGUACUCAUAGAUAUUCCCUGACUAGCUGGACCGUGGAAGUAGUGAGGAACGUGACAAUUCCGAGUUACCUUUGCAGACCAUAUCUCGUUAGCAGGAAGGAUAGGGUUUAUAGGUGCGGGUUGAACAUCCUUUGUGGUGUCAAGAUUCCGUUAGCCUCCCCAAUAGAACAGUAGAUCAUCCUUACCAAGGUUAGAAGGAGACUACGGUUGCAGUCUUCUCUAUUUAUCACUCACAUCGAAAGACAUUCUUUGUGCCUAAAGGGUUAGUAGUAAUAGACCGGUUAGUCAGAUGCACUCUUUCUCCUAGUGGUAAAAAAAUAAAUACGAUACUCUGGAUAAUUUCCCGGGUGAAGUGCUCACCGAUAUCCGUGCGCUUGCGGAUCAAUUCCUUAUUGCGUUCCCAAAUAUCAACAAGCAUUUCUGGCGCCGUUGCCGGGGAGAAAGACGGUUGCUGAGAUAACCUUGAGUCUUACUACUAGCUUGUAUCUAUACUUUUAUCUUUUCUUAUCUUUUAUAUUCUUUAUUUAUUUUCUUUACUCUUACCUUAUGGAAAACCAAAAUUCUAAAUCGAUCCAUGAGUCUGCAAUCCCUUCAGUAACUGACCUUUUACCAUGGGAGUCAUCACAGCCUAUCCAAACAUCCCAGUAUAAGUUAAGUUCUAGUUUGAUUGCCAUGAUUCAAAACCUAUCUUUUUCAGGAAAGGAAGACGAAAACCCUUACCUUCAUAUUAGAGAUUUUGAGCAAACAUGUGAUUGUCUUCGCAUUGAAGGCAUUUCUGAUAAAACUUUACGUUGGAAGCUUUUUCCUUUUUCUUUAAGGGGAGAAGCUAGACAAUGGUACAGUCAGAAGGUAAGUCAACAACAAGGUGAAUGGGGUGUUUUACGAGCCAACUUUUGUCUAGAUUUCUAUUCCCUCGACCGUAUAGCCGACCUUAGACUCGAAGUCCUAUCUUUUAAACAAAAAGAUAAUGAAACUUUGGGAAAAUCCUGGAAACAUUUUUCUGAUCUUUUAGAAUCUGGUCCAAACCUUAAUCUUGAAGACCCUGUUCUUUUAUUUCACUUUUUUCGAGGUCUUCAGAAAAAUUACAAACAAAUGCUACACACAAUGUCUAGAGGUUCUUUCUUUCGAAUCCCUACUAAUGAAGCUAGAGUGAUCCUAGAUAGAAUCCUAGAAGCUGAGAUGGAUAAUACCCUUCAUGAUGAAACCUACGAAGCCGAAGUAGACACUCUGCCAAAUUCUUCAUCUACUUUAGCUAUCCCAAGUUCUGAGCCACAAGAGGAAGAAAUUCCACCACCGGACUUCAUGCUGGAUAUAGAAUCCGAUCUUUUUGCUGAUUUUGGAAAUAUUUCAAACUACCAUUCUAUUGACAAACCCCAAAACGGCCAUUUUAGCAUUUAUUUGCCAAGUGAAUAUCAAUUGAGAGAGCUUAUCUCAGUCAUAAGUAGCGAAUGGUUGGAGGAAUCAGAGCUUACCUCCGAUGUGAUCCGUUUGGACACACCCUCUAUAACUAUACGCUGUGCUUAUAAUUCUGAUCGAUUUAAUGCUCUUUAUAAUUCUGUUGUGGGGAUCAACAUCAUGUCUGAAUCUUUUGCACUUAAACUAUUUAAAAAUCUUGUCUUAACCCCCACAACAAAGGUCAUAGAGGAAUCUUCGGGACGAUUAGUCCCUAGUCUUGGAAUUAUUAAUGUCCUACCUCUUACGGUAGAAGGCUCCAUGGUUCAUUUGAACUUUUAUAUCUUUGAUACAUGGGACUUCGACCUGUUGAUAGGACAACCUUUUAGAAGACUCCUUUAUGAAGGUCAUACUGGAAAGAUACACAUCUCUUUUGGAAAAACCUAUAAAAUCCCAAUAACAAUUUCACACUCCUUAAACAAUAAGGCCGAGUCAUAUCUUUUGCCUGAUCCUAUGGAGGAGGUAAAGGCUGCAUCUCUAGAGCUUUUAGAAGAAUCAGACUUAGAAGACGAAAUUCCUUUCUUCACUGAAGAAGAAACCGAACCUUCUGAACCUGAACCCUUAGAUGAGUUUGCAGAAACACCUAGACCCCCCAUAGAGCUUAAAACUUUACCACCCGGUCUUACAUAUGCUUUCCUAAACAAUAAUCCAGAGUUCCCUGUAAUCAUUAGCGAUAAACUCACUCAGGAUCAAACUCUGCGAUUAAUGACCAUUCUUGAGAAACAUCACUCAGUUUUCGGCUACUCACUCCAAGAUCUUACAGGAAUCAGUCCUAUGAUUUGUACCCAUCGUAUUCCAACAGAUCCUUCUGUUUCACCCUCUCGAGAACCCCAACGUAGACUUAAUAACACUAUGAGAGAGGUAGUUAAAAAGGAAGUUAUAAAGUUGCUGCAUGCAGUGAUUAUAUAUCCUGUGCCGCAUAGUGAGUGGGUAAGCCCAGUGCAAGUUGUGCCUAAAAAGGGAGGCAUGACUGUUAUUAUGAAUGAAAAGAACGAGCUAAUUCCGCAACGCACCGUGAGAGGAUGGCGGAUGUGCAUAGACUAUAGAAAACUAAACAAAGCCACGAAAAAGGAUCACUUUCCUUUACCUUUCAUAGAUGAGAUGCUAGAGCGAUUAGCGAACCAUUCGUUCUUCUGUUUCUUAGAUGGAUAUUCAGGAUAUCACCAAAUCCCGAUCCAUCCUGAUGAUCAAAGCAAAACCAAUUUUACAUGCCCAUAUGGAACUUAUGCUUACCGUAGAAUGUCUUUUGGGUUAUGUAAUGCACCAUCUUCUUUUCAAAGAUGCAUGAUGUCUAUAUUUUCUGAUAUGAUCGAAGAAAUUAUGGAAGUUUUCAUGGAUGAUUUCUCUGUUUAUGGAAAAACGUUUGAUAGUUGUCUUGAAAACUUAGACAAGGUUUUGCAAAGAUGUGAAGAAAAGCACUUAGUCCUUAAUUGGGAAAAAUGUCAUUUUAUGGUUAGAGAAGGAAUAGUGCUGGGACACCUAGUGUCUGAAAGAGGUAUUGAGGUAGACAAAGCUAAAAUUGAAAUAAUUGAACAACUACCUCCACCUGUGAAUAUAAAAGGAAUUCAAAGCUUUCUUGGCCAUGCUGGUUUUUAUCGUAGAUUUAUAAAAGAUUUUUCAUUUAUUGCUAGACCACUUACUCUUUUGCUAGCCAAGGAUGCUCCUUUCGAAUUUGAUGAUGCAUGUCUAACAUCUUUCAAUUUAUUAAAGAAAGCACUCAUCUCUGCACCAAUCAUUCAACCCCCUGAUUGGUCGUUGCCUUUUGAAAUUAUGUGUGAUGCUAGUGAUUAUGCUGUGGGGGCAGUAUUGGGACAAACUAAAAAUAAGAAGCAUCAUGCAAUUGCUUAUGCCAGUAAAACUUUGACAGGAGCUCAACUUAACUAUGCAACCACUGAAAAAGAGCUUCUGGCUGUUGUCUUUGCCAUUGAUAAAUUUAGAUCUUAUUUAGUUAGAGCUAAAAUAAUUGUUUACACUGAUCAUGUUGCACUAAAAUAUUUGCUCACUAAAAAAGAUGCUAAACCUCGCCUGAUUAGAUGGAUCUUAUUACUCCAAGAAUUUGACUUAGAAAUAAAAGAUAAAAAGGGAGUAGAAAAUUCUGUUGCUGAUCACUUGUCUAGAAUGUAUUUUAAGAGUCCACAGGAAACCCCCAUCAAUGAUUCACUCCGGGACGACAUGCUCUACGGGAUUAACAGGUCUGACCCCUGGUAUGCAGAUAUUGUUAAUUUUAUGGUUUCAAGGUAUGUACCACCAGGAGCAAACAAGAAGAAGCUUAUUCAAGAAAGUCGUUCACAUAUAUGGGAUGAGCCAUACCUCUUCCGAGUAUGCUCUGAUGGCUUAUGUUGGGUAUUCUUAACAUCAUAACCAAAAGUAGACAGUUUCCUAAUUCUAGUAACGGUGCCAAAAAUGCCAAACCUAUCCCUCACACCACUUAAGCCAAGUUGUCAUCCCCAGCAUGACAUGAGAGACGCGGUAUUGAAAUAUGCAAUUGCUCUUCUAAAUAAAUAAUGAAUGGGAUCUGCAAGCGCACAGAUUAAUACCGAUGUAGCAUUUUAACCGGGAAGUAUUCCAGGUAUCGUUAUUUAUAUUUUUACCACUGGGAAGGGAUUAACAAUCAUCAAUAUUGAUUACAGAAUAGAAUAUGAGAUUGAGUAUCUAUCAUUGCAUGUAUAAUUGAGAACAUUUAUCUAACUCUUUCAUACAGGGAUAAGUGUCACAUAAAAGAUAUAUGAAAUAAUGAAUAGUGACAAAGAUAAUUAGUCUGAUCAUAACUUAGCCACAUAAUAAAUAUGAUAAGCACCUCAAUUAGAUACUCUAGAAAGUCAUUAGCAUGGUAUUAGAACGAACUACAAGAAUAUUUCCUAAGUUAUUCUCAACUAUAUUGUCUAGCAUUAUCAUAAUUAGUGCAAGCAUACUUAGCAAUCAUUGUGAGACAAGACUACGCCCAUGCAUAGUGAUAUUAGCAAGGUAAAUGAGAAACAUAGCAAUCACUCCCCUGUAAUAAUGUUGCUCUGCCAGCCCAAUACACGAGAGGGGGACUAUAUAAGAAUCAAUGAAGCUGUCACUCAGGAGAUGUGUGACCACUGAAGAAGGAUGGAAGAUCAUCGACAGAUGUCAUUCAUCACCAUAUGGAGGUCACUAUGGAGCAUUCCGUACACAUUCAAAGAUCUAUCAGUGUGGAUUCUACUGGCCUACAAUGUAUGAAGACACGAAGCAAUAUAUCAGAAGAUGUGGGCCAUGUCAAAGACACGGAAACAUAAAUACAAGGGAUGCAAUGCCACUCACCAACAACCUUUAGAUUGAGCUCUUUGAUGUCUGGGAAUAGACUACAUGGGUCCAUUUCCUCCAUCAAAGAAGUGUGAGUACAUCUUGGUGGUGGUUGACAUGUCUCCAAGUGGGUAGAGGCAUUACCUUGCAAGCAUGCCGACAACAUCAGUUCAAAGAGGAUGUUUGAAGAAAUUAUAUUUCUAAGAUUUGGAGUCCCCAGAGUAGUGAUAAGUGAUGGAGGAGCACACUUCAUCGACAAACGCUUCAAGCAAUAUCUAGCAAAACAUGGAAUCCGUCACAACAUCGCUACCCCUUAUCAUCCUCAGACAAGUGGCCAAGCAGAAACUUCCAACAAACAAAUCAAGAAUAUUCUUCAGAAGACAGUAAAUAAAAUGGGAACGGCGUGGAAAGACAAGUUACCCGAUGCACUCUGGGCAUACCGGACAACAUACAAGACCCCAAUCGGAAUGUCUCCAUACUAAUUGGUGUACGGGAAGACUUGCCAUCUACCUGUUGAACUAGAGUUCAAAGCACACUAGGCCGUAAAGAGAUGGAAUAUGGACCUAGAUGUUGCUGGAGAUCAUAGAAGAAUGCAACUAUCAGAAUUGGAAGAAUGGCGAGAAAAAGCAUAUCACAAUCUACAAAGAAAGAGUCAAAAGGUGACAUGACAAGAGAAUCAAGAAGAAGGAGUUCACACCCGGAGAUAAGGUAUUACUUUUUAAUUCCAGGGUAAAGCUUUUCGGGCAUGGGAAACUCUGGAGCAAAUGGGAAGGACCAUUCAAGGUAAUUAAUUCAUCAUCCUACGGAGCUAUCACACUUCAAAAUGACGAAGGUACGUUAUUCAAGGUAAAUGGUCAAUGUCUUAAAUUAUUUUUAGAGCCCAAUAAAGAAUUAGAAGAAAUAGACGUAGUCCACUUUUACCUUCCCAUGGAGAAUUAGAGCCCGACCUUUUUAGUCUGAUGUUUUUGGGUCAUGUAUAUAUUUUUCUAAAUAGUUUUGCAUCUAGAAACGCGCUCGAGAAAGUGGGCUCACAGAGGGGCCAGAGAGAGGGCGGGCGCCCAGCUCAGGUGGGCGGGCGCCCAGCUCCUGUUCCCCCUCGGUCCCGACUUUCUCUAUUAUGGAAAAUGCACUUAUGGUAAUCCGAAUAACCCCUCAGAUGGAAAGUUUCGCACGCACAUCGACGGGAGCAACCCGAACAACCCAUAGAGGCACUCUUUGACCCCUAUAUAUAAACAGACCCCUGACAUCAGUUUUCAAACACCAAGCCACCAAGCCUUCUCUUCUUCUUCAAUUAGAGCUUGAUUAGUUCCUUGCUGCUCCAAUGGCCGAGAAGUACCACGAUGAUUGGGAAGUCGUCCCCUUCAACCUCAACAUGGAGCCUGUGGAAGACCCCGAUGCCCGUGCUCUCGUCCCGGCCAACACAGAGCGACAGCUAGAAGCCAUGCCAUUACGCCAGCGCAGCUCCGCCCAAUCCUACCAUGCUCAACCAGUUCUCACCGCACCGCCACAACCCCUACUCCUUAUGAGAUCAUCAUCCAAGACGAAGACCACUAUCAAGGUGCCAAUCGGCACGAGGAUCCUUCCACCAAGACCCAAUGAGAGGGUCGUUGGAGUCAAGACCAACCGGAGCGGCGAGAUCAGCAGCGUUCGCUACACUACGGAGGAGGAAAGACCUUACUUUGAAGGGAUUAGAGCAGCCAAAGUCCGUUUCAUCCCUCCAAAGGCAGCCCCGAAGCACGCUCUCAAUGCUUUUGAGACACCUCCCAAGCGUCGCAAGACUAUAAUGGAUAUUGAUGAGGACGUUCGCAGACUAGACAGAAUUAUCAUAGACCUCCAGUCCUCGAUUAAUUCCCUCACUAGGCAGCUCUCUAACCACAACACCAUUAUACUAGGCCUUAGGCAGGAUCUUGCUAGUGCCAACAAGAAGAUUAAGGAAUUAGAGCGCCGCUAAGUUAUCUAGAUUAGAACUUGAGGCAAUGCAUCUUAGUUAUUUAUCUUUAAAUUCGGUUUAGGUUUACUAUUAUCAUCAGUUUGCUACUAGUUAUUUGUAGUAAAUGCCUCAAGAUUAAUAAAGAGUAUUAUUAUUAUUAUGUCUUGUGUGUCUCUACUUUAUUUUUGUGCAAGAAAGCAGAAAACAAGUAUGGGGGAGAUCCCUCAACAUGCCAAACACACUCCGACUACACCACUCCACGAUUCAGGUACACACUCUGCACACUUUACUUUACACCUACACAUAUCUUAGACUAUGCAGAAUACUGUUUCCGACAUGAUAAAUUAAAAAGAUUAAAAUAUUUCUAAUCAUGAUUAAUCUCACUCUGUUAUAUUUCCUGAAAACUUGCAAUUAUUAUAAAAUCAUUUUAAAACCUUGUGUUACUUAAGUCAAUAUGGAAUAUGUGAUGGUAGAAUAUGAGUUUCUUAUUCUUGAUAUCAUUGCUACUUGGAGAAUUUAUUUCAAAAUAUUCAAAAUUCUAGCUACCAUCCUCAGUGUUUUAUAUGCCUGAUAAAACUAAAAAUAUUAAUUAUGAUUAUAAAAGCUAUCUACUCUGUAUUGAGUUUGUUCAAAAUGAGUUAGACCCUUGUUGAGAGAUUUAUCAUGCUCCUAAGAUCAAGACAUUUAUUCAGAAAGAUUCACUCUUCCGAAGUAUUAUUGCAUUAGAGGCAUGGGCUAUGCAAAAAUAGAAAUAUUUUGAGGAAAUAAAAAGGAGCAAGUGCUCGACAACCUCGCAGAAAAAAUGGACAAGUGUCCAACAGUAGAAUUAGGGAUACCUCGGUAUCCACUUAAAAAAAAGAAGAAGAAAAAGAGAAAAUGAUAGCCCAUGGUCCCUCUAAUAAGCAAUAUGCCAGCAAGAGUUGACAAAGAUUUUAAUUUCCAAGGUAUUUGAUCUAAGAGUAUGACAUUCCCUUCCUCGGAUCCCGUUUUGAUCAGGCAAUAAAUGCAAAGUAAGUAUGCUUGAGAAUUUUUGCAAAUUAAAACAGCCUCAGUGAGAUAUAUAAAAGAUAAUGAGUGAUCUGAGAGAACCUAUGAGGAUAAAAAGGUAUGCUAACUUUCUUUCAAAAAUAUACAAAAAACUCCAAGUAACAGGAUUGAGAAGAAAGGAUCUUUACUCUUAAUCAUAUACUUCCCUGACUACAGUACACAGUAAAUUUUAAUACCCUACAAAUAUAAAGAAUGUUUUAAAUGAUUACCCCAGAUAUUUUUCUUAACCAUCCUUUUCUCGAGGACGAGUAAAAGCCUAAGUAUGGGGGUAUUUGUUGACGGUUCUUAAGUAUCAAUUUUAAUUAUCAAAUAAACAAGGGAAAGGACCAAUAUGCAACCAACACCGAGAAUUAGGGUUUGAUCUGACAGAAUUCCACGAGUUUUGUUGUUUAUCUAUUUCUGCAGGGGGUUAUCAGGAAAUAAGGAAGAAAGGCCCACAUGUCGGGAUUACAUAGAGAUAUCAACGCACCGCACGAUUUUCUACCAUCUAGAGGACUCCAAAAGCCACGCGAAGAAAACAGAGGCCGAAAGGGGCCAGGCCUAGGGCGCCCGCCCUGGUGACCUGGGCGCCCGCCCCCCUCUGGAAGCCUUUCGGGACUCUCUUCGCACGGGAUAUUCCACCAACCUAUUGGAUCAAGAAAAACAUAGUACCACCUCGCCUACCAACCCAAAAACGCAUAGAGGAGGAGGACUAUAUAAGGAGACCCCCCUGGCCCUUGGAGAAGACAUGAAGAAAUUAUCAUAGAGAUUGAGGGGUGCCCUCGAAGGAAAACCUCUUCGAUAAUUAAUAUUUCUUUUUAGGCUUAGCAACCAAUGUAAAGUAGAAAUAGAUCUUCUAGUUUCUACUAGAUUGAGAGAUAUAGAGUGGAGGUGUAGAUCGGAGGAAGGCCGGCCUGUCAGUGUCUACUCCAAACUUGUACCUCCGGGAUCAAGUUCUCCUAACCCGAAGCUUGCUCCUAGGAUUCUUCAGUAUUUCGACUUCUAAAUUCUAGUAAGUUCUUGUUUUAUUGUUCUUCUAGUUUAUGAGUUUACUUUAAUCUCUUCGCAUAGAGUUUAGAGUAAUCAUUGCUGGCGUAAACGUGGUGUUUAGGCUGGGGUACUCAUAGAUAUUCCUUGACUAGCUGGACCGUGGUAGUAGUGAGGAACGUGACAAUUCCGAGUUACCUUUGCAGACCAUAUCUCGUUAGCAGGAAGGAUAGGGUUUAUAGGUGCAGGUUGAACAUCCUUUGUGGUGUCUAGAUUCCGUUAGCCUCUCCAAUAGAACAGUAGAUCAUCCUUACCAAGGUUAGAAGGAGACUACGGUUGCAGUCUUCUCUAUUUAUCACUCACAUCGAAAGACAUUCUUUGUGCCUAAAGGGUUAGUAGUAAUAGACCGGUUAGUCAGAUGCACUCUUUCUCCUAGUGGUAAAAAAAUAAAUACGAUACUCUGGAUAAUUUCCCGGGUGAAGUGCUCACCGAUAUCCGUACGCUUGCGGAUCAAUUCCUUAUUGCGUUCCCAAAUAUCAACAAUCUGCUUCAACCACCAAGAACUGGAGAAAUGAGGGACGUCGCUCCAGCGGCCGGCCGCCGCCCGUCACACCCCAGCGCGCCUGAGCCGUCCAAUCGAGGAUCAACGCUCUAGAUUAAAACAUACCUUUUCGUUGAAAAACUUCAUUAAGAGUCCCUGCAACUUUUCUAUAUUUACUCCGCAAUCCUUGGCGUUUUGGGCGGUUUGCGCUUCUCAGUUUUGAAAGUGUAAUCUAGACGGCUGGUUUCAAAAUACGCUUUCCAAUAUUCGCAUAUUUGUAUUUUGCUCAUAAUAUAUUCGUUUUAACUCCGUUUUUGUCCAUCCAAAUUUCGUUAGAUUCAUCUUAACGAGCUCUAUAUGUUAGAAUUAUUAUUUCUCUGUUUUGAAACUUUUUAUUUCUGCAGUAGCAUUUAAUUAAUUAUUUUUCUAUAGGAAAUCUUGGAAAAUUCAUAACUUCUACGUUUUAAUUCUGAUUUUCGUGAACUUUACGUUUGUGUGAUCGUAGCGCUGCGUAGAAUAUUUUGAUAAACUUUUAUAUUUGUUUUACCACUGUUUGGUGUAUUGUUCUAAUUAUAGCUUGUUUGCUUCGUGUAUGAUUGUCUACAUUGGAUUGUGUGUGUGAUCGAUGAUCGAGUUUAGACGGAGAGCAGUUUUUGGUGAUCAAGAUCAAAGCUUUGGCAAUAAGCAAGACUAGUAGAACCAAGAGGAUCAGCAAGAGCAAUUGGAUUAAGGCAAGUAUAGCAUUUGGGUUUUAAUUCUAUGACCAUGAUCGUGUGAUUAGAUUAAUGUUAAGUAAUAAAUGAUAAAAAUGACUUUUUAGCCACUUGAUGAUUUAUCUGUAAGUGAUAACCGGGACAACAGUGCAACCAUGAGGGCUAUAAUGGCUCUGGCUUUAGCUCAGUAUGAAGCCCAUUUCUAGCUUGUUAGAGGUUACCCGAAAGGGCGGAGGGGUUGAACUGUUUUGGGUAUAGUGUGGCCUCUGUCUGUAUGUGUAUAGGCUGCGCGUCAUUGUGCCAUCGAAAGGAGGGUUCUAUAUCUACGCGCAAAGGAAACCUUGCGGCUCUAACAGGUUAGAUGGACUUUUAAAAGGCUUCAUAGUGAUCCCUGCCGACCUUCCUUGGAAGUGGGUUAAGAGGCUGAUCACCUCGGGCGAAAGGGUAAAUCAUGACUCAUGGGUAAAGAUGUACAACCUCUGUAGAGUGUUAAAAACUGGUAUAUUAGCCGUGCUCACGGUCAAGAGCGGCCUUGGGGAUUCUUGCAUCGACGAUGAUGAUUUUUGUGUAUUAAAUAUGCCCAUUAUUAUUAUUUAAUGCUCUACAUUAUUUAUGUCACAUUGAUCAUGAGACUGUGGGAUCUAUACAAUCUUGUUGCUAUACUUAUGGAGUUCGACAUGGACUCACUCUUGCUAUUACCCCCACACUUCAGGAGAUGGUUUAGGCUUGUGAUCAACCAGUCAGUUGGAUCCUGUUGAGAGAAGUUAAUACCCAAAGUUGGAGUUGUCUAUCCGCUGUUUGCUAUCAAAGGUUAUCCCUUUUAUACUAAGUACGUUAUAUUUAUGCAUUGUUUUUUUUAUAUUACCUCUUAUUUAUAGUUAUAUGUGAGAUUUGACUUCUAAAACUCACAUAUGGUGCAUGUCUGGUUUUGAUCUUAAAAUCGGGUAUAACAUAUAGUUACUGUGUACAUGUAACACAUACACAGAACUCUUCCAAUACUUUCUUAUCAGUUGAUACCCCAGUUAUGGUAGUCCUCUUGAAAUCUUCCCAUGUUAGCACUGGCUUCUUCCUAUUUGGUGUAUCAACAAAGUCAGGAUAUGUGGGGGUAUAAACCCCUAUACCCUUACGGCAUGACUUGGGCCAGGAGGCUUGGCCCAUUACGAGACAAGUUCGAGGCUUGAUCCGACUGCUCGGAGUUUCGCGCAAGGAAACAGGACGUGGAGAUCAAACAUGAUUCUAGUCGGUUAGAAUAGGAAUUGAUAUCGUAGUAUCUAUGGCAAUUGUAACUGACUAGGAUUAGUUUCCAGAUCUGUAACCCUGCCCUCUGGACUAUAUAAGGAGAGGCAAGGGACCCCCAUAGGACACAUUAUUCUCUCGACACAAAUCAAUACAACAAGACGCAGGACGUAGGUAUUACGCCCACACGACGGCCGAACCUGGAUAAAGACCUUGUCUGUGUCUUGCGUCACCAUCAAGUUCGUAGCUUGCGCACCGUCUACCGAUAAACUACUACCGUGGGUAUACCCCAAGGUAGACUGCCGACUUGCUUUCGUCGACAGUGGCGCGCCAGGUAGGGGGUGUGCGUACAGCUCUCCCGACGAACAAGAUGGUCAUCGUUCCAGCUUCCGCGGCCGUGCCCGAAGGCCUCACGCUCACCGUCGGCCAGAUCACGUGGACGACUCGUGGCGACGGCCUCACGACCACGACUUCAGAAGAAACCCAGAUCCAAUCUGGGGCGACAACGGCGUCGACUCCGAUCACGCCGACACCGACCACUCGACCACUGCUCCCUCGCUACAGGGGAAAGAAGGUCGACAGCUCAGAUCUUUUCCGAGCCCUUGAUCGCCUCGAUCUCAGGCUCCUCGAAGCUUCCCGACUGAUAGAUGGGAUCUCGUGCCAGUCUAAUCGAAUCGUGUCAAUAGAUUUUUUUGACUCCUGCCAGCCAACUCGUGUCAUCACGCACGAACAGCUGGAGACGUCUCUGGCGAUAACAUCCACCCCCGCAGGGCGGUCCGUCAAGCUUAGGGCGGACCCGGAUCAGAGUCCUCCUUACGGGCUAAACAACUCAGCCGUUUACUACUCACGGCACAUCCAAUCCCUUUUCAACAGGGCGGGUUGGGUGCCAAAAUGGAACAGUCGACCGGCUCGUCACUACGUCAACAUGGUGACAAUCCGAGAACUACCAAACGACCAGGCUUCCAGCACAAACUCCAGCACUGGAUCCGUCCCCACCGAGGUUAUAAACUCUGAGGACGAAGAUUACGACCUGGAAUUACCACAGUACCCUCCGGGUUUCUCUCGCUUCCCGGUCUUUCCGCCCCGGCGGGGAGAUCUCGUCUUCAAUGUCAGCAACGACGAACCGGUUGUCGAUGGAGAGAUAGACGAUCAGAGGCACUCCGUGAACAGCGCAAUGCCGACCGUGCUCGGCGACGUGCGGACGAGGAGCGACAACUCCCGCCGCAUAACCUUGGUGACGCUUUCGACAUGGUCGGAGAUCAACAAGUCUACAAAACGCCAAGUGCUAACGUGGCUGUUGCUAUGGCAAACCUAGACCGACUCCCUGAUACCCACGAGUGCCAGGGCGUCCGAUCCAGCGUACGCGCGCAUCUGAUCGUCGUGAUGGGACAGACAGCAACCUUACUCAAAAGGGUCCAAGCUAUCUCCUACACAGAGGUCUCCUCCGACCAGACUCAUCGUAGUCGGACCUCACCACAACCCAGCGAGCACCACCGCAGCCGCUCCCCCAAUAAUCGUCGGAAGAAUUCACGGCGUGGCAACGGUGGUUGGGCCGCCGGCGGCAACCGCGAGCAGAACCGCGGGCGUGGUCAGGAGGUAAACCAGGACAGGGAUCUACGAUACAAUAUCCCUCCCAAAGACGCCCGGGACCACAUCAACAGGCGCGCUACGGAAAGAGCGGUGCACGAGAACCUGCGGCAUAUUGAGUACGACGCCACGCACGGUCCUCCCGGCCUGAGACAGUUUUCCUCACACCUUCGCCAAGUCGUAUGGCCCCGCAACUUCAAACUCGAGAAGCUCAAAAAAUACGACGGCAAGGAAAACCUAGAAAACUUGAUCACUCUCUAUGAGAUUGCAGUCCGUCCAGCAGCAGACAAUGAGCACGUCAUGGCCAACUACUUCCUAGUCGUCCUCGACCAGGCUGGUCAUCAGUGGCUCCUGGGCCUGCCCGAGGACUCCUUCGAUUCCUGGGAAGAAUUGCGCCAAGCAUUUAUUGACAAUUUUAUCUCUACCUGCGAGCAGCCCGAGAACAAAUACGACCUCGAGAGAAUAAGGGACAGGAAAAACGAGCCUUUGCGCAAUUACAUCCGACGAUUCUCAGAUAUGCGCCUUAAAAUCCCGAAAAUCUCUCACGACGAGGCCAUAUCCGCCUUCAUCAAAGGACUACGCUUCCACGAGGCACUAAGAAACAAGCUACUGUGCAGAAGGCCAACCACGGUGGCUGAGCUCCUUGCCACAGCAAAAAACUAUGCCGACGCCGACGACGCAGAAAAACUCAUCCGAGAGGAUGCUAGAGGUCCCGACCAGCCUCCUCGACGGGACGACAGUCGUGGUCGUUUCGAUAACAGAAACCACCGUCGCCCCGACAACCGCGACCAAAGAGAAGGUUGGGAUAGGCAGCGUGAUAAUCAUGAUGAUUUCAGGAGCAAGCGCCCUCGAGACCACGACCACGAGGUGAAUAUAGUCAAACGCCCCAACGGACAGCGGGACUACCAGGAAGAUUACAACAAGACGUUGAAGGGACCGUGCCAACUCCACCCCAAGUCUAACCACACGAUGGAAGAAUGUCGUGUCCUCAAAAGCAUCUACACGCGGCGGGCCGCUCAAGAUGAUUCCGCCAAGAAAAACGGAAAGCAGGACGGGCGCGAUCACGAAGACGAAGACGAGGACCUGGAUAGGGACCCACGACACCAGUAUGUCAACCCUACCGACGUGGUCCACUCUAUCUUCGGAGGCAAAGUUUCCAUCGAAUCCAAGCACGAAAGAAAGCUCCUAAAGAGAGCCUACCUCAAUGUGGACAGCACAGACGGUUUGAUCGCCGAUCCGAAAUUUCCUUCCUGGUCGCAUAGGGAGAUCUCCUUUAGCAGGAAGGAUCAGUGGGCCGCCAUCCCGGAGCCAGGACGUUUCCCUCUGAUCCUGGAUCCUUGCAUCAACAGCAUCAGAUCCAAGCGCGUCCUUGUCGACGGGGGAAGCUCCAUUGACAUCCUCUUUUGCAACAGUUUGCCUGCUCUCAAGAUAACCCCAGCACAACUAAAGCCAUAUGACGCACAAUUCUGGGGAGUCCUGCCAGGUCAAAGUUGAGUACCCCUCGGACAGAUAACGCUGCCUAUCCAGUUCGGAACGCGCGACCACUUCCGAACAGAGUUCGUCAACUUCGUGGUCGCCGACUUUGACAGAACUUAUCAUGCCAUCUUGGGCCGACCAUCGCUGACAAAGUUCAUGGCCGUUCCGCACUAUUCAUACCUGGUCCUUAAAAUGCCAACAGAGAAAGGCGUCCUAACUGUCAGAGGCAACGUUUAUACCGCAUACACUUGCGAGGAGGAAAGUUUCAAGAUCACUGAGGAGCGCUCUUCAGGUUUCUCAGGGACAAUGUAAGCGUUUUCACGUGGAAACCCGCGGACAUGCCCGGCGUCCCGCGAAACCUGAUCGAGCACUCCUUAAACGUCUCGAAGACCACAAGAUCUAUCAAGCAGAAACUACGACGGUUCGCUCGUGACAAAAAGGAGGCUAUUAGGACAGAAAUAACUCGGCUUCUAGCAGCCGGAUUCAUUAAAGAAGUGUAUCAUCCCGAUUGGAUCGCCAAUCCGGUUCUUGUACGAAAAAAGAAUAAUGAAUGGAGAAUGUGUGUUGAUUACACUGAUCUCAAUAAGCACUGUCCUAAAGAUCCUUUUGGUCUCCCUCGCAUCGACGAGGUGGUCGACUCAACGGCCGGAUGCGAACUCCUCUCUUUUCUAGACUGCUACUCUGGUUAUCACCAGAUCUCGCUAAAGGAAGAUGACCAGAUCAAAACAUCUUUUAUCACUCCUUUCGGCGCGUAUUGCUACACGACCAUGUCCUUCGGACUCAAAAACGCUGGAGCCACCUAUCAACGGGCCAUUCAGCAAUGCCUCCACGACGAGAUUCGUGAUGACCUCGUCGAGGCUUAUGUAGAUGACGUCGUCGUCAAAACAAAGGACGCGAGCACUCUAAUCGAUAACCUAGACCGAACUUUCAAGGCACUAAAUAAAUACAAGUGGAAGCUUAACCCCAAGAAAUGUAUCUUCGGGGUCCCCUCUGGUCUACUGCUCGGCAACGUCGUUAGCCGCGACGGCAUACGGCCGAAUCCCUCAAAAGUAAAAGUAGUGCUCGAUAUGCGACCACCCAAGAAUGUCAAGGACAUUCAAAAGCUCACCUGAUGUAUGGCUGCUCUCAGCCGUUUUAUCUCUAGACUGGGAGAAAAAGGCCUCCCCUUCUUCAAGCUCCUAAAGGCAUUAGAAAAAUUCUCCUAGACAGAGGAAGCUGACGCUGCGUUCACCCAGCUCAAAACCUUUCUCACUUCGCCACCCAUUCUCACAACGCCUCAACCCAAUGAGGACCUACUCCUUUACAUAGCAGCAACCGACAGGGUUGUCUCCACGGCAAUGGUGGUCGAGCAGGACGAGCCAGGCCAUGUAUACAAAGUUCAGAGACCAGUUUACUUCAUAAGUGAAGUCUUAAACGAGUCCAAGACCAGGUACCCUCAGAUACAAAAGCUCAUCUACGCCAUCUUAAUAACUUCAAGGAAGCUGAAGCAUUACUUCGAUGGUCAUUGGGUCUUGGUAACCACUAGUUUCCCCCUGGGGGACAUUCUACGCAACAAGGACGCCAAUGGCAGAAUUGUAAAAUGGGCAAUGGAACUAUGCCCAUUCUCCUUGGAUUUCCAGAGCCGCACUACCGUCAAAUCCCAAGCCUUGGUCGAUUUCAUCGCAGAAUGGACGGACCUCAACGAGCCUCCCUUCUCUGAUACUUCCAACCAGUGGUCAAUGUUCUUCGACGGGACCUUAAACAUCAAUGGUGCCGGCGCUGGAAUACUCUUCGUGACACCCAACAAGGACAAACUACGCUACGUCCUUAGGAUUCUCUUUCCGGCAUCAAAUAACGUCGCUGAAUACGAAGCAUGCCUUCACGGCAUUUGACUGGCUGUCGAACUGGGAGUCAAACGCCUCUACGUUCACGGCGACUCUGCCCUAGUCAUUAACCAGCUCAACAAAGAAUGGUACGCAACGCACGAAAAGAUGGACCUCUACUGCAAAGAAAUUUGCAAAUGGGAGUCCAAUUUCUACGGCAUAGAAUACAUCCACGUGGUCCGGGAUAGGAACCAGGCAGCGGAUGCGCUGUCAAAGAUAGGAUCAUCUCGGGCCAAGAUCCCACAAGGCGUUUUCGUUCAGGACAUCCACGUGCCAAGUGUGGGCACAGACCCGGUCGAAAAACAACCCAAUGAGACAAUGAUCAUAGACGACUCCGCUCCGGCAACCAGCAGCCAUGAUUGGCGCGCCCCUUUCAUCAGGUACAUAUCGGACGGAUCCGGUCUCCAAGAUAAAACGGAAAACGAGCGUCUCAUCCGGUGAUCCAAGAACUACAUACUAGUGGAUGGAAAGCUUAUGCGAAAAAAUGUAAGCUCCAAAGUACUGCUCAAAUGCAUAUCCCAAGGUGAUGGCAUCAAGCUUUUAGAUGACAUACACGCCAGAUCCUAUGGCAACCAUGCCGCCUCCAGAACACUCGUCGGGAAGGCUUUCCGAGCAGGCUUUUACUGGCCAACUGCGGUCGCCGACGCCGAGAAACUGGUCCGACAUUGUGAAGGAUGCCAGUUCUUUGCCAAGAGGACUCACGUGCCUGCUCAUGAGAUUCAAACUAUCCCGUCAUCCUGGCCUUUCGCCUGUUGGGGCCUGGACAUGAUCGGGCCAUUCAAGCCGGCCCCCGGUAACUUCAAGUUCGUCUUCGUGUUAAUCGACAAAUUCUCGAAGUGGAUCGAGUACAUGCCACUGGUCAAAGCAACCUCCGAGAAGGCUGUGGAAUUCCUCAACCAAAUCAUACACAGAUAUGGGGUUCCCAACAGCAUAAUAACCGACCUGGGCACUCAGUUCACUGGCACUACAUUUUGGGACUUCUGCGAUGACAGGGGCAUAGUCGUAAAGUAUGUGUCAGUAGCUCACCCACGGGGCAACGGUCAAGUAGAGCGAGCAAAUGGAAUGAUUAUUGAUGCUUUGAAGAAAAGGCUGUACACAGAGAACGACAGAGCACCAGGACGUUGGAUGAAAGAGUUAUCGGCCGUGGUCUGGGGCCUCCGAACACAGGCUAGUCGCAACACGGGCGUGUCACCCUACUUCAUGGUUUACGGCACCGAGGCAAUGCUUCCGUCGGACGUAACUUUUGGAUCUCCAAGAGUCGAAAACUUCGACCAGCCUUCGGCUGACAUCGCCAGGGAGCUUGAAAUCAACUGCAUGGAAGAAAAGCGCCUACUCUCGUGCCUUCGAAAAGCAAAAUAUCUCGAAGCCAUUAGGAGGUAUCACAACAGGAACGUCAAAGACCGUUCCUUCGUGGUCGGUGAUCUUGUGCUAAAGUGGAAAACAAGCCAAGAAGGAACGCACAAGUUAUCCACACCUUGGGAAUGACCCUUUGUGGUCGUAGAAGUCACGCGCCCUACAUCUUAUAGACUGGCGUACCCAGACGGAACACGCCUGCCUAACUCUUGGCACAUAAACAACCUGCGGCGUUUUUACCCAUAAGUUCCAGUACAUUUUAUUUGUAAAUCUCUUAUGGUCAGCGUUAAUAAAUUUUCUCUUUCUUCCUAUGUACUUCUUUUAUAUGCAGAGCUUUCGACAAAGUGCAACAACCAUCUUUAGGAUGAAAGUCCUUAAGAGUUAUUAACCCAACUCAGUGAUACAUCACUCAGACAAUAUUACAGCGCUCAAAACCAUGGUCAUGACAAAUCAAACUUUAUUACAAACUUUAUGUACAGAGUUUACAAUAAACACCCCUCUGGGCGGUCCCUAGUCUAUUUCUACAGACUACUCUACAGGCCUACUGCUCGGGAUGAUCACCCGCUCGGCCUUGUUGCCCGGUCGAAGGGGUCGGGGCCACCGGCGCCUGGCUGGUCGAGACCGCAGGCGUCGACCGCCCAUCUCCGACAAUGGGCGCUCCCGACAACUCCCUGGCCGAUCUAUCUGACCCGGGCUGGUCAGGGGGAGUUGCCGUCCCGCAGAGGUUGAUGUCGCCGAUCACCGUCAACGACAGGUCAAGCAGACCAGCACGAAGGUUGUCUGCCUCCUGCGGACCAACCUCCUUGGGGUACCCCCCUUUCCAGUCGUGACAGGUCGACCAGGGGAUAGUGGGCGCGCACCAUGCUAAGGACAUGCGCACCAGCGAAUUCCCCGGCGUCCUUCUCGACUGGCGUCAGCUUCGGCGCACGGGGCUGGUCUUCAGGGAGCUCGGGGCUGAUCAAAUCAAGAACCGGGGCCACUCCUUUCAAAAGCUUGAUGCAGUUGGCCUUCCAGGAGUCCCGGUCCUUGAUCAGCUCGUCAAAGUGCUUCUUCGCAUUCACUUUGAGCACUACAAACCAAGUAGGAGGUCAGUUUACGAAUAAGAAAAGGAACGUCGAGCAAUCAAGGAAAAAAGGGAUCGCACGGCUCUCACCAGACAACUCCCUAUUCUUGUUGCUUAGCUCCUUGCCAGCUCGGCGCCCGGUCUCCAGCGCCCUGGCAAGCUCCUGGUCGAGCCGCUCCUUCACUUGUCGGAGGUGUGCAAUCUCCUCCUCCAAGUCUGCAGGGGCAAUUUCUGGUCAAUAAAAAACGACUACACAGUUAUAUACAACUGCUCGGAAUACAUGACUAACCUCUUCUCUCCCGAUCCUUGUCGGCUAAUCGCCGAUUAAGGUCGAGCAGGCGCUCUUCCUGAGCACCCAUCUCGUCCGUCUUCUCCUCGGCCUCCGACCGAAGCCGGUCCACCUUCGUGGACAGGGCCUUGUUCUCGGCCACGAUGCCCUCAAUCUGGUCAAAGCACCUUUUCCGGUACUUCGCCGUUUUCAUUGCGCCCUGCAAGAAGAAUACUUAGUGAAUCCAGAAACAAUGCAUAUAAACUUUGAGCAGCACAAAAGACUACUUACCUUAACCUCGUCCACAAGCCACUUCGCUGCGCGCUCCACCCUCGUGGCCUCCUCCGUCUCCGCGAGUUCCUCAUGACCGAUGAAGUGGUCCCCGCGUUGGCGCCACACGUACACGUGCUGGCGGCCAUCUUGGGGACGACCUUGGAUCUCCUCCACUUCAUCGUCGGAGGCCGUCCGGGCUUCCUCGCCCUCCGCACUACCCCCGGCCAUGGUCGCAGGUAUCACUGGACCCUGAUCCAGGCCAGGGGAGCCUACUGGUGAAGAGGCCCCUGCUCGAGGCGGGGUUGGGACUCUCCCUUCUUCCGCCAGCUCUGCCAUUUUCCUCUGCAACGUUGCUUGGGGGAGGCGUCCUCGCAGCCUCUCCAUCCCUUGUAGGGGUGCCCGCUCUGGCCCUUGCCAGCGCCGGAUGCUCCUCGGCACUCUCAGCCGCGGUCGUCGUCGCGGGCUGCUCCUCGGCAUGCUCCUGGGUGGUCUGUGGCACGGCGUCUCCAACGACAGCUAUGGGCUCGGCCGUCCUCUGGCCAGCGAUGUGGUCAGGGUCAACGUCCGAUGCCGCGCUAACAAAAUAUGACAUUUAACCAAUGUCAAAAGCAGCAAUAACAAAAACAAGAUGAAGCGUAAAAGUGAGAUUGAGCAACUUACAGAUCGGAGCGCCUGUGCGUUGCGGUGAAGAACCUUCUCCUGGUCCUACCAGCCGCCGCCGCUGCUCCUGUCUCUCCAACACGCGUCGGCUUGGUGUGUGGGGCAGGUGGGUCGCUAGUCAUUCGACCAGCAGUGGCCGGCGCAAGGUCCGGAUGACUACGCGGCCUUCGAACCAAAGAUGGUGCCGCCUCCUCCUCCUCGUCGUCGCCGGUGAUCCUGACGAGCCGACGACGUUUCGGCGCUUGGCUGCUCUCUGCCGGCAGCGCCUCUGCAGGGGGCGGAUCCACUGCUAGUGGCCUUUUCCCCGCUACCCUAUCCUCGGUGGUUGGGGCGGGACGGUUCUGCUCCUCCUCGCUGCUGGUGUAUUGAUGACACCGAGCAGCGUCGUCCUCUAGCAGGUCCACCCCCGCAGGAUUCUCCAUACCAGGCGCCAGUGAUAUGUACACUGCGCACCGAUCAAUGUCUCCAAUCUGCAGUAGAACCAUCGACAAGUCAUAAACUAGGCGGACGAGUACUCAAAAAGCAAUACUAGUCAAUAACACUAUUUAUUUACCUUAGGAGCUGGUCGCCCCAGCUUGAAGGCGUGCACCCGAUCACUACUUCGAACGAAGUUGUCAUCCGUAAAGUUGAACAACUCGUUCAUCAGCUGUUGCACCUCCGUCUUCUCCAGACCGUCGGGGCUCAUCUUGGUCGGGUCCAGGCUCCCCGCGUACUCGUACGCCGAGUGUACCCUCCUCUGGCAGGGCAUCACCCGACGUACAAUAAAGUUCCCGACCACCCCUGGCCCGUCUAAACGGGACCAGUCGAUCAGCUUCAUUAGGUCUGCCACUUGACCGGAGAAGUCUGGGCGGUCUGUCCAGCUGACCCUCUUCUCGAGGAUGUAGCCCACGUCGCAGAACGUGGUGCUACCCGGCUCUUCCCUGAUAUAGAAUCACUUCUUGUACCACUCGGUAAGAGAAGUGUUCCACGGGCAGUUGAGGUACCGGUUCUUCAUUCCAUCACGCAGAUUGAGGUAUACUCCACCUGCAAUCUUGGAGCCUCCAACUGCUCCCUUCUUCCUCAGACAAAACAGAUAACGAAAAAGAUCGAAGUGCGACUCUAUCCCAACAUAGGCCUCGCACAAAUGAAUAAAGGUGGAGAUAAGAAGAAUUGAGUUCGGGUGCAGAUUGCAGAUCCCGAUCUCAUAGUAAAGAAGAAGGCCCUGGAGGAAAGGCUGGACAGGAAUCCCAAAGCCCCUUUUGAUAAAAUCUUCAAAAACCACGAUCUCACCGGCACGAGGGUCGGGGUAGCUUUCCCCUUCCGGCGCCCUCCAGGCACCGAGCUCCUGGUUGUGGAGUAGCCCCAUUCCGACGAGGUCGUUAAGGGACCUCGUGCUGCUCCGGGACUUCUUCCACUCUUUCGCCAUCAGCUCGGCCCUUUUCUUGUUGUCACUCUUCGCCAUUGAUACUGCGGGAAUGACUGUGAGCUGGGAGAACUGGUGGUGGUUGCAGAAGACAGGAAUGGCAAGAAUGGAAAGCUCGAAGGCAAAGGCAGGGUAAAGAUUAUGGGUGUAAUGUCAGGCUUUUAUAAGCAACAGCUCCACCUCUUCCACUUCCCGCAUUCUUGGGAAGUGGGCGGGCCCAGCGGCGGAUGCAGCGUUUCGGUUCUCAACAAUUACCGGCAGUUAAUACGGCGGCUUUUUUGUAUAAUUGAUGGUUUCCUUUUCUUGAACCGCGCCAAGAGCGGCUGCACAGUUACCAGGCGCACCUUUUCACGCAGCCAUCUGACAAUAUGCCAGGAUGCUUCGUCACAUCACACAUUAAUGUGGCAAGAUGCUUUUUUCAAAAUAACAGGCAGAAUUGGUGGAGGACUGACAUUCCUGGGGACUGUACCGACCACCGAGCACUAUACGCUCGGGGACUGGUCGACAAGUCUGCUAGUUUGGAGACCUGGGGGCUGCACCGACCACCGAGCACUAUAUGCCCAGGGACUGGUCGACCAGUCUGCCAGUUUGGAGACUUGGGGACUGCACCGACCAAUCUGAGCACUAUACACUCAGGGACUGGUCGACCAAGCCUACAAGAUGAAAAUUCGGGGACUGUACCGAUCACCGAGCGUUAUAUGCUCGGGGACUGAUCGAUUAGUCUAUACAAUUGCAGACGAGCAUGAUAUGCUCGGGGAAUGGUAAAUUAAAUUUUUAGACCAUGCUACAAGGCUCAUACUUCGCCUUCCAGCAAGCUCGGGGACUACAUCGGUACGAUGCAUCUGGCGAUGCAUCUCAGUUUUAGAAUUUCUAUGAAGACUUUUUUGACCCUGGCACCACGUGCCUACGUCACCUACUACCAGGCUCAGGGACUAAGUGGGCACACUUCACCUUGCGGUGAACAUGCUUGCUUUUUGAAAGUCUCUACUUUUCAGAAAAGUAAAGUAGGCACACUUCACCAGGAAAGAAAUCUUUUUUGAUUAAAGAGCACCAUGCAUUCUUCGAACAACCUACUUCUUCGAUGUCAAUGUUGAUCAAUUGUCUUUUGAGUUGGUCAAGAUACAAUUGCAACUGUUUGGGCGACUUUCCUGCUUAUUGAAGAUGUCAAGCCUUACUGGUCGAAGAAGCUCAAGACGACGUGUUACAUCACAAUACAUGGUGCUCGGGGACUAGCUGUGGGGGUAUAAACCCCUAUACCCAUACGGCAAGACUUGGGCCAGGAGGCUUGGCCCAUUACGAGACAAGUUCGAGGCUUGAUCCGACUGCUCGGAGUUUCGCGCAAGGAAACAGGACGUGGAGAUCAAGCAGGAUUCUAGUCGGUUAGAAUAGGAAUUGAUAUCGUACUAUCUAUGGCAAUUGUAACCGACUAUGAUUAGUUUCUAGAUCUGUAACCCUGCUCUCUGGACUAUAUAAGGAGAGGCAAGGGACCCCCCUAGGACACAUUAUUCUCUUGACACAAAUCAAUACAACAAGACGCAGGACGUAGGUAUUACACCCACACGGCGGCUGAACCUGGAUAAAAACCUUGUCUGUGUCUUGCGUCACCAUCAAGUUCGUAGCUUGCGCACCGUCUACCGAUAAACUACUACCGUGGGUAUACCCCAAGGUAGACUGCCGACUAGCUUUCGUCGACAGGAUACAUCUCGCGAACUAGAGCACCAAUUACAGUUGGGGGUUUGCGAGAAGUUCGAUAAGGAUGCACUUCCCAGUUCCUGAUAAUUUUACAUAAAACAAAUGACAUCAUCAUAUAGGUAUAAAAGAUAUAUGAUACAUAAAUGAAAUGUUAAAGAAAAAACUCAUGGAACCGGCCAUUACUGAAUACACCCAGCCUACAGAAGAUGUGGAAUGUUAAAAAUACAACAUAUUUUUUUUAGUCUUUGCAAACUUUUUAAAUAACUAUGCUGGUGCAUACAACUAUCUAUAAGUAGGCUACUAAACUAAUGACAAGACAUUUUGUUCUCCAUCAUGGAUAAGCUGUCCUUGCUAAAAUUUAAUCUAAACAAUGAGCACUUGAUUAAAUUGCCAUUACAUCAGCACUUAGAAAAAAAUAGGACAUGCUACAUGCUAAACACUAAACAGUUCUGGAAGUCUUUUACUUACUCUCCAGCAGCCUUGAUUGUGGGUCUUUCACUUUCUGGAAGUCUUUCACCACUAUCAGUCCUUGAUCGAGUUUAUAUGUCGAGCUCUGAAGUCUCUACAAAAUUCUAGCCAUGUGACAGGAGGAGCAUUGUUGGGAAGAGCAGCUUGAUAUGACUCCCACCAUGUCUGAGCUGCCCCCUGAAGCUGUCCAGAAGCAUACAACACCUUCUCCAAGUCAUUGCACUGGGCUAUGUUCAGUUGCCUCUCCACAGCACGUAACCAAUCAUCUGCCUCCAUGGGAUCAGCUGAGUGUGUGAAUACCGGAGAUCUUCCAUUCAUAAACUCCCCACGCUUAUCCCUCACAUGAACAGGUGGUGGUGUUGGUGGAGGUUGCUGCUGUAGGUGCUGAAAGAAAACGUGCAUCAUCUCAUUUUGGGUUUGCAUGAGUUCCUCCACAGUGAUUGGGGCAUUGCCACCAUUGCCAUGGCCUCUGCCCCUGCCUCUUCCCCUUGCUGCCAUCUGCAUUCCAAGGUAUAUAAACACAUCUUAGUAAUGCCCAACAUGACAAUUACAAGAGUUAACGGAAUCUGAAAUUUUCUGGGUAACAUCCAACAUCAGUAGAUCAGAAAAUCAAUCAUAUCUCGAGUUCCAGAAUAUCAAAGGAUACAUGCUGUAAACCGUUGGAAAGAUAAAGAAAUUGUCUACAACUUUCAUUUAGAUCAUAUUAACAGAUUCCAAAGCUGGUUUAAUCAAAAACUGGGUACAACCGAAACUGUUCCAGAAUUCCAGACUGCGCAGAAACUUCAAAUUUAAACAGCCAUAACUCACAGCUCAUAACAGAUAAUCAUGACAUUCUUGUGGCAUUGGAAAUAUGGGAAAGUCUACUUGUUCCCAGAAAACAUUGAUGAACAUUACACGAACAUAAUUUGAUUUAUACCAGAAUCAUUGCAGACUGCUCCAGAAAACAGCAAAGGACAGAAACAGGAUAUGACCCCAAACCACUAUUUAUUCAUGUUCUUACUAAAGGUUCUUAACUAGGGAACUUGUGGAUAUACCCACAAGGUUCCAGCACUCAUUACAAAAAUUCAAAUCAAGCAUAAGCAUAAUAACAAACCAAACCAAGCAUUAAAAGUUCACACUUCAAGCAUUGACUCAACUUGCGGUACUAACGUUCUCUUCCUAUUAAGGGUGAAGAUCCUAUAACUCCUAUUUCAAUGACGUUAGAAGGUGGUAAGAAAAGUUCUAAAAGCAUAUUCAAAUCAAGGAGUGGGGAUGAGAACAAGUCUUUAAAAUAAGCAACAAGGUGAAUAUGAAUAGCAAUGGGAAGGAUAUAGUAUUGAGGAAAAAUAUCAAGGUUUAUAGAACAAGGACUUUAUAGUAAUUUCAAGACCUUAAGACGGCCAAUUUCUAACUAGGCUUGCGUCCGAAAGUCAACAAAGCUUUGAUACCAAUUUGUCACACCCAUAUUUUAAGAACAAAAUAGGAUAUAUAAAAGACUCAUAUGUGCCCCAGAAACAGUCGCACACAUAAGUAGACAAAUCUCAAAUGUAUCAUUGCAGUGUUUAUUACAUAGUGGAACAUUAAUAAAUCACAUAGUGUUACACAAAAAUAAUAUGAGAUAAACAACGCUCUCGACGGAAGCUCCACACAGGGACACUGUUGACUGGUUGACUCCAAACCUAAUACUCAUAGUGAUAGUCCUCAUUCCAAUCAUCAUCAUUAGCAUAACCUGGGGUGUUGGGAAAUUACAAGAGUGAGGACAUAUCGUACUCAACAAGUAUAACCAGGGGUUCAUGAGGCUCAAAUAGCUGACACAGGUUUGACUGCAUUUAGCUUUUAAUAGUGGAUAGCAUGUGUUGAUAUUUGGUAACGCAAUUAGAAAAUAAUCCGCAAGCGCACGGAUAUCGGUGAGCAUUUCACCCGGGAGGUUAUCCAGAGUUAUCGUAUUUAUAUUUUUACCACUGGGAGAAAGGGUGCAUCUGACUAACCAAAUCUAUUGCUACUAUCCCUUUAGGCUACAAAGAAUGUCUCUCGAUGUGAGUGAUGUAUAGAGAAGACUGCAACUGUAGUCUUGUUCUAACCUUAAUAAGGAUGAUCUACUGUUCUAUUGGGGAGGCUCACGGAAUCUAGACAACACAAAGGAUGUUCGACCCGCACCUAUAAACCUACCCGUCCUGCUAACGAGAUGUGAUCUGCAAAGGUAACUCGGAAAUGUCACGUUCCUCGCUACUACCACGGUCCAGCUAGUAAGGGGAUAUCUAUGAGUACCCUAACCUAAACACCACGUUUACGCUAACAAGUGAUUACUCUAAUACUCAACCGGAAGAGGAUUAAAGUAAACUCAUAAACCAAAGAACAAUAAAACAAGAACUUACUAGUAUUAGAAGUCGAAUUACUGAAGAAUCUUAGAAGCAAGCCUCGGGUUAGGAGACUUGAUCCCACAGGUACAACUCGGAGUAGACACCGACAGGCCGGCCUUCCUCCGAUCCACACCUCCACUCUAUCUCUCUCAAUCUAGUAGAAACUAGAAGAUCUAUUUCUACUUACAUUGGUUGCUAAGCCUAAAAAGAAAUAUUAUUUAGAGAAGAGGUUUUCCUUCGAGGGCACCCCUCAAUCUCUAUGAUAAUUUCUUGUCUCCUCCAGGGGCCAGAGGGGGUCUCCUUAUAUAGUCCUCCCCUUCUAUGCGUUUUUGGGUCGAUAGGCGAGGUGGUACUAUGUUAUUCUGGAUCCAAUAGGUCGGUGGAACGUCGUGUGCGAAGAGAGUCCGGAACGGAGUCCAGAGGGGGGCGGGCGCCCUGGGCCUGGCCCCUUUCGGGCUCCGCUUCCUUCCCGUGGCUUCUGGAAUCUUCUAGAUGGUAGAAAAUUGCGCGGUGGGUUGAUAUCUCUAUGUAAUCCCGACAUGUGGGCCUUUCUUCCUUAUUUCCUGAUAACCCCCUGCAGAAAUAGACAAACACCAAAACUCGUGGAAUUCUGUCAGAUAAAACCCUAAGUCUAGAUGUUGAUUUCAUUUGGAUCCUUUUCUUUGUUUAUUUGAUAAUUAAAUUUGAUACUUAAGGACCGUCAACAAACUCCCCAAAGCUUACCUCUUGCUCGUCCCUGAGCAAGGAUGAACUCAAGAGUUUCUGCAGUGGUUUCAUUUCUUAGAAGUACACACGCAUUUAAGCAAGAUCUCAUCUCUGACUUAGAAUAAACUGUUAAGACUUAAAACUUACUUACUUUACCUACACCAUAGGACUUGUAACCGUCACUUCUGUCUUGAGUGGUUAAAAGAUAGAACAGUCUAGCCAAGUGUCAUGUCUCUUAUUCUUGAUCAGCUAUAGCUCUGGGGUUUUUGCAGAUUUUCAAAUAAAACUCAGAAAUUCCUUAUAUGAUUCUCUCAGGUCUCUCUUUUGUGGUAUUUUUGGAUCCUUACCAAGGCAGUGAUGGUAUAUGCCUUCUCUCAAGAUAUGUAGUAUUUGUGGUAUGAAGCAUAGUGACAUUGUCUUCUCUCUCACCCUACUCUAAUAAGGCUUUAAUAUCUGGAGCUCAUAGGUGGGAGAUAAAGUAUACAUACUUACAAGACAUUUAUUGCAUAGUCAAACCAUGGAUCCAGAGAAACAAGUCAAUAAGUCAAAUCAAGAUGUGCAUGUGUGGCGAAUGUAUGGUGUAUGGUGAUGAUGGUGAUAACAAUGGUGAAAGUCUAAUUCUACUUUUGCUCUUUUAAGGGGAUACAUACCUUUCUUGCACUUAGAAGCUUUUUGGGGAGAAUGAGAUGCUCCAUAUUUUCUUUUUCUUACCUCUCAGGUGGGUAUCUUGUACCCCUAAUUCUACUAUCGGACACUUGUCCAUUUUUACCUCUCGUCUCACUUUUUCUUUUCUUCGAGGUUCCGGGCACUUGCCCCUUUUUAUUUACUCGUAUAUUUUUUAUUUUUUUUUCUUCUUCUUUUUUUUUCUCUUUUUUUUUUCUUUCUAGAGCACUCAUCUCCUGAAAUAAUGUAGCAAGUGGUAGUAACCAAAAUAACUAGAGCAUUUAUUUCACAGGGAAUAACAGGGAUAGGAAAAUAUUUUUGGCUAUUCUCUCCCGGAUUAGGAGUAGAAUAAUUUUGGGUAAAACUGGAGAUAGAAAUGAGUGGAUAUAUGUGGAUGAUAUUUCCGGAGUAGAAGUAGCAUGUAUGAGUAAUCGUGCAAGUGAAUCUUGAUUUUAACCACAUGACAAGCUCCUAAGGGUCUACACAGCUUGACCACACUCAAUGCUCAUAAGCAGUAAAUGGUAAAUGUGUGGCUCAAGGUCUAGCAAGCAUGUAUAUAUGGCUGUGGUAGGAAUUUAAACUCUCAUCAUACAGGAACUCAUCAUGCAACAUUUUAAAGAUUUUCAAAGAUAAAAUUCUCCAGAAUUCUAGCAUCUCUAGGAACAGAUAAACAGCAGCUCAACCUUCCCAUAUCGUAUCCGUUAACAACUUAGACUUCAGCUCAAGUUUUCAUCCCACAAGUUUAGGUCUAGAGCAAGCCUUAAAUUAUAACAGUUAUAUCUAAACUUGAGAGAGAACUUCAAAUUUGCAAAUUAGGCAGAGCAACUAUUCAUCAUAUCCAUGCUUAAGUUUUAUUAGAUACAGAUUAGCAUAGCCACUUUAUUUAUUUAUUAAACAUACUAAGCAAAAUAUAUAUAAGCAUAAAAUCUUUAUUUGGUUUUUCAUAGUUAUGUGUAUUUAUAUUCUAAUAUAGUAUAAGUAUAAAGAUAGAUAGAAAUACUUAUCGAGAUAAAAGGGGGUGCUCUCCCCCAAGCUGAAUUUUGACGUAAUUUCUCUUGAUGUAGCUAGCAGGUGGCAGAGGUGUGUUUGAAAGUCAGCAGUAUUUUGACAGCGAUUAGAAUGUCCUCCGUCUGCUAGUCUUCUUGAUUCUUAAAUUCUGUGGAGCUCAAAUAGACAACAAAGCUUGUGGAACUAAUUAAGUGUUAGCAUAAAUAUCUAGCCUUCAUCAUGUUGAGCUUCCUUAAUAAAUGUUAUUUAUUUAGCAGGAUCAUACACUUAUUAUUAUUAUAUAUAUAUAUAUAUAUAUUUAUAUAUUUUUAAUUUAAGAUGAAAACUUAUUUAUUUUAUUUUUAUGCCACAACAGUGAAUGUACUUAUGGGUUUUAUGCCAUGAGCAUACUCACAUGGGGCUUACUAUUUUUUAACAUUUUUAGUAUUUUUAUUUUCUUUUCAAGAUAGCAUGAACCUGAUUAACUAAGCAAACUAUAAUUGAAUAAUUGAAAGGAAAAGGAUAACUACCAAGUUUACCUCUUGGCAAGGCGUUCGGUGUUUUUAAGUCCUCCGAAUGGGACUCCUUGUGUUUUUAGUCGUCCUGGAAUUCGCUAGGUGGCGUAGUCGGUGAUUCCGGUGGCGCCUCCUCUUUGUGUAUAACUAUGUUCUCUUUCCAUACCUGACUCGGUGCUACGGUCUCCUCAGGACAGUUCUGUUCGUUGUAUGUCUUCAGUCCUUAUCACUUCUCCUUCGUAGUCUACCCAUCCGUCCUUGAUGAUUUGCCUCCUCUGGUUGCGGUUGUGUUGUCUUCUUCUUGUCCUGACCUGCUUAGAAUCUUCAACUAUAUAGUUAGAAUCAUUAAAGUAGUGGCGUACCUUCUCAGAGGGGAAGUGCAUGUGGACUUCUCCGGUUCCAGUAUAGAUAAUGGCUUUGAUAGCGCUGAGGAACGGUCUUCCAAGGAUGGUGGAUGGAUCAUACUCGUCUUCUCUCAUGUCAAUGACCUAAAAAUUGCCUGAAGCUGAAUGUAUCUUGGUUGUAGGAGCAUGGUUCCAUACAGGAGCUGAUAAGUGACUGCGGCCAUUAUGUUGUCGUUAGAUCCGGUGUCGUAGAGUGUCUUCUGAAAAGAGUAUCCGUUGAUUGUGCACUCGAUGCUUGGAACACCAGGGUUGUCCUUCUUGAUCAGGAAUGGCGACUUGAGUCGACGAUCUUGACCUCUUUGAACUGCAGUGACCAUCUUAGCUGACUCAGUCCACAUUUGCUUGUUCCUGUUCCUCCUGUUGGUCCUCUUCCUUGGUUCAUGUCGGGUUUGCUCUGAAGCUUGUGUAGUCUUGUUCUUGAAGGAAACUCUCCUUCUUCCCCUUGAUGUAGAGACUGAUCUUGGCAGCAUUAGCGUAGAUGACUCCUCUGGUGUUUAGGAAUGGCCUCCCUAAGAUGAUGGGUGCUCUCUCCUCACUACCAGUCUCUAUCACCACGAAGUUUGCUGGAGUGUACAAGGUACCAACUCAGACACAGAGGUUCUUCAAUAUUCCUUUGGGAAACUAAGUGUCUGAUCUCCAUUGUGUUUGUGCUCGUAGAUCUCGGUUCUUCACUUGAUGGAAUCUGAGAGUUGUAAAACGCCUUCACGUUUCUCAAAAUGUGUCCUGCUCAUAGAGACAAGACAGAGAUCAAGUGCAUAGGCCCUGUUGGUGGAAAACACCAACAGAACCAAAAGUGUAUUUGUUCUUCUCUAACCUUAAGCAUAUUGAGCAAGACAAAGUUGAUGGAUCAUGAGUGUAGCAUUUAAAACAUUUGUUAGAUCAGAUGGCUCAACCUAAUGGAAAGAUAAUCUAUCUAUAUUUAUGUUUUGUUUAUAUCUUCUAAAGAUUGAAUGUGCAACAUAUUAGCUUAUAUGAUUAGGAGUGUGAGAUCACGAAGGUAGUACUAAGAACAAGGAUUAAAGGAUUAAACAUGUUGAAUUAAUUGAGUUGGUUAAUUUGGAGUUAUAAAUCAUACAUGUUUGUCUCUUUAUUUAUGUGAAUGCCAGAACCAAGGAGGAGGUUAUAAAAGUGUUAGUCAAGUACCUUAAGAUGUUACCUUACUUGAAGAGUGAUGGUACAGUAUCACCUUGUGGAAGCUUUCCUUUCUUAGCGGUUGUGCAUCGUGUUUGUGGCACCCUCCAUGAAUCAUCUCUUAUGAGCUACGUCUUUCUUGUGCAAAUUGUUAAACUUCAUGUGUCACUUUCUUCAUCUCUAAUGAGUUUGCAUCUCAGGACUUCCCAGGUUGUUAUUGAAAGUUUUCCUACAGGGGUUAGUCCAACAAAAUAUACCAAUAUCUACUCAAGCAGUUUUUAGUUCAGUAACCAAACUAGACUCCAUGUCUAAUCAGAUUAAGGAAGGCUAUUUAACCUAAGCACCACGCUUAAUUUAAAUGCCAUUGGAAGUGUGACCAAUACUUCCAAACUAACACUUACUAGGAUAAACAAAGGUAGCAUGAUGGCUUUUAUAGAGAUCUACUCAAGUGGAGAUGAAGUAGUGUGAUUAGUAUUUAACAAAUUGAGCAUGUCUCAAAGGUAAGGACAACCAACAUAGCAACAUGGCAAAGGAUGUUUUAUGUAAAGUACUCCCCCAAGCUUGAAUUUUGCAAAAUUCAAGAUUGGAUGAAUUUAAUUUAAUGUUGCAUGAUGAUUGGUUGGGCAUACCUUGCGCUUGUCAUUCAUCCGAUCUUCUUGCUCCAAUCCUAGAAAGGUUAGUGGCAAGAAUACCCGAAGGAAUAUUUCUACAAUUAUCUUUAUAUGCUCAAUACACAAGGCAAUGUUGCAAAUAAUUAGAAGUGCUUGUUUUAGGACACUAAGCUUGUCCUUGGGGAACCAUCAAUUAACUCAACGAGAUCUGCAAUAUUUAUUAUAGACAUAUGCAUCGACAACCGCCCUUUUAAAGUUUUUAUAAAUAGAAAAGAAGAGGGGGUUGGAGAUCUCAAAUGUGAUAAGGAUGGAGAGACCAAUUGAUUGGAGAGAUGUUUUAUAUGAGCAAGGACUGGGUGAGGUAUUUAUGAAAUAACUUCCAUGCUCACUGCUGUUUCUCUCAUUCUCAAACUCCAAAGAUGAUUCUUCAUGAAUGCUUAAAAUUCCUCUAGGAUUGUCUCUCAAAUUUGUUUUAUCUAUCCAUUCAAUUGUGAUAGCACAUGGAUUUUUAAUGCCCUCUAGCCAUUGAUGUUGCUCUUCUCGAUCCUCCUUCUUAUGCAUGGGAUGUCUAGAGAGAUUCAUAGGAUUAUCGGGAGGUUCAAGAGAAAGAGCAUAGUAGAAUUUAUUAAGCUCAAGGAUGGGUUGGAUAGCCGAAUCAUGGGAUUGAAAUGUUUGGAAAUCGGCUAUUGAAACUUCCUCUCCUUGUAUGGGAGAUGAUUCCUUCUCUAUCUCUAAGAUUUUUCUAUGAAGACUAGUACAAGAAGGAUGUCCACAAAUGAAGACAUACCUUCCUUUACUAAUAGAUAAAGAAAGAAAGACUCUACCAAAAAUUAUAUGAUUAAGACCAAUGUGAAAAUAUCUAGGAAAAACAUGGUCUUGUAGGGCUAGGUCUAAACCAGAAUUUAUAGAAAGAUUAACACAUUCCCUAGGUGUAGCUAAAAGUGCAUUAUCUUUUUGAUUAAAAGAUAGGACCUCGGCUAUAGAAAAGGGUUGGUUUUGACCUAUUGCAAUCAACUCCGGACACAGAUCAUAAUUAGGGGCAGGACGUGUUGACUCCCAUGGUCUAUGGCUGGUCUCCGAAGGUGCAAAGAAUUUAAUUAUAGGUAUGGAAUUCAAGUUAUCCAUAAAGAUAAAAAUAAAAAGAUAAAAGAAUAAAUGUAUAAAAGUAUAAUACAAGAUAAUAGCAAGACUCAAAGUUAUCUCAGCAAACCGUCUUUCUCCCCGGCAACGGCGCCAGAAAUGCUUGUUGAUAUUUGGUAACGCAAUUAGAAAAUAAUCCGCAAGCGCACGGAUAUCGGUGAGCAUUUCACCCGGGAGGUUAUCCAGAGUUAUCGUAUUUAUAUUUUUACCACUGGGAGAAAGGGUGCAUCUGACUAACCAAAUCUAUUGCUACUAUCCCUUUAGGCUACAAAGAAUGUCUCUCGAUGUGAGUGAUGUAUAGAGAAGACUGCAACUGUAGUCUCGUUCUAACCUUAAUAAGGAUGAUCUACUGUUCUAUUGGGGAGGCUCACGGAAUCUAGACAACAUAAAGGAUGUUCGACCCGCACCUAUAAACCUACCCGUCCUGCUAACGAGAUGUGAUCUGCAAAGGUAACUCGGAAAUGUCACGUUCCUCGCUACUACCACGGUCUAGCUAGUCAGGGGAUAUCUAUGAGUACCCUAGCCUAAACACCACGUUUACGCUAACAAGUGAUUACUCUAAUACUCAACCGGAAGAGGAUUAAAGUAAACUCAUAAACCAAAGAACAAUAAAACAAGAACUUACUAGUAUUAGAAGUCGAAUUACUGAAGAAUCUUAGAAGCAAGCCUCGGGUUAGGAGACUUGAUCCCACAGGUACAACUCGGAGUAGACACCGACAGGCCGGCCUUCCUCCGAUCCACACCUCCACUCUAUCUCUCUCAAUCUAGUAGAAACUAGAAGAUCUAUUUCUACUUACAUUGGUUGCUAAGCCUAAAAAGAAAUAUUAUUUAGAGAAGAGAUUUUCCUUCGAGGGCACCCCUCAAUCUCUAUGAUAAUUUCUUGUCUCCUCCAGGGGCCAGAGGGGGUCUCCUUAUAUAGUCCUCCCCUUCUAUGCGUUUUUGGGUCGAUAGGCGAGGUGGUACUAUGUUAUUCUGGAUCCAAUAGGUCGGUGGAACGUCGUGUGCGAAGAGAGUCCGGAACGGAGUCCAGAGGGGGGCGGGCGCCCAGGUCCUCAGGGCGGGCGCCCUGGUCCUGGCCCCUUUCGGGCUCCGCUUCCUUCCCGUGGCUUCUGGAGUUUUCUAGAUGGUAGAAAAUUGCGCGGUGGGUUGAUAUCUCUAUGUAAUCCCGACAUGUGGGCCUUUCUUCCUUAUUUCCUGAUAACCCCCUGCAGAAAUAGACAAACACCAAAACUCAUGGAAUUCUGUCAGAUAAAACCCUAAGUCUAGAUGUUGAUUUCAUUUGGAUCCUUUUCUUUGUUUAUUUGAUAAUUAAAUUUGAUACUUAAGGACCGUCAACAGCAUGUUUAGUCAUUGGAUAGCAAAUAUCAAGGUAGCAUAAUUAAUCCCAUAACCACAUGAUCAAUGUAUACAAGAAUUAAGAAUAACACAUAUAAACAACAUAAUAAACCAUCAAUUAUCAUCAUUAAUCAUAUUCAUCAGUGUCCAUCUAUUGUGUCAGUUUUCCGGGCCACCCGUAUCCGUGGGCACAGCUAGUAUACUAGAUUUAACACUCUGCAGAGGUUGUACAUCUUUACCCAUGAGUCAUGAUUUACCCUUUCGCCCGAGGUAGCUAAUCUCUUAACCCCCUUCCAAGGGUGGUCGGCAGGGAUCAAUGACGCGCAAGGUUUCCUUUGCGCGUAGAUAUAGAUACCCCCUUUCAAAUGGCACAAUGACGCGCAGCCUAUACACAUAAGGACAGGGGCUCGCACUAUACCCAAAACGGUUCAGCCCCUCCACCCUUUCGGGUAACCUCUAACAAGCUAUAAAAGUUCUUCAUACUGAGCUAAAGCCAGAGCCAUAUAGCCCUCAUGGUUGUACGAGUUGUCCCAGCUUUUGCCAAGGGAUAAGUCCUUAUGGAGGGUCAAGAUCAAUCCAGCAAAAGCCAGAGUUCUUUCCACCCUUUAUAUUCAAGUUGCUAGAGAGCUUAUUUUAUUGAUUAUUGUAUAUUCAAAUAUUCAUGUCACAAGAUCAUGGAUUAAUAAUCAAGCACUAGCAAGAACUACCCAUAUGCAUAUCCAAAUAGGUAACAAGGAAUUCAGGAUAACAAUCAUCUAUGAUUUUGCUAAGGUCAUCAAGGUGAAAGCAUGCAUAUGAUAUAUAUUGUAUUAAUUGUGUAUAGGUAACAAGGAUAGUCCCAAGUUAUACUUGCCUUGAUCAAAGCUCUCUUGAGCCAGCUGGUCUUCAAAAGCUUGAUCUUGAUCACCAACGUACGGCUCACCGUCUAUUCCCAAACAUCAAUCAACAACACGCAAUCCAAUGUAGACAAUCAUACACAAAGCAAACAAGAUAUAAUUAGAACAAUACACCAAACAGUGGUAAAACAAAUAUAAAAGUUUAUCAAAAUAUUCUACGCAGCGCUACGAUCACAUAAACGUAAAGUUCACAAAAAUCAGAAUUAAAACGGUAAAGUUAUGAAUUUUCUAAGAUUUCCUUUAGAGAAAUAAUUAAUUAAAUGCUACUACAAAAAUAAAAAGUUUCAAAACAGAGAAAUAAUACUUCUAACAUGUAGAGCUCGCGAAUACGAAUCUAACAAAAUUUGAAUGGACAAAAACGGUGUUUAAACGAAUAUUUUAUAAGCAAAACAGUUUCAGUGGCAAUUUUGUGAAUUCUGGAAAACGUAUUUGGAACUCACUGAGUCGGUUUACGCUUUCAUAUCGUCAAAACGCAUUUACGAAAGGCGCCAAAGGGACCGCGGGUUCUAAUGCCAAAAAGGAGGGGGGCUCUUUAGCAAAAACACAUGUGAAAUGUUAUCUUUUAAUCCUGACCGCUGGAUCGCGAUCCGACGGUGGUGGUUUGAUCUGGGCGCCGAGCUAGCCGACGGCGGCUGGAACAGUGACGCCCGCGGCGGCGCCAUGGCCGAGACAUCGCCGGAGACGCGAAAACCACGAUUUAGAUCACCUAAAAAAUGAAAGGAGUACAUGGGACGGUGGAGAAGCUUACUGCGAACUCACUAGGGGCGAGAUCGGGGCACGAGAAGGAGCAGAAACAGCCGGGCACUCACCGCGGCGGAGAGGACUCUCGGCGAGAUCUAGUUCUCGUGGAAAAGGAAGCUAGAGCUCGGGUUGAACGGCUUAAGUGCGGAAGGAGGUCUACGGGGUUGAUUUGAGAGCUUUAUAGGGCAUAGCACGCGGAUUUGGUAGGAAUCCCGUCGUUUUCAGAAUCGGUUGGAGCCGGUUCGUGAGGAGGCGUGUUCGGCCACGCUGGGGAAGAAGGAAAGGUGGGUGGGGAGGCUGACUUGCGGGUCCCGCGUGACAGCCAGAGAAGGAGGGGGGAGAAGGCGCGCGCCAGGUGGCUCUCCCUUUUCUUUUUUUCCCUUCAUUUUCUAUUUUAUUUUCCAAAGCAUUUUCAAUUAGAGAAUGAAUUCAAAUUUUGGAUCAAACUAAACCACACAGCACAGAACAAAAUUAUGGCCAGCAUGAAUGCAAGGACAUGUUACUAAAUUUAUGGUGAAUUUUAAUUUCAACAAAAAAUAUUUAUUUACUAUAUUACAUGCUCAUAAAAAUAUUCAAAUAAAUCAAAUUAAAUCCUAUUAUUUGAAAAUCAAAUUUUUGGGUGUUACACUCAUCCUGCUUCAUACAUGGAAAUUAGUACGUUGCAUAAAAUAUUUAUUAAACAAGAUGAGGUGGCACAAAAAAUUAGGUGAUACACAAGUAAAAUAAGUGAACUAAAUCAUCAAUCGAACAAGCAUGCACCACAUUCAGAUUGGGAAGACAUAUUUCUUGUUCGACAUGAAAGCUAAAUAGUAAGAUACUAAUGUACAUAUUAAAAUAAGGAUUCAAUAAUCAUCAUGAUCAAAUUCUAAGGAAUCAUCAUCUGUGGUUUCCUCAUCCUCGUCAAUAUCUUCCUGGUCGCUAUUUUCUUCAAGUAACUGUUGCUCUUCGUCACUACUACUCCCAUGAUAAGAAAUGGCAUCAUCCAAUUGAUCUUCAGUGCUGCUUUGCUUUUCUAUAGUUUCAAUGUCUUGGGGAUCAAGGACAUCAUCCAUGGCCUCUGAAGAUACAGGUACGUCAUCAACCAAGCCAUCAACAUCAAUGGAGAAGCUUCCCUGCAGCUCAUCUUCUUGGAAAAAUACAUCUCUAGUAGGUGGCUCAUGUGCAGCAUCUCUGUCAAGGUUGGUCAAGGUCCUUGGUUGGAUCUUGUUAACAACACACCAAUCACGCAAAUCAGGCCUUGGAGAUGGGUACUUCAAGUAGUAUACUAGUGUGGCUUGGUGAGCCAUGGCAAAGGGUUCAAAAAUCACUAGCCUUGAAGAUGGCUUGACCUCCACCAAACCUAGUUUUGGUUCAGAUCUAAGACCAGAGAUGGGAUCAAACCAGCGGCACUGUAAGAGCACCAUUUCAAUUUUUCUACCAGCACUAAAAGACAAUUUGAUAAUAUCCUCGACUACACCAUAAUAGUCAAGUUGUUGAUCAUCUGAGGUGAAUGAUGUCAAACAAACCCCUGUGUUCACUGUGGUCACCUUUGCACAAGAAAUCUCAUAUCGCUCUGAUCUGAACCUAUAGCCAUUAACAUCAUACGAGCUGUAUGAUAGUACUCUAGACUUGCAUCCAUUGGCUAAAUUCCACAAGUCUUCAUCUGCUUCAGUAUCCUUUCUACACUAUAAAAAAUGAUUAUUAGAAAAAUAUAUAUACACAUGUGUUGAUGAAAUUUGGCUAAUUAAGGAAUAAUAUGACCUUACAGUGUUCUUAAACCAGUCCACAAAUUCAUUUGUGAUCAAUUGGUCCAGGGCCUUCACUGACAACCUAGGAUUAUUAGCACACUUCUGUGCCACAAAUGACCUACAAAUAUAUACAGUUAUAGAACCUCUGCUAGAAUAGUUAAAAAAUUGUUAUUUGAAUCACUUACUCAAGAUGUCGAUCUACAGCAGAGCAAUUGGUCAAAAUAUAUAGCCUCACUGCAUUCAAUUCUUGUUCUGAGAGAUCAUGAGGCACGCCCCUACCAUGAAGGGUGCCUUGGUAUUGGAAAACAUCUAAAGUGCAGCCACCAUUCUUCACGUGUGUUCCUCUACUAUUGUAUCUGUCAAUCUUUUUCCAUCUAGUACGAACAUGGUCAGCAAAAUAUCCAGAAAAAAAGUCAGUUAUCUCUUUCACAAUCUUGGCCUCUACAAUAGAGCCCUCAACUCUAGCUUUGUUCUGCACUUUCAGGCCCAGGUCAUGCAUGUACCUAGCAAAAUAUUAAUAGAAUGUUUAGUGACAUAAUAACAAAAAAAUGAACCGAGCUGAACUAACUGAUUUAGAAAAACUAAAUAAUUACCUCUCAUGUUGGUACAUCCAACGAAAUGCCACAGGUCCGCCUACCCUUGCCUCAUAUGGAAGAUGCACAAUUAGAUGUUGCAUUGGAUUAAAGAACCCUGGUGGAAACAUUUUCUCUAGCUUGCAGAGAAGAACUGGAAUCUCCUCCUCAAGUUUACGCAUUAUCUCUCGAUCAAUUUCCUUGGCACAUAUUUGUCGAUAAAAAAAACAUAAUUCUGCUAUAUCCUUCCAUUCCUUCUCAGGGAUGAAACCCCUAAGUGCAACUGGCAGUAGGCGCUCGAGGAUUAUGUGUAAGUCAUGGCUUUUUAUACCAAUAAAUUUAUGUUUAUCCAACUUUACAGAUUUACCUAAAUUAGCAGCAAAGCGAUCUGGAAACUUCAAUUGCUUGAACCACUUGAGGAUAACCGAUCUAUCAUCCUUACUAACACAAUAUUUUCCCCUCGGUAUUGACCAUGUGCCAUUGGGCUUCUUAAUCAAGUUAAAAGUUGGGCGGUCACAAAGCAUAGCCAUGUCAAGACAUGCUUUAAUAUUAUCCUUAGUUUUAUCUGCGAUAUCUAGAGUUGUGCCUAAUAGUGCCUCUGCAACAUUUUUCUCAUUGUGCAUGAGAUCAAUGUUAUGUCGGAGAAGCAACUUUUUGCAGUAUGGCAAUCGCCACAAACAACUAAUAUCUGUCCAAUUGUGGGACUUCCCAAACCCUUCAUAUUUAUUCUUGCAUGUCCUAUCAAGAGUUAGAUGAUUUAACUCUUCCAAUAUCUCAACACCAGAUAGGUGCUUUGGUGGAGGAUCUGUAACUUUAGUUUUCUUACGAAAACAUUUCACACUUUUGCGGAAUGCAUGGCUAGCUGGAAGGAAUCUCCUAUGACAAUCAAACCAGCAAGGUUUUUUCCCAUGCUUCAAAUUAAAUGUAUUAAUGUCAGACCCACAAAUUGGACAAGCUAGCUUCCCGUGUGUGCUCCAACAUGCUACUAAGCCAUAUCCAGGAAAAUCAUGAAUGGUCCACAACACCAUUGCCUUCAUGGUGAAGUUUUCCUUUCUAUAACAGUCAUAAGUAAGAGAACCUUCUUCAAAUAAAUCCAGGAGCUCAUCAACUAGUGGUUCCAUGUAUACGUUAAAGUUCUUCCCCGGGUGUUCACGGCCAGGAAUAACGAGUGCAAGGAUGAUGUUGCUCUUUCUAGUGCGCAUUUCAGGAGGGAGGUUAUAUGGAACAACAAAGACAGGCCAACAAGAGUAUGGGGCAGCAUGAGCACUAAAAGGUGUAAAACCAUCAGUUACCAAACCAAGACGCACGUUCCUAACCUCUUUAUCAAACUCUGGAUACAACUUGUUAAAUUCCUUCCAAGCUUCUCCAUCCGAAGGGUGAGCCAUAAUAUUACCAUUGCUGCGGGGUUGUGCAUGAUACCCCAUGUGCUUUGCCGUCUUCUGUGACAUGUACAGGCGUUGUAGCCUUUGAGUAAUUGGAAGGUAACGCAAAAUUUUUUUGGUACUUUCCUAGAUUUCUUUCCUCUAGUUGGCUCCUCAUACCGAGAUUCACCACAAAUAGAGCAGCUUUCUAAAUUUUCUCUAUCGGCUUUGUAAUAUAUCAUGCAUCCAUUGGGGCAUGCAUCAAUCUUCACAUAAGGCAUUCCUAGGCUAUGCACAAACUUCUUAGACCUAUAAAAGUUUUUAGGGAGAUCCUUGGCAGCCUCAUCUCCAACAACUUCAUGUAUAAGAUUCAUUGUUUCAUUGUAACCAGCUUGAGAAAGAUUAUACUGUGAUUUUAUGGUCAUAAGUCGUGCUACAAUGGAUAGGCGGGAGUGAGAUGUCUUAUCAUGCAGCGGUUUAUCUACUUCUUCUAGGAGCUCAUAUAACUCCUUUGCUGCUUUAGUUCGUUCCUCACUCUCAUGGACACCUUCAGCACCAAUAGCAUCAAUUACCAUUUCAUUCAUCCUAUCUGAGCUACCAAUGUAUUCAUUGUCUACUUGAUCAUUUACAUCAGACUCCCCAUGCCUAGUCCAUCUCUCAUACCCCAACUGGAAACCAUUGCGGCAUAAAUGCAUCUCCAUUUCAUCCUUUUUUCUCUUGUGGCAACAGUCACACUUAGUACAUGGACACUUAGAUGUCCCAUCUAUAGCAGCUUCAGGUAAUGAAAAGGCAUGGUUCAGAAAAAUGUCCAAACCAGCUUUCCAAACUGGGCUAAACAAGCUACCUUUCCGCUCAUUGUACAUCCAACUACGAUCCGCACCCAUGGAAAGUACCUACCUAAAUAUUAGAAUUCACGCUUUAGGAAAAAUCAAAUUACUUUCAUGAAAAGAAAAGAAAACUCAAAUAUGCAUAUGGUUCACAAGUGUCAAAGCAGUCAACUUUCCACCCAAAUAGAAAUAAUAGAAGUGUUGCAAGAAAAUUAAUUUGCUGCACACAAAGAGGGAUGGAGGGAGAGAGAUGAAUUGUAGAACCAGACCUUACGUUCUCUGUUUGCGUUCAUGCAAACACUGGUCACCUGCCCAAGCUCCAAUCACCGGCACCUUAGCACACCUGCCAGCACACUAAAAGAGAAGAUGAUUGGAGCAUCAACAAAAUUAUUUUAAGAGAGAAAAUAUGUAUUGGGAAAUAAUGAGUAUUGGAAAAUCAAUUAUCAAUAAUGCAAGACAUGCUCCUAUUCUAAUCUUCACACCGGCCAGCACACAAAAAUAUUUCACAGUAGAAUGUAGACAAAGAAGAUAGCAGUCUAGACAUUGCUCUUCCACCCAUUUACCCUUUUAUCUCCAGGUCUUCUUUGACUUGGACAAUUCUUAGUCAUAUACACGUUCAAAGUUCAUAGUCAUAGAUUGUUUAAUAAUUUGCAAGUCAUGAUCCAGCAAAGUAGCUAAUAAUAAUAGAGAAUUUUUAUAUUUGAACCAGCCUGAACACUAGCAUUAUAUAGCACUAAGAAUGUUCUGAAUUAUAUAGCAUUAGUUCUAAAAUAGUUCCAUUUUUUUCUAGUCAUAAUUCUGAAUUAUUUCUUUUAUCAUGCAGAACUAGCCUGAGUUGUCUUCAGUAUCAGCAAGCAGACCCUUACUGCUCCAAUGAGUUUUCCCUGAAAUCUGAAUACAUGGAAGCCCUUACUGCUCCAUUUGAUAGCACUAAUUUAUUCAUAAGAUGAAGACCAAACAAAUAAUGUCUCAUAAGUUUUCCCAAUUGCUAAUGAUCAGAUGGUACAUCUAAACUACCACAUACUGAGAAUCCACUGUUCAUACUAAUAUUCAGAAAAAAAUUGGGACAUGCUUCACCCAGAACACCAAAUAUUUCACAUCGCAACAUAGACAAACAAGAUAGCAGUCUAGGCAAACAAGAUAGCACAAUUCAGAUCAGGCUUUGCUCCUUCCACUUUGAUUCCACCCUUCAGAUUAGUAUACAUAAGUAAUUCACUUUCCAUCUUAUUAGUAUAGCACUAGUCGUCCAGUCCAUAUGAGAACACAAAUUAAUUAACAUCGUCCAAACCAUCUCAGAACACAAAUUAAUUAAUCGAACCACCAAUUGUUGUCAGACAAAGAUGAAUGCAGUGCAGAUUGAAUAUCCAAAGAACAACAGUAGGGUUCUUGACCAUGGACCAUAUGACACAGAGUAGGACAGGGCUUCGUAUUGUACCUUGUGAAGAAGAUAGCAGAUGUCUGGCGGCACAGAUGCUGAUUGAUUUAGUCCGCGAGAGCUCGGUGCCUGCGAGCGAACGAGAUGUUCUUCACCCCGCGAGAGCUCGGUGCCGGCAACUAGAUGUUCUUCACCCCUCCUGCAGGAGGAUCUUGGCAACCAGCUGCACCCUAUGAUCACGGUAAUUAGAUUCAAUCGGAGUGGGCGGCGAUAAAACCUCUUCGGUUGGGAACGUGGCCGAGAGAUUCGGGAUAUGCGGAGUGCGGCGGUGGGAGAUUAGAGCAUAUCCAACAGAGUAUCUAAAUCAUUUUGUAAAUGUAAAUUUGGCUAAUAUGAGGAAAAAACAGCUCCCAACAGAUUGUCUAGAUGAGUCUUCAAAUUGGAUAACACUCCUUCCCGGAUUUUUCGGUAUCCAAAGAUGGAUAUCAUGCGCCGCUCGCUAUUCGGCUUCCGCGCGCGCCAGCGAAGCCUUCCCGCGCGCCAGACACCUCCUUCCCGCGCGCGAGAUGCCUCCUUCCCGCGCACAAGCGACCACGCACGCAUCAGCUUCCACCGCCACAGCAGGAGGGCGCGUUCCUAGCGGGCUUCAGCUUCCUCCGCCACGGCCUUUGCGGCGGUUCCCCAACCAAUCACCGGCGACGGCGCGAGAUGUCACUGCCGCCGCGACCUCGUGGUCUGGCACCUGUGAGCGGGGAGUACAGCAACCUGGCCGGGCGGGCAUCUUCUACGAUGGGCCAAUUUGCCGGCGGUUCCGUGCCUCAAGGAAGCCAGGAAUUUGGCCAUGUGAAUCUAGGAUGGAUGGAAAACAGAGAGGCUGGAUUGAUACAGCGUAGAGUGAUUCCUUCCACUGACUUCAGUUUCCAGCCAUCGCGGGCCCCCUCCCCAAACCAGCAGCCACAAUUCCCCUUCCUAGAUGCAUCACAGGGUGUCGUCGAGGAAUUAUCUGGUGAGGUCUUGGUCACUCUAUUUCUUUUCUAGUAUAUUCCUAGCAGUGGAUGACUAUUGCUAUUCUCUGUCUAAUGGAUUGUCAUGAUUGAUCUCUAUAUUAAGUACUGAAACUGAGACUUAUUUGUUUCUGCAAACUGAGAUUAUGAUAACAAUAUAACAUUACUGAUUGUGUAGACUGCAGUAUAUACCUUGUAGCAAAGCAACUUGUUCUUGUUGCUUAUCUGAUUCAGUGUUCUGAAAUGUUAUAGGAUCAUUGGUACUCCUCUCCAGUAGUACGAAAUUCUAGUUCUGUCAGUUGGUUGAUAGUGCAUGCAUACUACUUUGCCAGCCAUAGAAUUUGAAACACAUUUGAUAAAUCGUUGUUAUUUGCAAUCAUAGGUGCCAUGGAUUCAAGGGGAUAUUUCACUGGUCUGGUGGAAAAUGGCUUAGGUCUUUCUGGUGAGUUUGAAAACCCACCUCCUUCUCAGGAAGUAGUAGCACAAGAUGAGGUUGAAGCAAUAGGGAAAGCAAACAUGAAAAGAACAAAAAACUUCACAAUUGAGGAGGAUGAACAACUAGUGAAAUCAUGGCUCAACGUGAGUUUGGAUCCAGUAAAAGGUGUGGACCAAGCACGUACCACAUAUUGGAAACGGAUACACGCACAUUUCCAUGCCCACAAGGAUUUCUCAUCUGAUCGCACACAAGGCUCUUUGGUAAAUCGUUGGUCUGGUAUACAACAUGAUGUGAACCUCUUUGCUGGUUAUCUUUCCAAGAUUGAGAAUAGAAAUCAAAGUGGCAUGACUAUCGAUGACAAGGUUUGAUGACACACCUUUCCAUUUCGAAUUGUAUAUUAUUUAGACGCAUCUUACAGAUUAUUCGUUGCCUACUAUGCAGCAAGCAGAUGCAUUGAAAAUGUUCAUUAAAGAAGACAAGCACCAUAGGCAAUUUCCAUACAUGCAUUGCUGGAAAUUAUUGAAAGGCACAGCUAAGUGGGCAGAUAGGCAGAAGCAGAUGCAAACCCAUAAGACAAGCAGUAAAAAGCAAAAGGUUGUAGCCAAUUCAAGUCCUGCAUCAGCUCCUCCAUUGUUGACCACUGCUACUACCGAUGACAAUCAACAUUCAAAUAAUACACUUCAGAGACCUCCAGGGCAAAAGAAGGAGAAGCAAAAGUUACGGCAACAUUCUAGCAUCGAAGCAUUGGAUUAUCUUUUGGCAAAAAGGAAAGAAGCCGAUGCAGAAAAGGAGUUGAAGAAAGAGGAGAGGUGCAAGAAAGCCUUUGCGUUGCAGGAAGAAAGAAUCAGGUUGGAGAAAGAAAAACUUGAGUUACAAAGCAAACAAUUUGAGUUCAACAAGAAACUAGAAGAAGAGAGGGUUAUGAAUGUCGACACAAGGCACAUGAGUAUUGACCUACAAAAGUACUACGAAGUGCUCAAGAAAGACAUAUGUGCAAGUCGCCUAAAUAAUUAGUACUUGUUCUUAUAUAUUUUGUAGAACUUGGUCUCAGAUUACCACAUUUGCUGUCUCUAUUAAUAUAUUUGUAGUACUUGUUCUCAUAUUGACAACACUUUGAGUUCUACAUGGCUGUUCUGGUCACAAUCAGUUUGACACAUGGCCUUGUGAAGUCUGUUCAGUAACUCAAUGAGAUCAAUCAUGAAUAUAAGAUAAUAUUCUAAAGGUAAAUAAAAUUAUCUAACAAUUAUUUCCAAAUAGUAAAUAAAUUCAUUCAACAAUAAUAUUCUUAUAUAGAUCUGGAUAUAUGAUGUUGCCAUAAGUGCUCAAUAAGGUCGGCUUGAAGCUGUGUGUGAGUUUCCUUGUCCUAGAUGUUCUUGUAGUUUUGAAUGAAUUCAUCUAGUUCAGGUGUACGAGCAUGGGAUAUUUUCACUUUUUCUCCCAUAUCAUCAUAAUUGAAAUCAUCUUCGUCAAUACCCUCAUCCUCGACAAUCAUGUUAUGCAUAAUGACACAAGCAUUCAUGAUAACUGCAAGUGUUUCCUCAUCCCACACACGAGCUGGCUGUCGAAUGAUAGCAAAACGAGCUUGUAGAACCCCAAAUGCUCGUUCAACAUCCUUCCUACAAGCUUCUUGAGCCUUGGCAAAAUAUUUCUUCUUGUUCCCUUGUGGCUCUGGUAUGGUUUUCACAAAUGUAGCCCAAGAUGGAUAUAUGCCAUCUGCAAGAUAAUAGCCCAUUGUAUAGUCGUUCCCAUUGAUGUUAUAGAUGACCUGUGGACCUUCACCUUCAGCAAGUCUUGCAAAUAUAGGAGACCUUUGAAGAACAUUGAUAUCAUUAUGUGAGCCUGGCAUCCCGAAGAAUGCAUGCCAAAUCCAAAGAUCUUUAGAUGCAACUGCUUCUAGAAUUACAGUAGACUCCUUUUUGUGUCCGCGAAAUACACCUUUCCAUGCAACAGGAUAAUUUUUCCAGGUCCAAUGCAUGCAAUCUAUAGAGCCUAGCAUUCCCGGAAAACCUCUACUCUCACCAAUUGCAAGUAGUCUAGCAGUAUCUUGCUCAUUAGGCAAUCUCAUGUACUCAGGUCCAAAUACCUCAACAACAGCUGUGGCAAACCUUCUCAAACUUUCUAGAGUAGUACUCUCCCCAAUUCGUACAUAGUCAUCUGUAGCAUCAGCUGCUACACCAUAAGCUAUCAUCCGAAAUGCGGCCACCACCUUCUGCAAACAAGAUAGUCCUAAGGUACCGGCUGCAUUUCUCUUUUGCACAAAGUAGUCAUCAUGCUCCUCAACCGCAUUCAUUAUACGAACAAACACAUGGCGCCUCAUUCGAAAUCUAUGGCACAAUACAAAUUAAUUUUUUUAGUUAAAGACAAUACAAACUAAUUAGCCAUACAUAUAGUAUAUGUACAAAACAAAAUCCAUAGUACGAGGAAAAAUUUAAAACCUGCGCCUGAAGUGGUCCGGCCCAUAUGUAGGAUCAUCUGAGAAAUAGUCUUGAAAAAGUCUGGAGUGCCCAGAUUGCCUAUCUCGAUCCAAUACACGAUGUCCCUCGAUAGAUCCUCGACGAUUUGGUUCAUUGUCAUUGACCUCUCCAACUAUGUGCGCAGCAGUAUAUAAAUCAUCCCCAUUGUCUGAAGAUGAGGACUCAAGUAUUUUAUUCUGUACAAAUGUAUCGAACUCAUCUUCAGAAUCCAUCGUUGACACAACUUGAGCUAUACGGAACAAGAACAAAUUCCUAUGGUCAACCAGACUAAUUCAAUGUCAGCCAAAUUAUCUGUACAGAUAGGGAAACAUACCUUGUAGAUGGCUGCAAUCAAGGCCCCGUGCAGGCUGCCGCGUGAUGCCUGGCCAACAGCGACGUUGCUAUGGCGGCGGUCCGCCACCACGAUCAGGCUGCUGCGCGUGUUGCCUCUUGCCGCCGUGCCGUGCGGCCGUCGAGUGCUUUGCCUAGCUAGCAGAUCCGGCUUCAAAUAGAUGAAGGGUUGCAGAGUUCGCUUGCGGUGUACGAGCCAGACCGGAUGCGGUCGAUGCAAUCCAAAAAAGACGGGAGAUCAGGUGACGUGGCAUGACUUUGAAUAUAGAGAGUCUUAAUUUAGACAAUCUGCUGGAGUACUCUAGUUUUUUCAAGUAAAACUCAUUAUACAAAAUAGCUAAAUGGCUAAAUUUAGAUAAUUAGUUUAGAUAAUCUCUUGGAGAUGCUCUUAGGCUUCAGUUCGUGGUAAAACCUAUCUGGCUAAAAGUGUGGAGGAUAAGAUUCAGUUUGUUUAGAACUAAAGAAAUAUACUCUUAUAAGGAGAAGCAAGCAAGCAUUAGCCUAGUGUUAGGGCGUUUUCCUGGGCAAUAGAUUGUCCUGGGUUCGAGUCACCAUUGCUACAAUGUAUUUUUGAACUUUUUGCACUUUUUUUUACUUAUUUGAACAUAAUGUUUAUCCAUGUUGUUUCUUUCUUUAUUAAGAUAACAAAAAAAUACUGGAAACAAACUAGCAUUUAUUCUCACGUAAAGUUCUUCCAUGUUAUUAAUUUUUUUAUAAAAAAUACUGGAAACCAAACGCAGAAAUUUAGAAGUGUACAAUUAUGAUGUCACUAAAAAUUAUGUUUAAAUUUAUUCAAAUAUCAAAAUUUACGCCUAUGGUAAGUAUUAUCUUUUAAAGCACAUGCAAGUUCUCUAAGGACAACGCGCGGUAUAAGAGAGAAAUUAUAAUAAACAAAAUAAUUGUAUUGUGCACUCACAAUAUUAUAAAUUAGGCACUAAGAAUAGAAUUUUUCAAAAUGGUCUCGGAUGGGGAAAUGACCAAAAUAAAAUUUGUAGAUAUCAAAAAGUUAUGAGUCUUUGUUGUUAAGAACUUUUCUAUUUGAACUCAUUUAAUUCUCCAAAUUGUUGCUCCAAAUUUAAUUUCACAUUAUUGAAGAACAACAAUUUCUUUUUUAAUCUAUGGCUAAAACUUGUAACUAGUCUCUCUCUCAUACUAACUCCAAAUUUGAUGGUUUUUUUCUAAAUUUUUCUAAAAUCAUUGUCUAUCAAGAUAUUGUGUUCUUACUGAUAUUCUUUUUGUCAUAUUUUCUUGUGUCCAUUUCAAAUUUUGAAUAUAAAAAAUGAAAACUUUGGACAACAUUUUCAAACAUCAAACAAUUUUGACCGAAGAAGUCAUGAACAUAAAAGUUGCAUAACUCAUCAAGAUCUAUAAUUUUUGUAUUGGUCAUUUUUUCAUACGAUAAAGUGAAAGUAAUAUUGUUCAGAAAUCUUAGAUAUCUCUCUUGUAGUUUAUGAAACUACAAGAGAUAUAUAAGAUUUAUGAAUAAUGUUACAACCACCAUAUCGGAUGAACAAAUGACCAAAAUAAACUUUGUAGAUCUUCUCAAAUUAUUGCAUUUUGCAGUUGACAACUUUUUGAUUUGAAUUUAUUGUGGUAAGGAAAACGUCGUUUGAAUUUAUCUAAUUUGAAAUUUGAUUUUUCAAAUAACCUCUGAUGAAAAAAUAACCAAAAUAAAUAUUGUAGAUCUUAAAAAGUUAUGAAACUCUAUAAUUUACAACCUUUUGAUUUGAAAUCAUCUUGUCAUGCAAAACUAUAUUUGAAUAUUGAAAUAUAAAGGCCGACAGUGCCACUAAAACCGUUGGUAAUUGUUUGUACAGUCGGCUAUUCAAUGCAAAGACCGACGGUGUCACUGAGACAGUUGGCAAAUAACCUUGCCCUCUCGGCAUUCUAGUAUAGUGCUCGACGGGGCGACAUCUAACGCUCGGGAAUAGUGUGUACCGUUGGCUAUUUGAUACAAUUAACGAAGGUGUCACUAAAAACCGUUGCAAUUUAUUUGGCCUGUCGGCCUUCUAGUGCAGUGCGCGAUGGGUCGACAUGUAACCCUCGGAAAUAGUGUGUACUGUCGGCGAUUUGAUACAAAGCCCAACGGUGUCACUAAGACCGUCGGCUAAUAUACUUCCCUCUCAGCCUUUUAGUAUAGUGCCCGACUGGUCGGCAUCUAACGCUCCGGAAUAGUGUGUACCGUCGGCUAUUGGACAUAAAAGCCGACGGUGUCACCUAGACCGUUGGCUAUUAUACUUCCCUCUCGGCAUUCAAGUGUAGUUCCUGACGGGUUGAUAUCUAACCCUCGGGAAUAGGUUGUACUGUCGGCUAUCCUACACAUGAGUGACAGUGGACCUUAUAACCGUCGAUCACAUAUUCACUGUUGGCAUUCACGGUUUGGCCAACUAACCGUCGGCUAUUAUACUUCCCUGUCGGCAAAGGUUGUGUUUCUAGUACACAAACAAAACAAAUAUAGCGCACCAGCUUAACUCAUUCUAACUACAAGAGCUUCCAACACCAACACCAGUCAUCUAGCACAUCACUGAGUGGGAGCAGUGAAACACUCAUUUCUACUUCUAACAAAUGGAGCUAGAGAGCCGAUUUGUACCAAUAAAAAUGCAGGUUGGAUUAUGAUGAAAUCACUAGUAAAAUAUCUAGGGUUAAGAUGGGGUUACGGUAGAACCACAAUCCAUUAAGUCUUAAGUAUGCAUGAAAACUCUCUCUCUCUCCAUAUAUACACCAAAUACCUUGGUGUGGCCCAGAUAGUACAGGCCACUGGAUUCUGGUGUGUGUUGGUACAGAGUGUUAAUAUAUGAGCGAACUGAUUAUAGAUUAUCUAGUGGGGUUUCUUGUGGUGGAACCUGUUCACCCGGGUUUAAGUCCCUGAUUUGAUAUGGGUGCUCACAUUUUCGUGAAUUUAUUUCACAAUUUAACGGCAUUAUGCUUUCAGUGGUAGGCGACGUGCCCGUUGACAACGAGGCGCCUAUAGUGACUUCGUCAAUCUCGAGAUUUACCGGUCUAACUCGGUUCUUCAGAGGUGCUCAUUGGGGUAGGGUGUGCGUGCGUACAUUUAUAGGGGUGAGUGUGCACUCGUGUUUGUGAGCCUCUGUGUAUGUCACCGGGUCUCGCAAAAAAGAGUGUUGACAUAUGAAGCAACGUCAUUAUAUUAGGAAUGAAGUUUUUUAAACAAAUGCAGACCAAAUCUUUCUUGCAUGUAUUGUUUAAGAGAAUGCACUGACUCUGGAUGUGGGUGCAGUUACAAUGCUAUGAGGAACACAAGCGUCGGGUGUAGUACCACAAUUAGGGGUACGUGAAAGGACCUUGAUGUCGCUUAGAGAGCGGUGAAUAGGCGUUUCUGAAAUAUAUUAACAAUUUAAAACAUGCAACGGACUAGUAGAGCAUGGAACCUCCGGGCUGAUACGCGGAACCUCCCGGACACGGAACCUCCGGGCAGCACAAAGUACUCAGCUGCUACACCUAGAGAUCAAGAACUCAAGCCGAACUUGAAGAUGUGUUUGUUGAUACCCAGUGGCAAGUCCGCGAAGUACCUGAACUCACAAACACUCACAACCAAAUAGAUCGAGUGAAACAUAAAUAAUACAAUUUGAAAUACGAGACAAGAUACAUGAUUUAUCUCGUGGUUCAGCUCGCCACUAAGGCUGACCCAGUCCGCAUUUUUUAGGAAGCCACAAAGGCUUUGGGUCUCUUCCAACCCUAUCCUCUUCUCAAGUUCAACACCGAGAUUGAGCUUGAGGGUUUCACUAAGAUCUCUGGGUAAUACAGACUUUCCACGGCUCAGCUCAAGAGUAACAAAUACGCAACGAAUGCUUGACGCAACCCAACAAGUGCUCAAGGGUUGGUUAGCUCUUAAUUGCUCUCUAACACUUGAUUAACCACUAAUCACCCACUCUCACCAGAGGGGUUAGAGAGAGCUCUCACAAGGCUCGACAUAGGUUGAGAAUGAAAUGGGAGCCAGCAGCACGACCAAGAGAUGUGGAAUGGCAAAAACUAGUUGUUGGAGGUCAAAACUAGCCGUUAUGACCUACAGACCCUGGAACCUCCGUGUAUAGGCACAGAGCCUCCGUGCAAUCACGUGGAACCUCCGCAGGUCUACAGGAUAGCACAAGUCACCAUACGGAAAAAUUCAUAACUUUUUACUUUAAACUUCGUUUUUGGUGAACUUGGACUCUCUAGAAAGCUUAUUUCGAGGGCUAUCCAGCCCAGCAGGGAACAAGCCCUAAAACCAACAAGUGCAAGUGUUAUGCAAAUGUGUUUCUCUCAUGUUAGUACUUGGGUUUAGUUAGUUUGAGCACUUGAGACUUGUCAAUGAUUCGUAUUGUGUUGGUAUUUUUAACAACACUUCACGUUAAGUUGUUAUCCCUAACAUGAUGUCAAAAACUAGAGGUAAAAAUUAAUCUACACGCAACAACUCUAAAUAUAAUAGUAUAGAACAUAUCCACAAGCGCACAGAUAAUUCUCCCAUUGUAGCACUUCACCCACUAAGUAUUCCGAGUAUCGUUGAUUUAUUUUAUGCCAAAAGGAUAAAGAUAUAAACUAGUGGAUCAACAAUUAAACCAAUGAACAUAUGGAUAAACAAUUUAAUUAUAGGCAUUAAUAAUGAAGAUAAAUGUGUAAACAUAACCAAUAACUCUAAUACUUUAGCAAUGAUAAGUCAAUAAUGAUAUGAUAAAUGAUAACUGAAUAAAUAAAGUAAAUGGUAUUCCAGAGAUAGAAUAUAGAGACUCACUAAUAUAGAUAGACUAUCUUGAGAUUCAACUAGAGUAAAAGAAACCUAUGUAAUUACUAAAUAUAAAGUCUACAGCCUACGCUAUAUUACACAUUAUUAUUUAUAGAAGAACCACUCAGAAAACAUCAUAAGGAGCAUCAUUUAAUGAGGAUAUUAAGACACGGGGGUCACCUCCUUCAUGACCGCGCUCUGCUAGUCCUACGUACGGGGGGUGGACUAUAGAGGAACCAACGUAGCUAUCACCUACUCGGACUACCACACGACCUGGCACGUCAGGGUGCCUCCGUAGGUACAAUAUGUAUCUAACACCACGUCUACAUAAUAUGCACCAUCUAACUCACUCGAGUACUGAACUAGGCUCUUUACGAUCAAAUGACAAUAAUCAUCAUGAAUUACAACUAUAUCAAAGAUGCAACUAGAAUAGACUAAGUGCUGAAUAAAUAGCAAUAUAUUGAAAUAGAGCAAAGUCAUUUUGAGAUACAAGAUAUAAUACCGAUCUCCCAGACGAACGGAUCUAGAAUCCUGAGCGUAGCGCCCAACUCUACUUGGACCUUGCUAGACGUCUAAACUAUGAACUUGAAGAACUAGAGCUCUACUUCUAAUCUCUGGAAACCCUAAACUUCUAUCUACUCUUGACAAAUGAACAAGAGGAAUUGUGGCUCUCUUCUGGAGGAGGGUCUGCCACUUUAUUUAUAGUCCAGUGGGGUCGGUGUGCGCCAUAGGAUCAAACCAACCUAACACACGGCCGAGAUGCAUCCUAGGAGGCGGUGGAGGAAGCUUCCAGAAGCGAGGGCCAGGAAACCCUAGGGGGCGCCGACCAGUGCCAGGUGGGGCUGGCCGGCCACACCCUGUGGGUCCCCAUGCCUCGCCUUUUCUCAUGUGUUCCAGAAGGUUCCCCCGAUCUGAUGGCGGUUGAUUUGCUUCACAAUCAAGUUUUGUGAUUUUUAUGCAUUUUAAUCCCUCUUUUUGGCCUUUUCUAGAUGAAUACCUGGAAAACAGACAAUUCACCGAAACUCGUGGAACCUGUCAGUAAUAACCCCUAUGAUUCUAUUAUUGAUCUCUUUUUAGCAUUAGUUGACGGUAUAAAAUUGGUACUUAAGAACCGUCAACAUAUUGCAUCCUCCUUCAUAAUACGACAUACCUAUACUCAAGAUAAAGAGAAUAUAACUAUUUCAACCACUUGAGUCUUCAAUGUAUUCAUACGCCAUUUCUUCUCAAUAUCACCUUAUGAGGGUUUGCAAUCACCUUUGUCUUAUCUCUUUGAGCAAACUCACCUUGAGCAUGUGACUUGAAUCAUUUUCACACAUAUGAGUUUAAUUCAUGGCUUCAAGUCACUUUCACUAAUGAUUUUAUCCUCAACAUGACAUGACUCCUCAUAGCUUGAUUAGUUCCUUGACUCAAUGCAAGUACUCUCUUCUUCACCUUAGCCAUGGUACCUCAGUCCUCAAGCCAUCGCUUGCUAGUCCCUUGAAGCCCUUUCCUUGCUAUCUUCAUCUUAUAAAGCUAUAUUCAAGUCACAUCAUACUAAGCAUCCAUUGAAAACUAUUUAAUAAAUAUUGUGAUCCUUGAUUGAAUAUCUGGAUAUGAAUGUUGAGAUCAAUCAAGCUUCAAUUUGAUUCACAUAGAGACAUAUAUGAAUCAACAUCAAUAUAAUCAACCAAUUCAUGAUUCCUUAUAUCCUUUUCAUUUUGGCUUGAUAUUUCUACACUCACAUCAAUCUCUAUCUUCAUACUUCUGGCUUGAUCAAAUCAAUGCAAAGUGAUUUUUGAAAUCUUUAUCCAUACAAGCAAACUAGAUAUAGAGAUCAACUUAUCAUAUACUCUUAUAAAGAUAAACCUCACUAGAUGAUUUCUCUAUUCAUGCAAGGUGUCCACAUCAUUUUCCACUAAGUCAUCACACUCAAUGUUAUAUAUCUUCAUGCAAGGUGUCCACAUCAUUCUCCACUAAGUCCAUGUUAUCCCAUAUUAAUUAUAAAAAAUAUUUGUAUCAUCUCUAUCAUGUGAAGUACUUUAAAUCUUUAAUCUAUUAACAUACAAGUCAUUUACAUACGCUAUUUGUUUCAUCACCUAUUCCUCUACUAUAUAAAUAUUUUUUUACCAAAUCUGAUAUAAUAAAAUAACAUGAAAGUCAAAUUCAUAAUAUUAUAUAGUAAUCGUAUGUAUAUAACAAAUUUAUUUUUUAAGAAAAUCCCACGGCAACACGCGGAGUAUACUCCUAGUAUCCAAUUUUAGUUGUGUCAUUUGUCAUUUGACCUUUGCUUGACAUUUCCUCACUUAUGCAUUCUUGAUUCAUCUUCAAAGUGAUCAAAUCUCAUUCACUAUCAAACUCUUCUUGUUCAUGCGAACCAAGCCACACUUGAGACCAAUCCAAAAUCAUUCACUCAUGUCUCUUUUGCCAUUUGCCAAAUAUGCUUACUUUGUCAUGAUACUAUGAUAUCCCACAAUAUAGAAGCCAUUUCAUCAACUCUAUUUGCAUUGUUGUCUUCUUUUUGAACUAGAUUAUUUCCAUAAUCUUCCAACAUAACAAUACUCAAUUUUAGCUUUCAUUUCAACAUUAUGUGGAAUACCAUCAAACUUGCCUUCUUGCUGAACUUUUGAUACAUCUUGUUAUGCAAUAUUCAUGUAUAUGCAAUAUGCUUAAUUUCCUAUUCAACACUUAGCAAACUUAUUAGACCUUUAAUGGUGUUGUCAUUCAAUUCACUAAAACCCACUAAAGGGAUAGAUGCACUUAUAAUACCCAAAGUCAGGGUAGAAACUCCCACAUAUUCACCUUAGGGGGUCAACCCAAAUGAGCACAUACUACUUGCUGUCUCGCCCGAGGCCGAGCCUUGAGGCCUCAGACUCACUUGAGGCUCAUUACUUUUUCCGCCUCACCCGAGACCGAUGUUGUACGAGACUAACGAACUCUGACUCGCUUGAGAUCGUCCCGGACAAGUCAGCCACACAAUCUCUGCUCCCCCACCCCAGGACUCAAAUACCUUCCUACCAUUGGUGUGCUCAAGACCCUCUGUGACGUUAACCAUGAUGCCACGAUAGAGACGCAGUAUGACCCGACGAGACAAGGGUCAAAUCACCUCUCCUCCCACGACUACACAAGACAUAGUCUGACCACCACUAUGCCACCGACUCCCAUCACUGUGUGUACGGCUAAGGUCCAUGCGGACAUGCAGGUGUGAAAGCCCAAGUUUGAUUUUGGUAAUUAAUGACACCUAGUUGCUAAUGUCAAUGUGUUAAGUAAUUUGAGUUAGGAAUAGCAACAUAAGUGAUGAAGGAGAAAUAUGACAUGGAGUGGUGGACACAUGAUCAUAAAGAGAUGAAGCAUGAAGUGGAGAUCAUGGUGAUAGACAAGAAGUAAAGUGAUCAAGGCAAAGGUAUAAACAUAGGGUUUUGCUUUUGUCGAUCUAAGUUGAGUAGAGAAGUGACUGACCAGAUUUAGGAUAGAUAGCUGACUAUUGAGAGGGGAAAUCAUGGUCAUCUCUCGAAUCAAGUGCUACUAGGUCCAUAUCUUGAGCAUAUGUAUUAGGAUAUAGUAAAGUGCUAACCUAACUCCUUUGAUGAAAAUGUUUGUGAAAUGCUAAACACAUGCACAAUGGUGGUGGACACUUGGUGGUGUUAGCAUAUUUGCAAAAGGAGGUGAAGUUCUUAGGGUAGAGAGGGGUUUGGGUUCCUCUCUCCCUCCUGCCAAGCUUGCGAAGUGGGAUUCGAUGCUUCGAAAAAAUGAAAUGCAUAUUUUUCAUUGCACUGGAGGAAGUUUUCUGAAAAGUCAUGUGAGUGUUUCUUAGCGAGAAACACUCGUCGAACGCUGGGCCAGAUAGCGUCAGAUGCUAGACUCGUGUCCAACGUAUGCAGCAUAGUGAGGCGCAACUCAAACUGUGUGUCAGAGCAUUCGAUACUCACACUGUAGCAGUAGGGUUUCAUCUGUGAACUCACCGAAUGAUGAGGCUGCAUCUGAUGCCCCUUUGUCGGACACGUUUGAUGGCCCUACUAGUUUGCAAACCUCUCUAAGUAGCGUCUGGUGUGAGGCGGGGCAAACCUCUCUAAGUAGCAUCUAACACGUCCGACGCAUGCUCCAAAAGUUUGUUAAUGUUUGUUAAUGCUCCAAGAGAUUAACGGUCCAAGUUUAAGGAGAGACACAUGGUAGCGCUCUAAUGAGCGAGGUAGGUGAGCGUGAGACGCUCAACCGCAUCUGACAGGGUGGCAUAAGAGCAUCUGACGCCCUCGCAGAAAGCCCUAACGGCUAGUUGUCAGGCUAACCUCUUUAAAUAGAAGGUGGCCAGCCUUGGGAGCUUCUCUCUUGCACUUUUGAACACUUGAGACAUACUUUGAGCUAGAGAACACUCUCUCCACUCAUCUCCUUGCUUGAUUGCUAAGUGAGAUUCAAGUGCAUUGCUUAGUGAGUUGCAUCUAGUGGCACUUGAUCCUUGAGUUUGCUAUGGAAUUCUUGUUACUCUUGGGUGUUUCCUGACAUCCUAGACAACAUGGAGUAGUGGAGGUGUUGAGCUCGUGAUUGGAGAUUGUUUUGAGCCUCACCAAGUGAUUUGUGAGGGGUUUUUGAGCCUUCCCCAUAGGAGAUCGCAAUUGGCUACUCUAGUGGAUUGCUCAUGGCUUGGAGGAUCCCCAUCUUGUGAGUGGAUGUGCGGCACCCGCUGAGGGUUUGGCUUUAGAUUGUCAAUAGCUCGUGAUCCAUCAAGUGGGUGUAUCGCCACAACGAGGACUAGCUUGCCGGAAAGCAAGUGAACCUUGGUAAAAAAUCUUGUGCCAUCUCUUGCCGGUGGAUCCUCUCUUGUGGUUGUGAUUGUUAGUGAUUCUUUGGAUAUAUCUUUACUCUACAACAUAGGUAUAACAAUCACUCUCCACUCGUUUACUUGCACUUCUUACUAGUUGUUUAGCUUGUGUAGCUUAGUCUCCUUGUUUAGGAGUGUUGCUAGCCCUUAGUUGUAGUUUGUUGUUGUGACUUAGUGUUUAGGCUUCUUGCUAGACUUGUGUAGGUGGCUUACAUAGUUUAGUUGUGUUAGUGCUAGAAUAGCUUCGCCAUUUGUUUUACUAACCAACUUGUCUUAUUGAGAUUGUAGAAAAUUUAAAUAGGUAUUCACCCCCUCUAGCCAUUUGAACCUUACUAGGUGUCAUUCCAAGCUCCUGUGCCCACGAACUCGCUAGAGUUAGAGCACGGCUUCCAAUCCAGCAUGGCUCAAGACGACGACUAAAGCGCGAGCACGCCAUGCACUAUCGCCAUAGGUGCCGCGGAGAGUGAAGGAUAGAGACCAUACCUCUACUAUGUCACGCCAUGCCUCUACAGUGUGAAGAUACAGGGCCUCGGAUCAGAUAGGAAAUAAUAUGAUACACAUACAUGUAAAUCCUGCCUCUCCUUGCAACUAUAAAAAGAAGGGGCAGGGGUCAUUCCUAAGGGGACUCUUUUGGUCUUUUGGUUCACAAACGCCACAACAUUCCCAAAUCUACAGAUAACACUCAACCUCAAGACCUAGGAAUAACUCCCUCUCUCACUGAGCUUGUAACCCCUACUACAAGCACUUCGGUGCAAUAUAAAACAAGACGUCCUCCCCCACUAGAUGUAGAGCAUUCCUUGUCUAAACCAGUAUAAAUUGUUUGUGUUCUUCUUGCGCACCAUACGGAUCGAAGGCACGCAUGUAAUACCCGAUUUUAAGGACAAAAUCAGAUAUGCACCUUAUGUGAGUCUUAGAAGUCAAAUCUCACAUAUAGCUACAAAUAAGGGGUAAUAUCAAAAGACAAUGCAUAAAUAUAACGUACAUAGAAUUAAAGAGAUAACCUUUAGUAACAAACAGCGGAUAGACAACUCCAACUUCGGGUAUUAACUUCUCUCUAUAGGAUCCAACUGACUGGUUGAUCACAAACCUAGACCAUCUCCUGAAGUGUGGAGAAAAUAGCAAGAGUGAGUCCAUGUCGAACUCCACAAGUAUAGCAACUAGAUUGUAUAAAUCCCACAAUCUCAUGAUCAAUGUGACAUAAAUAAUGUAAAGCAUUAAACAAUAAACAAUGAGCAUAUUUAACACACAAGAUUCAUCACCCUUAAUAUAGAUGUCCCGAAGGCCGCUUCUGACUGUGAGCUUGGCUAGUAUACUAGUUUUAACACUCUGCAGAGGUUGUACAUCUUUACCCAUGAGUCAUGAUUUAUCCUUUCGCCCGAGGCCCAUCGACCUCUUAACCCACUAUGAAGCCUUUCAAAAGUUCAUCAAACAUGUUAGGGCCGCAAGGUUUCCUUCGCGAGCAGAUAUAGAUACCCCCUUCCGAAUGACACAAUGACGCGCAGCCUAUACACAUAGGGACAGGGGCUCGCACUAUACCCGUGUCGGUUCAGCCCCUCUAGCACCCUUUCGGGUAACCUCUAACAAGAUAGAAAAGGUCUUCAUACUGAGCUAAAGCCAGAGCCAUUAUAGCCCUCAUGGUUGCAACGUUGUCCCGGUUAUCACUUACGAAUAAAUCAUCAAGUGGCUAAAAAGUCAUUUUUAUCAUUUAUUACUUAACAUUAAUCUAGUCACACGAUCAUGGUCACAGAAUUAAAACCCAAAUGCUAUACUUGCCUUGAUCCAAAUGCUCUUGCUGAUCUUGCUGGUUUUACUGAUUGUCCAAAGCUCACUGAAGCAGUGUGGUUCACCAAGGAUUGCUCAUCGUCUAAUCUCAAUCAUCGAUCACACAAACAAUCGAAGAAAACAUAUACGAAGCAAACAAGGCUACAAUUAGAACAGUACACCAAACAUAUAAAAACAGUAUGAAAAGUUUAUAAAAUGAUUCUACGCAUCGCUACGAGUUCAAAGACGUAAAGUUCACAAAAAUCGGAGUUAAAACGGUGAAGUUAUGAAUUUUCUAAGAUUUUAUAUAAAAUAAUAAUUAAUUAUAUAGGGUCACAAAAUUAAAAAGGUUUCAAACUGAGAAAACAGUGUUACUAACAUGUAGAGCUCAUGAUUAUGAACCUAACGCAAUUUGAACGAGUCAAAACAGAAUUAAAAUGAAUAAUUUAUGAUCAAUUUAAAUUCAGUGGUAAUUCUAUAAAUAGCGAAAACGUAAUUAGAACUGAGCCGAGAGAAAAUACGCUUUCAAAAUUGAGAAACGGCUUUCCCAGGUGACGCCAAGGACCGCGGGUUGGACAUUGAAUCUUCCAGGGCUCUUUAAGAAAAAGACGCAGCGAAGGGGUACGUUUUAAUUUCAGCCAUCCGAUCUACAUCCGACGGUUCAGAGUCCUUCCAGUGACUACUCCGGCCGGCCGGCUUCCUUCCUGAGCUCCGGCGCGGCCAACCACCAUGCCCGCCGCCGUUGAAGCUCACCGGGGUCGGCGUCUUCUUGUUUCCGUGCACCAAAAACAAAACCGCGACCAUGGAGAGAUGGAGGAGCGUGCGACGAGCUCACCUAGCCACUUUGCAAGGGCCGAGAGGAAGCGAGGAGCUCGCGCGGCGCGAUGGAUAAGCUCGGUCACGGCUAGAUCCCGAAACGCGAAGGUGACGGCUUCUAGGGCUUUGAUUCGCGACUUUAGAUGCAAACAAAAUCUGUGGCUUUGGAGGAGGAGCUUUAUAGGGGCUUGGUUGGCGAAAAGGGCAAGGCGAUCCCACUGUUUUCGGAAUCGAAAUCGGCUGCGCAGAGUUCAUGUCGACCACGGUGCAGGGAAGGGGAUGGAGGCGCUGUCCCCGGGGCCCCACGCGUCAGCGAUAGGAGAGUGGGACCCGGUUGUCUGUCACCGAGAGAAGAGGGAGGGGGAAGCUUGGGCCUCGGCUGCUGGAUGGGCCGUCGCUGCGACAUGGGUCGAGAGAGAGGGGACAAAAGCUGGGCUAGGGGAAAACGGGCCGCACGCUGGGUGGCCAGGCCGCCCGGAUCUGGGCCGUGGUGAGGAACUGGGCCGCGCGAGGGGGAAAGGGGAAAGGGAGGGAUUUUGGUUUUUUUAUUCUUUUAUUUCAAAAGCCAUUUGAAACACAUUUUUUUUAAAAAAAAUCCUUUUAAAUCAUUUUGAGUUUUGAGUUCAAAUACACUCAGCACAAUAAAUAAAAUGCAGGAGCAUGAGUGCACAAAAAUGUUGCUACACCCUAUGAUAAAUUUUAUUUUGAUGAAGAAUAUUACUUUCCUAUGUUUCAUGAGCACAAAAAUACAAAAUUAAAUCAUUUUAGCUCUAUUUUCCAGAAAACAAUUUUUAGGGUGUUACAACGCACAUACAAAUUUACUAGUUGAUGUAGAGACUGUAAGUCUAGACAUCGACAACAAAGAUGUACUCGAGGAGUCCGCCUUGUUGUUCUUCACAUCAAAUGGAUGAUUGGCCUUCAUUAGUCUAAACUUUCGGGUGUCCCUUUAAGCUUCGUGUUUACUUGUAAGAACUCAACGAACUUGUGUUGGGUGUUGCAACUCUGUAAUAAUGGCCUAAUUCUAUAUUAUGUACUCCCUCUAUACCAAAUUAUAAAACAUUCUAAGAAUCUUUGAAAAUCAAAGCAUCUCGAGUUUGACCAGGAUCUAUAUGAUAAGAUAAUAAUAUUUAUUAUACCAACUAAGUAUCAUUAGAUUCUUUAUUAAUUAUAUUUUUAUAGUAAUACUUAUUUAAUGUUAUAAAUCUUUGUAAAUUUUUUUAUAAUUUUAGUCAAACUUGAGAUGCUUUGACUCUUCAAAAUUCUUGAAAAUGUCUUAUAAUUUAAAAUAAAGGGAGCAGACAAAGUUGGAUAUUAACUAUUAACUAUUCUUUAUCUAAAAAAAUAUAGUUUGAUAGGCACAUACCUCUAUGUACGUUUUAAUUUGUCAUUCUCAUAAUGGAGCAGUCAAACAAACUUAACUUUAAUCCAUAUAUAUAUAUAUAUAUAUAUAUAUAUAUAUAUAUAGAAAUUCCUUUGUACACGUACGUGUAGUUACUCUCAUCUUCAAUAAACUACAUUGUGUAUGUAUUCAUACUUGUUUAUCAGUUUGAGUAUGUUUAUAUACUCAUAUUAAGAUACUCUAGAUCUUACCACGCGAAAUUUUUUUUAAAAAAAAUUAUAUUUUAAAUAUAUUAUUAAAAUGCCACUACUAUAUUAUAUACAAUAAGUAUAACUAUAUACUCUAUGUAUGUAUGCAUAUUUAAUAUACAUAUCACUUUAGAUAGUCUAGUAUGAUCAUAUACUUUGUCUAUAUACAUUUUGUCCGGUCAUAUACACUUUAAAUCUAAAGAUACAUAGAUGAUAGUAACUACACGCGCGUGUAAAAGAAACGCGUCUAUAAUAAAUAUGAUUGGAUUAAAUAUUAUACAUAUACUUUUAAUGCCCUUUGUUACAGUGUCCACUAUUAACUGUCUGCUUCGCGCCAAAGAAAUGCUUUGCUGAUCUUGUUAACGACACCUACUCGUAAAGCCUAAUAUUGUAGGUAGCUUCGAGAUAUGGCAGUGUGCAUUCCAUCGAGCACGUGAUGAGCAAUUUAGCCAUACCAUCGAGCACGUGAUGAGCAAUUUAGUCGAACACAUGCAUCAACGAGCAACGGAAGACCAGGCGAAGCUUUGCUCGUGUUGUGCGGAUCUCGCUCCUCAUCUGGGAGGAGCUCCGGCAUGCCACCACCACGAGCAGGUGCGCUGGCCGAAAACAAGAGCACACGCGAAUCAGGGCGCCCACAUCCUGCAUCUGCGAGGAGUGAGAUGGAUGGAUCCAUGGCCGCCGUGCAGUUUUUCACCUCUCCCUCUCGCUUUUUACACUUUCCCUCGCGGAGCUUCGCCAUCCCUGGUGAGCAUCUCUUACGUCGGUCUCCUCGCCCUUCCCCUGGCGUGCGCCGCCAUUCCGCAGGUCCUGCCGCCGCCGCCGCCGCGCGGCUAACCACGCCGAGCCCCGCGGCCGUGCCACUGGGCUCCGCCUCCGGCGCUGCGGGCACCCGCCGCGGACGCGGGGAGGCCGGCUGGUGACCGCCGUGGCCGGGGAAUCGCCCGGCCGGUCUCCCUCCUCUGCUCCUGUGGGUUGGGGAGAGGAGCUGGGGCUCGAGGUGAGAAGGAGGGUAAACUUAGAGGGGGGUUUUGCAAAUUCGCCUGACAGGAAGAGUUUUAUUUUUUUGCACAAAUCGGUUUGUGAUUUCCUCGGGGUCCAUCCUGCAAAGUGCUCGGGUAGGAGCUUGGUGGGCUGCUGGCCGCGCGGGCCUCUUCCUAGGCCUCGCCCUCGUGGGCCGGCUCACCGCGUUGGGGCAGUGCGGCUUAGGCCACCGAGGUGGGGCAGGCGCAGGCCGCGGGCCUGGCUUUCCAUAGGAAAACUCGUUUUUCCUUUUUCUUUUCGUUGGAAACUUCAAUAAUUGACCAAAAAUCAUAGAAAAUUUAGAAAAAUGCCAGACCAGUUUUGUUAGCUUCCUACAAUUAUGGUCUAUCCAUAAAUAUUUAUGUACCUUGUUAGGAUAUGUUUUUUCAAUAGGUAUAAUAAUUCAUCCUUGCUUUGCUGCAUGCAUAUAGGUAGGGAUGAAAACGGAUCACAUACGGACGUAUAUCCUUGAUAUCAUAUUUGUUUUUAUAUUUCUGGUCGGAUUCGAAUUUGAAUACGGAUAAUGUCAACCAUGUCGGAUAAGAUACGAUUGGAUGUCGACAUCAUAAAUAUACAAUUUAAAUAUUCGGAUUCGGAUACAGUAUCAGAUAUUGAAUAUUCGAACUCGGAUACGGACAGAUCUAAACCCCUCUAAACGAAUUCGGUCUCAAAUACGGUCGGAAAAUAACCGUACCGCUUUCAUGCCUACAUAUAGGUGUCGCGGUGACAAGAACAUGCCAAAGGCAGACCUAAAAUACGAGCAGGUGUUAGAGGAGUAUGGGAGGAGUUACUUGUUGAGAUGUGUUUAAAUCCUUUCUCGAUGCAUAACCCUUAUUUUUAUAAGUAAUUAUUAUAAACAUGUUAUAGGACUUGCGUUAGAGAAGUCGUGUGAUGUACUGUUACUCGUGAGAGAUAGGUCCUACUGUCUCAUGGUUUUGGACAUGGAUAAUAAUUAGAGACACGAAAAAACCGAUACUUUGGAUUGGAACUUAAUUGAGCAACAGAGCGAGGCUCUGGUUGCAUUAGUCUUGCAUGUGUUGAUCAGGAAGGUAUGGUUGGGUAGACCGAUGGAGCAUCUCUAAGAGCUCCCAAUAUCCACUUUGUAUUCUAUAUUUUUUUGGCAAAACCAUAAAUUCUCAUCUCCAACAACUUGAUAUAUGCACUUGGUAUUUUGUCAACUUGGAAAAGAGGAGGCUCCGCGCGCGUAUCCUUCCGCACGCGUAGAGAGCGCGCAUCGGCGUUGUAGUACUGAAAUGGCCGGCAAAUAUAUGUGCAUGCAUCGAUCUGCUGCUGUUGACAGACUGAUGUCCGUCAGUACUGUUGGACGGCAGUUGCAGGUGGACGGCAAAUCUGCUUGACGCGACUGACAUGCUGACAGAUUGCGAGAUAAUAUUCAUCGACAGAAAGUACUUCCUCCGUCCCAAAAUAAGUAUCGUUUUCGUUUUCCGAGAAAUAACUUUAACUAAAUAUAUAAUAAAAAGUAUUAGUAUUUAUAGUACAUAAUUAGUAUCAUUGGAAAGAUCUUUAAGUAUAGUUUUUUAACAAAUUUAUUUAGAGAUAUAAAUAUUGCAUAUAUUUUUUAUAAAUCGAGUCAAACUUGUGGCACAAAAACCUAAAACGACACUCUUUUUGGGACGGAGGGGGUACAAAAUAUUCAGCGACAGAUAUCCAACCCUGAUCCUGACAACGACAUAUUCAAAUAAAAAAUACAAUAGAGUGAAACUGUGGCCUUGUUUAGUUCACCCUGAAAUCCAAAAUCUUUUCAAGAUUCCUCGUCACAUCGAAUCUUACGCCACAUGCUUGGAGAUCUUUUAAGCCUAGUUACUCUAUGAUUGGAUAAUGUUUGUCAAAUAAAAACGAAAGUGCUAGUUCUAAACAAGGCCACAUCAUAUGUGAAAAUGAAGAUUAUCUCAUGCAUAUUAAUGUUGUCUCAUACAGAGAAUAUUGUCUCAUACAUCGAAUAUUAUCUCAUACAUAGAACAUUGCAACUAGGAACAUUGUCGCAUACAAAGAUAUAAUAUUAUCUUUGUAACAAGAGUCCACUAUCGCAGCAGCAGAUGCAAUGAAAGAGUCAUCAUCAUCGGACCUGAAACGACGCCGUAGGAAGGAGGACGGUCGCGCGGCCUCUGGAUGGAAGAAAAGACCGAGAAUGGAAGGCCCAAGUAACGGUUUGUUAAAGGUGGGCCUAUUUUUUUCAAUUUUUACCAAGCGAGAAUACAAAGUUGUUGGAGAUACAUCAUUUUUCCACUUGCAAAACAAAAUACCAACUUGCUAAAACACAUGAUAUACCAAGUAAAUUUUAGGGAGCUCUUGGAGUUUCAAAUGUACCGAACAUAUAUAACAUAGGCCUUUAAGUUUUUAACAUCACACACUAUAUCUAUUUUUACCGUUAAUCAUGAAGGCAUUCAAAAAUGAUUAAUGGAGGCGGGCAACUCAACUGCCUCCAAUCAUAGGCCUCAGUUAAUAAUGAACAACCGAGGCGAGUAAGUUUGCCCGCCUCUAUUAAUCAAUAACUUUUUUAAAAGAAAAAUCCAACAAGCCCAUUGAUGAGGCCCAUUGAGCCCAUGGGCGAGCCCGUUGGAGUCCAUCUGGGGCGUGUGCCACCGCCGCCCACCAGAUUCUUGCCUAUGCCGCCACCAAGCCAGAUCUGCGACGCCACCAUGUGAGGUAUGAUGUCUGGGCCCACGCUGCUAUGCUGAGCGAGGGAGGGAGCGAGGUACGACACAUGCCCACUGAAAUGUCGCCGCCACUGGAAGGCCACGACCUCCACGUGUGGGAGUUGCCUCCGUGGGUUGGGAUGCGAGGCCAGCUUGGAUCC